Molecule: long non-coding RNA, 90764 nt
Filed under: Cucumis sativus (cucumber)
Lineage: Eukaryota; Viridiplantae; Streptophyta; Magnoliopsida; Cucurbitales; Cucurbitaceae
Description: long non-coding RNA (CSAT_LNC000621)
Rfam family: tRNA (bases 53819-53891)
Source: RNAcentral
ACUCCCAUUCUCAUGCUACCUUGAGUCCUACCUCGAACAUACAAACCAGUUCUAUAAGAGAUGAAAAUACCAGGAGCAAUAAUUUUGAAUCUAAUGAUUCUCAAAGUCAACAGCCGAUGGAUACUGAUAAUAUGACAGUCAACCGUGAAUUUACCACACCUCAAGAUAAUCAACCUGACACUAUUCCUGAUGAUAGUGAAGAAGUCAUCAUUAGAAGAUCUACUCGUAUAACCAAGCCACCUUCCUACCUAUGUUGGAUCGGUAUGGCAACCCUAGGGGGGAGAGGUGAAUAUGGUUUAAUUAAACUUUUUAACAAAUAAAAAGUAAAUUCAACUAAUUAGAUAAUUUUUAAAUUAAAUAAAGAAUCUUUGUAAAAUUUGUUAAAUAACACUAUUGAUAAAAAGAUAUAAAUGAGAGUAUGCAAUCAAACUUAACCAACAAAAAUAUGUAACUAAAAUUAAAUGCAAAAAUAAUUAGAAAAGAGUUAGAGAAGAAAACACCGUAAUUUUAUAGUGGUUCGAUUAAACUCAACCUACAUCCACUUUCUCAAGCACUUCUUGGGAUUUUGAUUGAAGAUCUUCUUUUGACUCUUUCCACGAAUUUGAGCCGAACCGAUUCUUGCUCUUUGUUCGGUUUCAAGAGCAAACCCGAUCCUUUUCACGGGUUAGGAUCCAAUCGCUACAAUAUGUUGAAGUUUUAAAUCACACAAAAGAAAACUCUCUAAAAGAGUGAGUAUACAAUUUGAAGCUCACAAAUUUAAUCUUCACAAUACAAUAAGAAUUCUCUCAAGAAUAAGAUAAAAAGAAAGAUUGGAAGCUUUAGAGAAAAUAACAAUAUUGACUUUUUCACUUUGUGAGGAUUGUAAAGUUUUUGAUAAUUUUCUUGAAAACUUGGAGAAAAUGAAGUAUAUAAAAAGAGGGGAAAGAUAAAUUCAAAAUCAUUUUUGGUCAUUGGAUGUAAGUAAAAGAAAAAUGAAUGGUUGAGAUUUAAACUCAAUUAGUCGUUAGACACAACACAAAUAAUAACAUAAUAAUAUGUCUUUUCACCAUCUUUAAAAAAAAACUAGCCGUUAGACACAAAGAUAAAUUAUAAUAUUAAGGUCAUUUUCUUUUUAAAUUCAUUUUCUUUAUAAAAGUCAAUAAAACAAAACCAAAAGCCACAUUUGUUACUCCUCCAUUGCUCCAAAUGGCUUUCUCUACUUGGUUCAAAUUGAAUAGUUGGUCACCACGUCACAAUCUCGGGUAUUUUUCCGAAGCUUCUUUGAGCAAUAUUUUCUUCGUUUGAACUUCGAUUUGGGUGAUUUAAGAGGCGUUAGAAUCAUUGUACUAAGCUCUACGUUAUGGACAAUUCAAAAUAAUAAAAUUGUCAAUAAAAAAAUCAGAUUUGUUAUCAUCAAAAUAUUAAUUAAUUAGUUUGAGAUUAAAGCCAAAAAAAGUCAACAACCUACAAGCAUAUCAUUGUAGCCUUCUCACCACACAUCGCCCACCUACCCAAAAAUCCACCGGAUAUCCCAUAAACCAAUACUUGACUUAUCAAGCCUUGUCUCCUUCAUACACACAUCCCAUCCUCCAAACUUCUAUCCAAAAAGAACCUUCCUUUUAUCAUAAAGCAAUUUUAUCUCAAGAAUGGCGCAAAACCAUGGAAACAGAGCUAGAAGUUAUGGAGACGAAUCGAACGUGGAGUAUUGUUCCUCUGCCUAAAGGCAAAAAUUUAGUUGGUUGUCGUUGGUUAUAUAAGAUUAAACACACGGUUGAUGGUUCUAUCGAGAGAUAACAAAGCCCGUUUAGUGGCAAAAGGAUAUACUCAACAAGAAUGUCUUGAUUUUUUUGAAAUCUUCUCACCAAAUGCCAAGAUGGUCACUGUUAAAACUUUGUUAACCAUAGCUAUCUCAAAAGAAUGGUCAUUAGUUCAGCUUGAUCUUAAUAACUCCUUCUUACAUGGAGACUUAUUUGAAGAAAUUUAUAUGGACUUGCCAUUAGGCUAUAAACCGCAACAUGAGAUUCAAGGGGAGAAACUUAUAUGUAAACUACACAAAUCCAUCUAUGGAUUAAAACAGGCCUCAAGGCAAUGGUUUACAAAGUUCUCCACCUUUUUAAUCUCUCUUGGUUUUCAACAGUCUAAAGCCGACUAUUAUUUAUUCAUCAAAGACAAAGAUGACUCUUUUAUAGCCCUCCUUGUUUAUGUUGAUGACAUUAUCAUCACCGAUGCAAAUGUGCUUCACAUACAAGAAUUAAAAAGAGAUCUUAAUAAGAAUUCAUGCUCAAAGAUUUGGGUCCUUUAAGAUUCUUUCUUGGCCUUAAAUUUGCGAGAAACUCAUCUGGACUCUUCAUCUCGCAGAGACAUUACACCCUUUAGCUCAUUGAAGAUACAUGGCUUCUUGGUGCAAAACCAACUUCUAUACCGAUGGAUCCCACCGCCAAAUUAAGUAUAUAUGAUGAAGACAUUCUUCAUGAUGCCACUCCAUACAGACGACUCAUUGGAAGGCUGCUAUAUCUAACUAUAUCUCGACCGGAUAUAACCUUUGUAGUUCAUAAAUUGAGCCAAUUUAUGGCCAAACCAACCUUAAGUCACAUGAAUGCAGUCAAUUAUUUGGUAAGAUAUCUCAAAGGUGAAUGAAUGGAAUUCCCAUAGCGAAAGCGUGUGAACGCAGUGCAAAAGAAAUUCAACUUGAAACACAGAGAAAACAUCUAAACAUGCUCCUAUGAAGGAUAAGAAGAAAAGAAAACCAACCUUUGCAGAACCUCCCAAGAAGUCUCGAACCUCCCAAGGAACACUACGAGCAGAACACCAUAGAAUAUAAUCUUCCUUGUUAUCCUCAAGAUAAAAAGAAAAACACAGAGAGUUUGUGGGGCUUCUGUGUUUUGUUUAAAAGGAAAAAAUAUUUGCAGAGAGAGUUAGUGAAAUUGUAUAUCACCUCCCUUCUAUAUCUUAACCAAAAGAUGUGAAGAGAGAUGGAGAGGGAAGUUAUCAAAAUAAUUUCCUCCCUUUCCCAUUACGUAGAAUAACUCUCUUAUAAUAUAAAUUUAAAUUAUAAUAUAAUAUAAUAUAAUAUUUUUAAAAUUAUAUAGUAUUAUAAUAAUAUAAUAUAAUAUAAUAUCUCCCUUAGAAUAACUCCCUCUCCCACAAGAUUUAGAGCAUCAAUCCCAACAAAAGGAUAUCCUGGAAAAGACAUCAUGUUACCAUAAGUGAAAGUCUUCUCUAUUAGCGCUUUUGCUGAUGUAGAUUGGGGUUCCUGCCCAGAUACAAGACACUUAGUAACCAGUUUAUGUGUCUUUAUUGGAAAUUCUCUUGUUUCAUAGAAGUCUAAAAAGUAAUAGACUAUCGCAAGAUCAUCUACGGAAGCUAAAUAUCGAGCCUUAGCUGUCACUAUUGUGAAGUUAUAUGGCUUCGAAGACUUCUUAAUGAGCUACAGAUUAAAAUUACAUAUCCAACUCUCAUGUUUUGUGAUAAUCAAGCUGCCAUCUACAUUGCAAAUAAUCUCAUGUUUCAUGAGCGAACCAAACACAUCGAGUUGGACUGCCAUUUUGUUCGGGAUAGAAUAGUGGAUGGUUCUAUAAAGCUCCUGCCAGUAUGGUCUUCUAAUCAGCUUGCAGAUAUUUUUACCAAGCCUCUUCAAGCAAAUAUUCUUUUUUCAUUAAUAAACAAGAUGAGUGUACAAGAUAUUUUUGUUCCAUCUUGAGGGGAGUAUUAAACAGCGACAAUUUGUUAAUUAGUUUGUUAGCGGUUAACUUCUCUUGUAACUAAUUAUUCUUUCUCAUGUGUGUAUAAAUACCUUUUUACACUUCGUUAAUAAAGAUGAGAAAGUCAUUUAUAUUUAGUGGCCUUUCUAAUAGUCAUGAAUGGUAACACAAUAUCUAAUUUAUAGUUUUUUUAUUCUACUAAAUGUUUUUAUGAUUUACUUCAAGAUUUCAAUUUGAAAAAAAAAAAAAAAUAGAAGAAUGGAGGAGUUGGAGAAUGGAUGUGAGAGAUUUGAGUUUUGGAGAAAAAAAAAAAGAAUCAAACUAGGUUUUGAUUUUAUUUGAUAAAUGUUUCGAUUAGGAUUUUGUGUUGGCAUACAAAAUUUAUAAAAUAAAUUAACAAGAUUUCUUGGUAAUUUAUUGAUUUAAGUAAUAUAUUGAAUCUGGAGCAGUCAUAUGUUAAAAAGUUAACCAGAUCAUUAGGAUACAGAGCAAAGUAAGUUUUCCAAAAAAAGAUGAAGACUAAUAAGACGUUUUUAAAAAUUUAUAAAUUAAAAUAGAACAAGAUACAAAGUUUAGGAAUCAAAAUAAAAUUUAAACAUGACAAACCCUUUGAACAUAUUUACAAAGAUUAGCAAAAUUUUAUAUUAUGUCAAUAAUAAAUAUCGAUAGAUUUCUAUCAAUAUUGAUAAAAAUUGAUAAGUCUAUCGACAUUUAUCUUCGAUAGAAUAUGAAAUUUGAGUGUAUUUUGUAAAUAUUCGUUAUUCGUUUGGCUAAAUUACUCAAUGUUUUAAAAUAAAAGCUUACAGCAUCAAACAAUGUUUAAUUAGGGUAGAAACGUGUUUGUUGUGAGAUUGGUGUAUGCGGAUUAAUUCAAAGCGACGAACUCACAAAAUUGAUUAAUGAAUUAUUUUAUUUGCUUUCAAAUUAUUAAUUUGAAUUCAAAUGGGCCAUUCUUAGUGCAUCCUAUGCCUUAGCUUGAGGAAUACUCAAACCACUAUACUUUUUAAAACAAUAUUUUGAGUUUUGUAAAAUAAUAAUAAUAAUAAUAAUUGAAAUUUGUCUUAAAAAAUAUUUUAAAAUUUGACUUUUUUUCUUCAUAUAUUUUUAAAUUCAAAAGUUGAGACUUUUGAUUUUGUUUCAUUUGUCUAAAUUUUCCCAUUGAGAAUGGGAGGUGGAAAAAAAUUCAAAUGAUUAAAUGUAGUGUAUGAAUAUUUUUGAAAUAGUUGUUAUCUAUUCUUGGUAAUUUUGUCUUCUUUAUAAUGAAUGAAAAUACACUAUUUAUUUAUUUUUGAAUAUCCAUGGAAGAUGUAUUAUAAUGGGAGGUGGUUCUGUUUUGCAUCUUUAAUCUUUGGGUAAAUUGAAAAUUUUGGAUAAAAGGUUUGUUUGAAUUAAUCUAAGCAAAAAAAUAUUUUUUAAGAAAUUUAUUUUUGUUUAAACUAAUUUUUUUAAAAAAAUUAUUUUGAGUAGCUUUCAAAAACUUUAAUUUUUAAAUUAAACAUUUAAAAAUGUAAUCCAAAAACAUACAUAGUUUCAUCUCCAACAUUUUAUUUGUUAGCUAAAAGAAAAAAAUAGGAUCAUGAAUGACUUAAAACUGAAAUUUAAUUUUAAAUAAAAUCAAAAUAUUUACCAAUACAAUAAAAUUUAGGGUGAUAUUAAAAGGCUGUUAAUAGAUUGAUAUUUUACAAUAUUGGUAAAUUUUUGGAAUGAUUUUGUUAUUUUAAACAAUAAGUACGAUCAUACAUGAAUUUAAAAGUCGAGAAAAAGAAGAAAAAAAUAGAGUCUGGGAAGAAAUUAGAAUUGAAAAAGGCACAUCUUAAAAUUAAUAAUAAAAAUACAUAGUUUUUCAAUGUAUCUUUAUCUCUUAUAUGUAACGCUACAUAAUUAAAUAGUUGUUGCUCGACUUUUUAAAUAAACACGCGGUUUAUAUAUAAGUACAUUUCUUUUAAGAAUUUUGUUACAUUAGAUGUUGAAUUUUUUCUUUCAUUUUCCUUUUUGUUUUUAGUCUAAAUUGUGAUUGAUGUCCAUUUAUAUUAUAAAAUUCAUGUUUAUAAUUAUUUUAAAAUUUAUUAUUAUUGUAUAAUUUUGCAUGACUUUCCGAGAAGAACAUAAAGACGACGACGUUUAGAGUUAAACGCGUCCACAAUGUGAGACACCGAACAUAGCGUUACAUUAAAUUACAUCUUUAAAUGCAAAAUUAAACGGAAGAAAAGGAUUGAUAAGAUAUUUCCUAGGAAAUUCGAAGGUAGCCUCUAUAUUCUCUGAAAUUACACAACUCCCCCAUUUCUAUUUCUACCCACCCCCUACAAUUUAUUUAUUUAUUUUCCAAAACCUACUCUCUCAACUCUCAAGUUCUCAACUGUCAACUCUUCCGUGGAUUCAUAAUUACGCCCUUCAAUUUCUUAUAAACCCAAAAAGCGGAACACCUUUUCUUUGUUUAUUUAUAGUUCAACCCCCCCGCUCCCUUUUCUUUUGCUUCAUCAAUAUUUUGGUUUUAUUUUUAGAACGAUCAUUUUUGCCACAUUCUAAAAUCGCUCAAUAUUCUACCUCAGAGAUUGCAAAACUUCUCAUUUCUUUCAAUUCUUUGUUCUUCUCUUAGUUUUCUUUUUUUGUGUCUGGAUCUUGUAUGGGGCAGCAACCAUCCAAAGAUGAGCUUGUGUAUCAACGGGCUAGCAACGGCGAUGUUGAAGGGAUUAAAGCCCUUGCAGCAGAAGGAGCCGGCCUUGAGGUGAUUGGAAUUCGAAAUUCUUUUCUUUAUUUUACUAGUUUCCUCAUUGAUGAUCUUGUUUUCGUGAAUCUGUUGUUGGUUAUUUGCUUCAGUGGGUUGAUAGGGAAGGGAAGACUCCAUUGAUUGUUUCCUGUACGAAACCAGAGCCUUAUAACGUGGCCAAAACGUUACUAGAACUUGGCGCCAAUGUCAAUGCGUUUGCACCAGGUUUGGUUUGAACUUUUAGGGUUUCAAUGAAUGUGUAGAUUUGGUCAAUUAAUUGAUUUAUUGGAUAUGAAUAUUAUAUUUUAAUGGAUAUCAGAAUUUGUUAUUUUAGAUCAGUUUGUUUUUGUACUUUAGUGUUUGUUAGCGCAUGUGUUUUGAUUUGAAUCUGGCUUUAUGUUCUAUUAGGCCGUAAUGGUGGAACGCCGUUGCAUCAUGCAGCUAAAAGAGGGUUGGAAAAUACUGUUAAAUUACUUCUUUCUUACAGAGGUUUGUUUUCUUUAUCAUUUUUAAUACAAUAACUUGGUCUACGUCCAGUAUCUGAUAAUUGUUUAUGUUUGUUGUGAUUUAACAUCUAUUUUUGCUAUAAAGAAUGCUUAUUGUUGUUCAAAUUACCAGCAAAUACUUCGAUAAUUAAUGAUGCUUGCCAAACUGCAUUGGAAGUUGCCAGAGCAGCAGGGCACAAGAAUGUUGUUCGUGCCAUUGAGGUUAGAGAAUAUGCUUAUAUACUAUCAAUGCUCCCUGCAUUUAGGCUCAAAUAUUAAUUUGUUUCAACAUGUAAAUUCUUAAUAUCAAUUGGAGAGAAAAAUGACAUUAGAUGGGUGAAAUUUUCUAUUCUAGUACAUGUUAAAUUAUCAUUAGGCUUGGAGGCUUAAAUAAACUUAUUGGUUUAUGUACAUUUUAACACAUAAAUGUCAUCUUAAUAUAUCGGGUUGAGCAUAACUUAAUUGAUUUACAAAUUUGCCCUUGACCAAGAGGUCAGAGGUUCGGAGCUUGUCACCUACCAUGUCGUUGAAUUCAAAAGAAAAAUGAAAAUACUUCUUCAUUGUGUUGAAGCAGUCUCUAAACUAUACAACUGGCAACUUCAUUUCGAUACUAUUUCUGUUCUCAAAAGGAUGUCUUUUAUGAUGUUUUGUAGAAUCAUAUUAGUCUCUUCUCUGGUUGGAUGCGGGAAUUUUAUGGGCCGGAGUUUCUUGAAGUACUAGCUCCUCAUUUCCUUUCACGGAAAGUGUGAGUAUCUUUUCAAUGUGAUUAUGGUCAUGUUUAUCUUUUCCCCCCUCUUUCAAAUAAUAUUGAUACCCUGCAUUAUAUGCUAGUCGUUAAAGGCACCAGCUAAUCUCUUCCACUAUCUUUUGAUAUUUGUCCUGUUUUUCUGUAAAGCCAUGGAUUGUUUUAUCAGUACUUUGUAUAUGAUAUUGCUUGUACAUUAACCAUGAAAAUUUCUGCAGCUGGAUAGUUGUUUUACCUUGUGGUUCUCGAAAUCCUAUGAAGCCUACCAAGUUGGAGCUUGCCGUAUAUGCUAGCUUACAGGUACUGGUUAUAAUAUGUCAGUCUUCCAUUUCCUUCCUUUGACUGUAUUGUGAUAGUUGUGAUCCAAGUUAUAUUUCAUUAUCCCGUCUCUAGAAAAUGAAUAUAUGAUUUCUGUGAAGAUCAUACACCCCCACCCUCAACCCCACCACAGAAAUAAAGGGAAAAAAAAUAGAGAGAGGGAGAGGAGUAGCUUAUGUGCGAUCUUUAUAACUUAUAUGACUUAUAUGCAUUUUUUCUAUUUUAUGCCUUUAAAGGAUUCAUGAACUUCUAGUUAUGUCUAAUCAUUGCGAAAGGUUUCACCAGUCUCUGCUUUCCUGCAAAAAUGCUUUAUUUUAUGUACUCGUUUUGCUUUUGAUGGUUGAAUCAAAUUGAUAAUUAUUUAAUAACUGAAUCAACUAUGGCAUAUAUAGGGGCGUAAAGGAAUUUCUUUCUUGGACUGUAUAGGUCAGCCUCAAUUUGUUUUGAAAAUGUGAAUGCAACAUAUUCUUUGUUGAGAUUUGGAAUAAAAUAAAAAAUGUUGGUUCCUGGGGAUUGUUCUGCAAAUCUGUCAUCUGCUAAACAAACAAAUUUGAUAGCUUCUUUGGCAUCCUGCUCUAACACAAUAGCUUCCUUAGCAUCAUGCUCUGACCAAUGUAUUUUAUUGUGAAUGAGAUACUGCUGUUUUAUCUAUACAUUGUACUAGUUAUACUGGGGGAUUUGUUUAUCUUCUAAAAUAUUAAUGGGGAUUCGUUUCUCUUUCUAAAAAGUAUUAGGGGAUUCUAUAUAUCUUGCUCAUGUGUAGACUUUUUUAUUGAAUGGACAGGAUGCCCAGCCUCGUCUAGUUAUUCCAUUGUGGAAAUCAUAUUUAGAGGAACAUAGGUUACAGGAAUCUGAUCCGUCUGUUGUCAUUGUCGACAACACUCCAAGUAAUUUCUAAUUACUAGAAAACACCAUUUCACAGUUGUUGACUUCUUCCAUUUUAUUUAUUGACCUUGGCUUCUUGCUCUCAGACCUAACCCCAAGAGGAGGGAGGAGGCGAAGACGGAGUUGCCACACCUCCUGGGAAGCCAGAUGUCGAUUUCGAAAAUCAAAGAGUACGUAUGAAGAUAAAUGCUCAUACACUUCUAUUUAAAAGUAAAUCAUUCACACUCCAUGUUUGAAAAUUCUAUAAAAACAUAAAUUAUAAUUUUGCGAGUUUGAUGUUUCAAAUAUCAAAUGUUUUAUAUGCCCACUGUUUUUCAUCCUACAAAUUAUUCAGCAGGUGGAAUCAAUUUUGUUGCUAUUAUAGUUGAGAUGUAGUAAGUAAUUUUGUUUAAUUUCUGUGGUUUCUGCAGCUGGACGCCUUAGACUCGCACCUGCUAAUGAGCACGACAGACAACAACUUCAAUGGUUUUGUGAUGCUUGCAAAGGGAUUCCUCAGCCAAAGGUACCGUGCCUUUUCUUUCUUAUUUCUUGAAAGUGACAGAAACAUAUUUAUUAACACAUAUUGUUCUCAGGCUAUCAGUUUUGGAAUAUCUAUAUUGUUGUGGUUUAAACUUUCAAGCUAAUCUUGAGAAAACUUAACUGGAGGCAAACUUUAACAAAUCCAUUAUCCAAAGGGUUUUUUUUUUUUUAUAUAUUAUAAUCGAGUAUUUUCUUAAAUCGAGAAUAGUUUUCUAACAUCAUUUCAAUGAGGUCUCGGUAUUUCAUGCUGUAGUCUUUGACGAUACAUGCUUAUCCGUGGAGGGAAAAACUGCAUUUCUUACGUUUUCCUGUCUUCGAAGUAUUUUUUUGGCUAUGCCUGCAUUCCCAUUAAAGAUAAAUGAAUGUUGCUUUUGUGGGGCUGAUGAUAAUAUCAAGUGCUGUUUUGAAAUUUCAGGUGCAAUCUACAGCUUCGCAUGAUUACAAGAGCCCAAUCAACAUUGCGACGAUAUCUCCCGGUGCUGAAGAUCCGGAGCUCAUGAUGGCCAUAAAUGCCUCUAUUCAGUCAGCUAUGCAGGAAAGAGGACAGCUUCAUCAUAAUCCUCAUUCAUCGAGUUCUGAAGCAGGUGCCUCCAGUAGCGGCGCAUUACCUCAACCUGCUCCUCCUAAAACAAGUUCUAGCAAAUGGACAGUGCACGAAGCAAGCCACGAUGCUUGUGCAGAAACACCAAAUGAUCCUGUCCCUGUCAUCCAGAUCAUGCAUCCUCCAAAUGCAGUUCCCACAGCUCCACCUGUGGUAGCCAAUACUUUUGAGGCUAGCACAGGCACAGUUGACUACCCGUUGGUUGAUUCUGACUCUGCAAACGUCAUACCAUCUUCAUCAGUUGGGAAUGAAGGGAAACAAAGUAACGGCAACUCGACGUGUGUCAUAUGUUUGGAUUCUCCAGUAGAAGGAGCCUGUGUUCCCUGCGGCCAUAUGGCUGGAUGUAUGUCUUGUCUAAAUGAGAUCAAAACCAAGAAUUGGGGAUGCCCAGUUUGUCGCACCAAGAUCAAUCAAGUCAUAAAGUUGUAUGUGGUAUGAUGAGCCUACAAAUCAAUUAGCACAAUCAGAUGAAGUAUCGUUGAACUUGGUCCAAUAUAGUUUGCGUUACAUAUCUUUACCUAUGAUACUUACAUCAUAUAAACUUUUGAAGUCACAGAUGUAAAUUAUUUGGAUGGAAAGAAGCAGAUUGUUUUACAGUUACAACUUCUGCUAAGAAAAAGAAAAAAACGGUAGUAAAAUGAGUAUUAUACUCAUAAAUUAGGCUCUAGGCGUAUGUGUGUAUAAAUAUAUUUUGUGUAUGAAUUUGUUUAUUUCAGAUUACGAGUUUGUUCAUUCGUUGUUUACAUCUAGUUUUUAAAGGUGUGCUUUAAUAUGGUGAAGAUGUUAUGUUUAAACUUGUGUAGCAUCAUUUUUUCUCAAAUAAGUGAGGAAAGUUUUAUUUUUGAGGACAUGUGGGUGGAAAUUGAAAUGGAAUCAGUACCAUCAAGUAGAAGGUCCUAAAUUUAAAUUCUGGUAACAUCAUUUUAGGGAAAUGUUUUUCUCUGAACAUGUGAGAUGAAAAAGUUGACUAAUUAUCAUUAAAGAAGGAAUGCUUCUUGUCUUCCUGGACAAAGAGUGAAAAGGAAUUGUGAAGUGUUUGAUAUAAUAAAAUUUAUUAAACUGGUCAACCAUUAGAGGUGAAUAAGGACUUCUACAGAUUUAAAAACUUUGUAUUAUUUGUGCAAAUAAAAUAGGUUGUAUAUGGUAAAGUUUAACAAAAGAAAAAAAAGAACAGUAACGUUGGAAGGCAUUGCAACAUCUGUUUUCCUGGCACAUAGACACAUUAGUAAACCCUCAGCCACAAAAUUUUCUUUUCUCUUUUUGAAAAAUAAAAAUACAUAAAGUGACGUUUGACAAUUUCGUGAUUCGUGAUAAUCCUGUGCCCAAUUGGUCCUCAAUACGACAUCUAACUUAGUGACCCCACCGAUACGACGUGUAGUUUCUUACCCCUCCUCUACACACUUCGCCCUUCACUGUUCCUUUCUCGUUGCCUCAUCUGGAACGGAAUAUGCUUCACACCUGUCUUUAUUAUUUGAAUAUAGAAAAGCAAAACAAUCACAAUAUGAAUAUGAUAUGCAUUUAUUUAUUAUUAUUAUUAUUAUUGACUUAGGAAUUUAAGUAACAUAUAUAUAUAUAUUGGAAAAAUAUUAUUUCGAGGGGAGCUAUUUCAACCUCGAACUUCUUUGUUUUUCGUAUAUAUAAAUAGUAGUUGGACUUGUUAUCUGUACUAUCUAAUUUAAUAUAUAAAGCAUUUUCAAAGAUUAAAUAAUAAGGACUUACGAAAGAAGAAACAUUUAAAACUCAAGCUUUGUCAUUUAUGUCUAAUAGUCUAUUUUUUAUUUCGCCUCUCAACUUUCAUAACUCAAAGUUAAUUAAAAUUUAAAUUUCAACAAAAAAGUCUACUAAAUCAUUAAAAAUUGAUUAAUAUGUUUCUAUUAGAUAUAAAGUUCAAUUUAUAACUAAUAUAUCAAUUGGUGCAUCUAUUUAUUGGAGGUAAAAUAUAAAAGUUCAUAAACAUGUCAAAUAUGCUGUAAGUUUAUUAACCCUUUUGAAGAAUUAGUUAGGUAAAUACGGUUUUAGUUCAUCUAUUAUGAUUUGUUAAGUUUUAGACCUACUGCAUUUAAAUGUUAAAAUAUAAUUAUUGAUAUUUUUAAAUUUAGUAAUUAUUAGACUUUCUACCAAAUUCUUUUAAGAUAUGAGUCCUUAGAUCAUUACUAUUGAUCUUGUCAUAAUGGGUAAAUAUUUUACUUAUUUUAUCAUUUUCUUACUAUUUCCCUAUAUACUAUCAAAUUAAACAAAUAACAAAGUACAAUAAAAAAAAUCAAAAUGAUAUUCUUUUUCAAUUAAAUAGAAAGAAAAAACAAAAUUUUAUUAUAGCCUAAUGUUUCUAAGAGACCGUUUUCUCUAAAGCCGUUAACUAACGUUCGUGAAGUCCACCUCCGUCGCAGUGACGGCGUCGUUUGAUUGGUGACCAGAAAAAUCCGCCCCUUAGGUUUCAGUGUGUCCGUUGUUUCUUCACGCUAUUAAAUAUCGCUUCAUCUCCCUCAAUCUUCUCUCCACUUUUCUAUUGACUCUCUUUCAUAUUUUCUCUUCCGAUUCUUCAUCUUUCUCUUGAUCUUCCUCAGCCAUGGCUCAAGAACCAGUUCGAGUCCUUGUCACUGGAGCUGCAGGUAACUCUACUAUAAAACAUUCCAUUUCUUUCCUUUUCGGUUCUAUUCAUGUGCUAAAACUUGAUCUGAGAUCGUUGUUUGACUUUCAAUUGCUUCCGUUCUUGUUUUGUUUCCUUUUUUUUUUUUUUUUUUUUUUUUUGUGUUCCUCCGCUCGAGAUCUGUUACUGUUGCUGAGUACAUCUAGUUUUUGGUGUUUAGUUUGAGUUUACGAUCAGAUCUGUUGUUUGUAGUUCAUUUCUUAAGUUUAUGCUCCGGAAUUAUAGCUUCUUGGAUGUUUUCUUAGUUAUGUUUAGUGAGAUUUACAGUUGUGAGUGUUCAAAGAUUGAGACAAUGAUGUGGAUCUGCACUGUGAAUCUGCACUGUGAAUCUGCGUAGCUUAUGGAAGUGUUUUUACUUGACAAGUAGCACCAGUGCAUGUUGAUUAGUUCUUGUAAAUUCUAGCUUAUGUGAUCUUGCUUGUACAGUUAUUUAUUAUACUUUAAUUUGAUAAAUUAGGUUUACUGUUCGUUCUUUUAGAGAAGUCAAUUACUAGCUUUUUCUUUUUGGUUAUAUAGUCCUUUAUCAAACUUUAUUUUGAUGGAAGGCGUUUCUUUAUAGUGACUAAAAGUUAAUUGGAUUAUUUUGUUGACAGCCUCACUAUUUUUGUAUGAAUAAUGCGUUUGCUUCUUGGUUUUCCAGGACAAAUCGGAUAUGCUCUUGUGCCCAUGAUUGCAAGAGGAGUAUUGCUAGGACCUAACCAACCCGUCAUCUUGCACAUGCUUGAUAUCCCACCUGCUGCUGAGUCUUUGAAUGGCGUAAAGAUGGAGUUGGUGGAUGCUGCUUUCCCACUCCUUAAAGGUAUAUAACACAGCAAUACUUUUCUAAUAUCAAACACGAAUUCUGUCUAUGGUUUCUGGGAUUACCUUAUCAUUUGUGGAUGGUUGAUACAAUGUUUUAGGUGUUGUUGCUACAACCGAUGUGGUUGAGGCUUGCACUGGUGUCAAUAUUGCUAUCAUGGUUGGUGGAUUCCCAAGGAAAGAAGGUAUGGAAAGAAAAGAUGUGAUGUCCAAAAAUGUCUCAAUUUACAAGGCUCAGGCUUCUGCCCUUGAAAAGCACGCUGCUGCCAACUGUAAGGUAACUGACAUAAAUUUAAUUACAUAAAAAUCAUUUUAUAAUUUUUCAUACUAAUGUAAUAUUAGAGACUUUAUCCCGAAAAGUAAUGCUUUUUAUUUCUUUUGAGUCGUUAUGUUCGAAAGAUCAGACACUGACUCUUUGUAUCCUUGCUCUUUCAGGUCUUGGUUGUUGCUAACCCGGCAAAUACUAAUGCACUGAUCUUGAAGGAGUUUGCUCCUUCCAUCCCGGAGAGAAAUAUUUCUUGCUUGACUAGGUUGGAUCACAACAGGGCAUUGGGCCAAAUUUCAGAGAGAUUGAACGUUCAAGUAUCAGAAGUUAAGAAUGUUAUUAUUUGGGGUAACCAUUCAUCAACACAGUACCCUGAUGUCAACCAUGCUACUGUCAAGUUAUCAUCUGGGGAAGAGAAAUCUGUCCGCGAGCUUGUUGCUGAUGAUGCAUGGUAGAGUUUCUGUAGUAUAUCUCUAUCUCUAAGUUUGAAGAGAAGAAUUUUUAAUAAUAAUAUAUGUUGUUUCUCCAUUGAAGGUUGAAUGGAGAGUUUAUUAGCACCGUUCAACAACGUGGUGCUGCAAUCAUCAAGGCCAGGAAGCUCUCAAGUGCAUUGUCUGCUGCUAGUGCAGCUUGUGAUCACAUCCGUGAUUGGGUGCUUGGAACUCCUGAGGUUGGUGAUUUUGCUUAAGUCUUUUCUAUUUCGUGUUUUGAAAUACUGAAUUAUGGAGCUCACUUAAACUUAAUAUCCUUCCAGGGCACCUGGGUUUCCAUGGGAGUUUAUUCUGAUGGAUCAUACAAUGUACCAGCUGGACUGAUCUACUCAUUCCCUGUUACCUGUCGUGACGGUGAAUGGUCAAUUGUGCAAGGUAUUCGUUUACUUUUUUUCGUUUGAUUGAUAAUUGAUUAAUGUGGGAAACCAUGCUUAUGAAAAUUGGAAAAAAAAAAAACAGCACAAAUAAAAAAGGUGCCAACCAGUUAACUACAAUAAAAGGUCUCAAAUCUAAAGUGUAAGAAAUCCUUGGAAAUCAUCAACACCCAAGUAGAAGCAUUAAACCCGAAAAUCCUCUUUCUCAAUUAUAAGGCUUGAUGUUAUUCGCUUUUCUCAUAACAUUCAUCCUGAUUCUUGUGAUAUCGUCCUGCCGAGAUUCCAUCUGAUAAUUGUAAAGAAAACAGAUGGAGAUGAAAAUCGUCUCUAUGUGGAAGUUUUUGGAAUUCUUAUAUGUUGCCAAAUUUUAUUGGCGUGGAUAUAUUCAUGUGAUUCACUAUAUAUUUUUCUUUAUGCACAUAAUGUAUACUCCAUGCCGAUUCCCGAGAUCUCAUCUGUUUCUCUGUGAUACCUACCUUUAUGGAUCCAGGACUUUCGAUUGAUGAAUUCUCUAGGAAGAAACUGGACUUGACUGCUGAGGAGCUGACCGAGGAAAAGGCGUUGGCUUACUCGUGCCUCUCAUAAAUAGUAAAGUGCCUCUUAAUUUACUUUUUGUUGAAUCGAAUGGCUACAGUUUUGAUUGAAUAAUGCCAUUGUUAAGAAGAGGUUAUAGGAAGCAGUGAAAACAGGACAAUACAUCUUCUCUGCUUCCUUUGUGUUUUUAUGUAUUCCUAUUUUGUUGAGGAUUUUUCCUUUCCCUUACGGCUUCAGCCGGCAAUGAAACCAUCAACUGCCUGUGUGAUGAGUUUUACAUGAAAAACUUUGUUGAUUGGAUUCUCACGUAUGUUAUCAACUCACCACAAUAAUUUCCUCAAAUUUGUUUACGCGAUAUGUUUGUUUAUUCUCGAAAAUUGUUUGUUUGCAAAUUUAAAAGUUAAUUUAUCUUUUUUAGUAAUACCUAAAAUUUUAAAUUGAAAUAAAAACAGUAUGUAUUAUUUGUUGGAGUUUUGUUUCUCAUUGUCAUUGAUAUGGGGAACAGUUUCUUAUUGGUUUAAAUUAUCAACAACAAUAUCAAAUUAUUAGUUUUACUCUAGAAAAAUAGCAAAAAUAAUCUUAAAUUGUUAGAAUAACAAAACAUAAAAAUAAUCUUAAAUUGUUAGAAUAGUCAAACAUAAAAAUUUAAAAAAUAAAUAAAUGAACUAAUUUCUUUAGUCCCUACUCAGUCUGAAAAAUAUAAUUGUUUAUCUAUAGUUACAAUAACAUAUUCUACAUAAUUUUUUUCUCCAAAAAACAUAAAGAUUAUUUGAUUUGAUUUGAUUUGAUUUUAUUCCAAAAAACUUAAAUACUUCUCAUUCUCACCUGAUUGAUUUUAUUUGCUUGUUCCCUAUUUACUUCCUCUUCCUCUUUUCUCUACGAAGAAACAUUCGAAAAUCAUGAAUAUAGAUACGCCUUCCGCAACAAUCGCCACCGUCGUCAUCAUCAUCGCUAGAAAUCACAUGCCCACUUUCUUCACUACCGCUACUAAUACACCACCAACUUAAUUAUUCUCAUUCUUCUAAUUUCUCUCCAUAAAAAAUCCAUCCUCUUCAUUUUUGCUUCUUUUUAAUUUUAUUAUUGCACGAACUUGUAAAUUCAUCGAAAUCGAAUAAAAAAAUAUUAUAUAUUAACCCUAGAUUUCAUCUCUCUUUAUCUCAAUUUCGCUUUUUUUACUAUAUCAUUACUCCUUAUAAUCAUAUUAAAUUAGAUAAUAAGAAAUUCUAUCUCAAAACUAUGUAUUAAUAAAUAUUUGAUAUUAUGUAUUAUUUAAUAAAAUUUUCAUAAAUAGUUUAAAAUAUAAAGAUUGUGAAACGGUUGAAUUUAUCUUUGUCAUUAUUUUAGAUUAUGAUCUAAAAUUUGAAUCCAAAUCGUUAUUAAAAAUAUCAAUUAUGAAUUAUACAAAUAAAUUGUUAAUUAAUUGAUUUCAAUAGCAAUAAUCCAAAAAUCUAGUAGAAAUUAUAGUCAUAUUUUUAGAAGAUGUUGGUGCAAUCUUCCCAACAUGAAAAUAACAUAUUUAGUUAAGAUUUAACAAAGUUGAACAUUGUUUCCAAAUUUGUAUUCAUGAAUACGUGAUUGUUCACACGAGAUUUCGAAGAAACAUAUUUCGUGAAAUUGAACUUUGUUAUAUUGAUGAAUAUUGUGAAUACAAUCUCUAGUAUUUACUCAUUCGAUGAUUUCUCUCGAAUACAAGUUAAAAAUCUCGAAUACAAGUUAAAAAUUUAGAAUUUCUUGAUCUUCGGUCUUUAGGAUGUUGUAGUUGCCAGUCUAUUUGAGCUUCAGUCUUCUGGAAUUCAAGAAAAAUUGGAUCUUUCAUGUCUUCAAUCUUUAAGAAGUUGAUGAUCUCGAAGUUGAUAAGAACUUGUACGUCUUGAGAGCUUUAUAGAAGUUUGAAUCUUCAAUUUUUUAGAGCUUCAGUACUUCAGAGCUUCAAUUCUUCAUUCAACCAAAGACCUCUCAAAUGAAUAACAAAUGUCUCUAUUUAUAGAGAAAAUUUGUGGGCUAGGUGGGCUUGGGUCCAUUUGCUUGUUGGGCUUGGGCUUGGACCAAUUUGCUUGUUUGCCCUGAGAAAAUUAUUAGUUUUCCUAUUGAGUAGUUACCUUGCCGGUGUCCUAUGGGAUCACCACCUUUAUGUGCAUCCUUCGAGAUCACAAGACUGAUAUGUGCAUCCUUCGGGAGCACUAGACUGAUAUGUGUUUCUGCAGAACACUAGACUGAUUAUGCAUCCUUCGGGACGUUAGACUGAUUGCGUAUAUUCUACUGGAUCACAAGACUGUGACUGUGCAGGGUAAUCCAUAGGGAGCUAAUAGUUUAUUUUUCCCUAACGAGACCAGUAGCGAGUCUCUUACUGAGUAUGUUUAUACUCACCCCUUUAUGUUUAAUUUUUCAGGCAAAGGUAACAAGGGAGGCAGACCGACGAGGGGCAGGAAGGAAGCGUGAUUGCCAAAGGGGACAUUUUAAUUUGCUUCAGCUUAAUGUUUUCUUUCUCGUGUUUUGUUUUAGUACUUGAAACUGUUUAGAAAAUUUUAUAGUUUAAGUGCAUUCACGAAUUGAUGGUUGGUUAACCUUUCUUGGAAGUUUUGGUUAUUUUAAACAGGACCCAUAUAUAAAUUUUUGCUUUCUUUGAGUCUUUGAAAUUAAUUGAAAUUGAGAUUUUUGUGUAAACUGGUAUUUGUUUGAAAUCAACGAUUUCGACUUACUUAGAAAAGUUGGGUCGUUACAAGAACUCUAUAAAAGAAUGUUUCAAAACAAAAAAUUAUUUAAUAACGACAAAUUUUUAACAUCAAAAUAUUUUAAAUAAAUAUGUGUACAUGUUGUUGGAAUUUUUUGUCCUAAAACUCGUAGUUUGUAAUCAUAUUUUGUUCAAUAAAGUUGUUAUUGAGAAAUUAAAUAUUAUAAUCUUAAAUCCAAUAAAUCAAGUUCCAAGGCUAUUUUUGAAUAAACUUGAACUUUAUGUGUAAACAUAAACGUGGAUCAAGUUCGAGUAUAUAACCUAAAUAGUCUAUAGUAUAUGAAUAAUGGUGUGACGCCUUAUUUAGAGAAACUAUGGAUGCGACCCACUUUGUAGUACCCGCUUUGGGGUACAAGAUGGAAUUUACUCCUACCCGCUUUGGGGUUAGUAGAUAGGUUGUUCUCUUAAGCACUGAAUCCAAGUCUUGAACAAUGGGCCCCAUCCUCUCAUUGGCCCGAGAGGGAUUAGGUUUAUAGGUUGAACCUUAAACCAAUUGUUCAAUAGUGAAUUAGUGGGAUGUAAAGAGCAAGAUGUAAUCUUGGGGGUAAAACGGUAUAUUGACCCAUCCAAGAUUACGAGCAACCUGUGAAGGAUUAACUUACUAAUUAUGGUUUUAUCAAAUGGACACAAAUAUAUCUAUAGUGAGAGGAGUGUAACUACGGGACUUUAGUGGAAUGACCCGUUAGUUAACGAAUGUUGAUUAACUCGUUCUAAAAGUGUUUAGCUAGUUAAUCUUGAAUCAUUGGAGCCCAUGAUCUAUAGGUCCAUUAGGUUCCUCUACUAGCUCAUAUGGAUUAAACUUAGAACAAUGUGAUGAAAUAAGUCGAAUGGUUCGAAUUGGGAGAAGAAAGAGAAACCGACAAAUAUAAUGAUAUAGUCGUCGGUAUUCUAAUUAGAAAUAGAGCUUUAUGUUUUACAUACUAUAAGUAUGAAUGCAGAUUCAUACUAAGAAGCUGGGAAUUGAUGGAAUUGGUCAAAAUUUGUAAAAAGUCAAAAUGUUGACUUUUGACUUAGAAAAGUCAAAGUUUGACUUUUGACUUUAAAUAUCUAAUGACCAUUUUACCGUUGGACUAAGUGGAAAAAUCCAACAUUUUGUUGAAUAAUCCCACUAAAUCUUAGUGGGAUAUGUGGUUAUAUGGGAUGUAGACACCUAUCUCACUAAGUUCCACUAAUUGUUAGUGGAACAUUAGGUGUUGAGAUUUGACAAAUUAAUUAGAUGCAAAUGGUUGAAAACUUUUGCCUUUUUUAUCAUUCUCCAAUAUCUCAACCAAGAAAAAGAAAAAACUUCUACCUUCCAAUCUCCUUUUAUCUCCAUUACUUUCUACACCAAAUUGGGUCCCACAACCUGGUUCUUUGUCUAGAGGAUAGUAGUUGACUACUAGUGGUGGUCUCGGUUUGAAUUAGUAAGGAGAUACCGAAGAUUUUUGAAAGCUUCAAAGGUAAUAUUUCCUAAAACCUCAAUUUGAUUAGUUUAGUGUUACAUGUUAAUGGUGGCAAUUAGGGUAGAAAUUCGAUUCUUUUUCCGCUGUGCAUGUCUUAGUUCUAUCAUGUUGAUGAUAAUAUGUGUUUGGGGGAAGGAUUAUGUGGGUAGUAUUAUGAUAAAAUGUGUUUGGAGGAAGGGUUAUGAUAGUAGUGUUACAAUAUUUUUUUUCUAAUAUAUGUAAUGUAGAUUCAAUACACAAAUUUAUUUUAUUAAAUAAUCAUACUUUUCUUAAAAUCAUUUGGCCUUAAUUUUCUUAAUUACAACGUUGUAAAUUCGACCACUCUGUAGACGUCUUCGACUAGUCAUUCGCAUAUUCCAUUCCGUCAUUUGCAUAUUCCAUUCCAUUACUUUUUAUGUUGUAAUAGCUUGUUUUAAUCGUUGUCCGUUAUUUUAAUAUCAAAAUAAAUUGUAUGCAAUAAUAAAAACAUAUUAUUUAGUUUAAAAAACUAACUAAAGUCGUUAUUAUUAUUAAAUGCAAAAUUAAGAAAAAGAAUUCAAAAGCAUAGAUAAAAAAAAUCAAAACAACAUGUACCCAUUAAUUACAACAAAUAAAACCUACAUCCAUCAUGUUUGGUUCAAAUUGAAAUCUUAAACUAAAAUUCAAAUUUCCAAUUUUUUUCAAGCAUUCAAACAAACAAAUCAUGGAGAUCAUCUCAAAUCCACUAGGGUAAAGCAUCAUAAAAAGAGACAUGAAACCUUUGUCAUAUUUGUACAAUUUAUGAAGGACAUGAAACAACAUUGGAACAUCUUCGAGAAUUAUGCAACAAAGAACAAACUGUCCAAUCACCAUUGUAGUCAGAAUUCAAGGAAAGAUAUGAAAAAAAGAGCUAGCCCAAUUAAUGAUCAUAAUUUUAUUUCAACACACAAGAAAGAAAAAGAAUGAGAUCAUAAUCUAAUUUUCAAUUAAAAAAUAGUAUGUAAUUUUAAUUCUUUCAAUUAGUACAAUUACAAGUUAUACAAUCUUAUAACAUGUAAAUCCAAUCUUCACAUCAAGUUCUAACAGAAAUUCCAAAUCUCCUUACAUAUUUGGUUCAAUUUUAAAAUGAGAGGCAACCAAUUUAUUAACCAAAGCAAGUGCAUUACUUGUAAUACAACCAACUUUCAUCACUGAUUCCAUAGCAAAUCCACUACUUUUUCCCUUUCACCUUCAAAUCCUCCGAUGCAAGUAUCUUCAUCCGUCAGUGCAGCUCUGACCUGCCGUUAGAUUCCCUAUUUGUGCAUCAAAAUUUCUCUACCUGUAAAGUUCAUCAAUUUCAGCUUCAAACACCUCCACACAUUUUGUCCUGUUGUUCGUCAACCUCCCUAGGAGUCCUGCCACUUUUUUUGCCUCUGCUAUCGUACCAACAUCCCUGCUUGAGCCCAUUUUGUGGGGUUGAGCUUGGCGGUGCUUUCAGAGAUCUUGGUGCUAUGUUCCUUGGACGAAGCAGCUUAGCCAUGGGAGAAGGAAGAAGAGGGGAACGAAAAUGAAGGGAGAGGGCACGGCGGUGCUUGCAGAGAUCUUGGUGUCGUGUUACUUUGGCGGAGUGGGUUAGCCAUGGGAGAAGGAAGAAGAGAGGAACGAAAACAAAGGGAGAGGGAAGGAGAGAGGGAAUUACGGGAAGGAGUAUGGAGAGGAUUACACGGGUUAAGGAAGAAACUGUGAGGGUGUCAUGAUGUAAAUCGGGAGUUAUGGAAACCUUAAAACUAAGUUUCCAUAACUUGGGUCCCAAACAAGUGUUAGGGUUAUUAUAACUCAAGCCGACAGUGAUUAUAUGAGGCCCAAACACACCUUAAAAGUUUAGACCGAGCCUAGUAAUCUCGUAUGAUGGUUGAUGUGUACAAUACUAGAACAUCCUCACACUUGGCCCAAAUAUAUUCAAAAGUAUUUGGUUUUUCAAAUAAAAAAUGAAAAUAGAUUUUGAAUCUAAAAGGGAUGAAGAAAACUUCUAAAACUCCAAUAUAAAUAGACUAAGAGAAAAGGUAAACUUGCUCUACCUCUUAUGCCAGAGACUGACUAAAGUAUGGGAGGUUAUGUGACAAGCACCACAUUAGUGUUUUUUUUUUUUUUUUUGUUUUUUUGCAGCUCGUCUUUCUUCUCUAAAGAUUAGAAAUAAUUUACCAUCGAAGGAACAUGAAGAUGAAAUGAGUGCACAUGUCUCGAUUUUACCAUUAAUACUAUUAAUUAAUCAUAAUAUCAGUUAUCAUUAUCUACCAAAGGAGAAAAAAACUAUUGCAUGUCAUCAUUAGAUUCAUGACCCGAUUAAAAUAGUUUUGCUAAAGGUGGAAUUAGAAAAAGAAAAAGAAAUACAAAGAAAUUUCUUCUUCUUCUUUUUUUUUUCCACUUGGAAAAGAAUAUAUAUAUUUUUUUCAUUUAAAAAAACAAUGAAUGAUAAGUGGCACAAAAAGUAAUAGGUAAACAAAUGCCUAGCAUCAUUUACAACAUAAUGGACAUAAAUACAUGCAUAGAUAGUUGGAUGUGUAAAAAUGAACUAAUUUUGUGAAAUGGUGUUGUAAAUAAUUAUGAUGCCAACAAUAUAAUGUGUAUUAGUGUUAGCCUUUUCAAAUUCAUAUAACCACUUAUAAAGGAAAUAGGUAUUUUGAAUGUCCUUUAAAAUAAUUUUAAAGUUUAAUGGUUGUUUAGUAUGAAACUUUUCAAAAAAUAGAUUUCUGUAUACAUAUAAACUUGAUUUAAAAAAAAAAGGAACUAGACAUAAUUAUAUGUGAGAAAAAAAAAAACAUUGAAAAAACAUCAUUAGAUUCAUGAUCUAAUUCAUAUAUUUUUGCCAAAGGUAUAAUUAGAAAAGGGGGAAAAAAUAUAAAGAAUUUUUGUUUUUUUAUAAUUUCUUUCACUUGAAAAAGAAUAUACAAAUUCCAAUCCAAAGCCGCAAAUAAAUCUCAAAUUCAUUCUUUUUUCUCUCUUCAUCACUCAUUUACGACUACCUCUUUCAGAUUCACACAAUAAUCUCCAAAUUUCUCUCAAUUUUUCUUUCGAUUUUUUCAUAAUUUUCCCCUCAAUAAUUCUCUCCACAAUCCAGAUAUCCAAAUAAUCUUCAUCCUUUAGUGAAUUAUUCUCUGAAUAAUUAGAGGCGUUGAUUUUAUCAACUAAAAUGAGGAAAACAUUUGAAUUUCCAUUGAUAUGGGAAUAGUUCCAAAGAUCUUCAAAAUUCUGGCAAUUCAGAAAUUUCUCCAGCUUUGACAAAAACAUUGUACCAAAAUUCCAUGUCAUCAUCAACAACACAUUGACCGUGUAAUCUCUUAUCCGAAUCUGUUUCCAUCAUAUCCAUGGACACCGGUGGGAAUUCCUCCAUUUUCUCUUCACUAUCAUAAUUCGAAUUUGAACUCGAAUCUGAAUUGGAAUUGGAAUUCGUCAUCGAAUUAUCGACCACCUCGGACCAAAAGCUCUCGUCAAUUGGCGGCAUGGCGUCCUCGGCCGUGUAGCUGUAGUACUCAUUUUCAGUUAUGUAAGUAUGAUCUGUGAGUGAUGAAGAGAUCUCACAACUUGAAGAUUGUUGUGAAGAAGGGGACAUUGUUGUUGAGGAAUAAUUGGGAACUUGGGUUUGAUUUGUACUAUCAAUAAUAAUGGAUGAAGAAGAAUUUGAUGGUUUUAUUUGUUUUUUUCUUUUGUUUUCAGAUAAUUUUGCAGCUGUUGCUUUUUUAAUUACAUUUUUUUCCAGCCUUUUCUUCAAGUGUGUGUGCCAAACAUUCUUGAUUUCAUUGUCAGUUCGACCCGGCAACUUGGCUGCUAUUGCUGACCAUCUAAUAGUAACAAAAAGGGAAAUAAAAAGUUAAACCCAAUUUAUUCAUAACGAAAACAAAAAAAAUUCAAACAUAUAAUAUCUAGCUAGAAAUGAAUAACAUUGUUUUGGUCGAGAAUAUAUCCUUUUCGUAACAUGGAGAGGAAUAAUUGAAUUUAGUACUUCUUAGUUGGUAUGCUUUAUAUUAUGGAAGUUAUACUAUUUAAAAUAAUUGAAAAUCUAAAAGUUGAUGAGAUUUAUAGUAAAUUUUAUUUUCUAACCUAAUUUUUAUAGAUAAGAGAAUUUAUAGUACGAAGAUUUGAAAGUCAUUCGAUGCAAGGAGAAGAACCUAAAAGAAAAAAAUGAAGAUCGAGAGAAAGAUUUACCUAUUGCCAAGCAAUUCGUGUAGGUUAAUAAUGGCAUCUUCUUCUUCUUUGGUGAAGUUGCCUCUCUUAAUAUCAGGUCUCAAAUAAUUUGUCCAACGAAGUCUGCAGCUUUUUCCACAUCUUAAAAGACCUAAACACGAUAAAUUACAAAAGCAAAAGGUUAGGAAGAGAAAAAGAUGCAAAUUAAGUUUAAAAAAUCCGAACUUUAUUCUUUUCCAAAAUUGGAUGAAAUUAGUAAAUCGGUUUUUCUGGGUUUAAGUUUUUCUGUGUAGAUAUUUAAAAAUAAAUUAAAUAAAAGAAAAUCAAAUAAAAAUGGAACCUUUUUAAUGACAAAUGAGUUGUAAUAAUAAGAAAAACUCACCAGCUUGUUUAGGAAGAGCUCGCCAAUUGCUAUGGCCAUGAUUUUGAAUAAAAUUGGUUAAAAUUCUGUCUUCUUCAGGAGACCAAGGACCUUUCUUCAACCCCAUUUUCUCACAGCAAGGAGCUCUCCCCAUUAUUAUUGUUAUUAUUGAUUUUCAAUUCAAUAAUAAUUAAUAAUCACUAAAAUCUUCUUCUUCUUCUUCUUCUUCUUCUUCUUCUUCUUUUUCUUCUUCUUCUUCUUCUUUUUCUUCUUCUUCUUCUUCUUCUUCUUCUUCUUCUUGUUUAUGGUUCUUGUUCAAGUAUACUAAAAUUUCUCUCUCUUUUUGUUUUUCCUUUCCCUUUUUAGGCUCUGAAAUGGAGUCUGAACUGAGAAUGACUCAAGGAGAUUCAAAGAAAAUGAAUUCAGAUUGGUAUUUAUAGAGGAAAUUGGAUCUUCAUAUAAAUUCAAAAGUUUGUGCUUUGAAUAAAUAUAUAGAAUAAUAGUAAUAGUCUAAGUCGACAAAAACAGCUACGUUCAAAUGGAGGAUUGGGGUAAUUUCCAGGAAGGAGAGUUUUAGAUAUAGAAAAUGGGCCAAUCCUAGCCACCAAAAUUAAGGAUUUCUUUAUUCUUUGUUGUUAUUGUUAUUAGUUUAAUAAAAAGUAGAAAUAGUGGGGUUUUGGUUUCUUUGGUAUUCUCCUCAUUUUAUUUUACUUUUUAAAUCUCUUAUCUUUUAUUUACUAAUUCUCUGCUUUUAGGAGAGUAGUUAAAAAUAUCUUAUUAUAAUUGAUGGGAGAAUUUUGGAUGUUGUUAAUUAAUGGCUUGAGGUUUGACGUAAGAUGAAGGAUUGGUUGAGAAGUGGAUAAUAAUAAUAAUAAAUAUAUUACAUGGGUUUGAAUUUUUCAUCUACUAUUUCCUUUUUUUAUAUAUAUAACUAUAUUACCAAGUUUAAUUUUUGAACUUCCCAUUGAUUUUAAAAGUUCUCUAAUUUAAGUUUUGGUGUCUAAUAAAAUUCUAAAAAAUGAUUGAUGUCACAAUUUUAGUCGACAAAAAACAUACCUAACCUUCACGUAAAAGCAACGAUAAAUUUGUUAUUUAAGAAAAAAUGUUAUACUUAUAAGAUGUUUACACACUAAUGUGGUGAGCAUCAUACAUGAAAAACAUAUAAGUAUAUAUCAAUAGAAAAUUUGAGCCUUAGAAUGGAUUUACUUCCUUAGAGGUCAUAAUGAUGUAUUUAUAGUAGAAUCCUGACAUGUGACAUCCUUGUAUGAGUUUCCUAGUCAUAUAUUAGGUUAUCUAUUGAGCUAAUUGAGUCAAAUCAUGCUUUAACAUGUCCUAUUCGUCAAAAUUUGAGACUCGACCAGGAUCUCAUCUUUUGCCAAGGUCGAGGUUGAGGAGGUUGGUUUAGGCUUUUGACCCAAACCAUCAUUUCGUGAAGUCCUUAAUAGGUCAUAGUCUAUAUUCCAUUUUCAUCAAAUGAUCAGGAGCUGGGUUAGUCUCACCAUAAUUCGUCGAGAUUGGGCUUCUUUGGCUCAAAACUCAAUUAACCAUUUUUCUUAAUUCCAAUUCAUUCUAUUAGUAUGUUUAAUUGUCUAUAUAUUAUCAUUUUCUUGGUCCAAUAUAUUUGGCUUCUUUGUUACGUCGGUUCUACUAUUUAGGAAAGAAAAAACACCUAUAACACUAAACUUUCGAUGUUCAUGUCUAAUGGAUAUGUAGAAUUUUAAAACUUUAAAAGCUCACGCAAACUAUUUUUGCAUAACACUGGUGUAAAUGGAUUUACAAGACGGAGAGGUUUUCUUUCUAAAUAUUUUUAAUUAUUUUAGAACAAUAUAAGAAAAUAAGAACCAAAUCAUUACUCAACCAACUUUAAAAUAUUAAAAUAUAAAGAAAUUUAUUGAAUAUGUAAUUGAACUUACUUAUAGAAUCAUUUGUGUGACUCUUCUCAAUUUCUAUUUUUCAAACGAAAAAAGAAGGUUCAAACAAAGACACUCUAAAAUAUCAAAUACACGACUUUCAUUUUCAUACCAUGCUACAAAUUCUUGUUUAUCAACCAAAGAAGAUAUAACUCGAAACUCUUUCUUAUUGUUUUCGUACCCCACUAGUCAUAUCAUGUAGAAAGAAAACUUAAGUAUAUAAUAAAUGAUCAAACAUGAUGUGAAUAUGACACAUAUUUAUUUUUCUUCUAAGUCCAAAUGCACAAAUUUAUUCCUCAUACUCAAAACAACCAAUAUGAACACUUAAAAAUUCAAUCUAUAGAGAGUUAUAAAAUCCAUGAAAUAGUACAACAAAAAGAAGAAAAAGAAAAAGAACUAGAUUUUAGCAAUGGGAUAUCAUUAAUCCCUUGUGAGUGUUCAUUUAGGAGACUUACAAUUAUUUAUCAUUAUCAAAUUUAUCAUCUUUAUUAAAAAUGAAACUAUUUGACUCUACUAUAUAUCAUAUGAAAAAAUACGCGGUUACGUAUAAAAAUAAUAAUAUCUUUUUUGACAAAUAUAUAAAUAAUACAUUAAAUGAAGUCACUUCGAAUUUUAGCUAAAACUUCCAAUAUAUAUUUGUCUUUUUAUUUUAUUGUGACUGGUAAAAGCCCACGAGAGAGUAAGCGAAUUGGUCCGAAAAAUAAUAAUCAAUUUCCCACUAUGACCUUUUACUGGUAAAUAAAAGCAGCCUAAAAAAACCAAAUAUAUAUAUAUAUAUGUGUGAAACGUCGUCGUUUUAGGAAGGAUCCAGGCAAUUGGCUGCUACUUCAGUAGGACAUUUCCAAGUUGCUUCGUGCAUGGCACGUGAGGUUUAUUUAGUUAUUAACUCAUUAACUCUGUUUAUUUAUUUGUUAUUACUAUUCUUGAAAUUGACAACGGUAGGGUUAAUUGCAUAAGGACACAUCUUGGGUUAUUAGUCAAAUAUUUAAACCUUAUUAAAAAUUUGAUGUGAACUUAAACUUUUAAUAAUAAUGUGACGUCAUCACAACUUGCCUCAAAACCUAACAUUGUUAAUAAUAAAAUUCCAAUUAAUCAAACUUUUUAUAUACUAAAUAACAUAAACCAUCAGUCCUUUUCGGUACUACAAUGUGUUCAACUUUUGUUUGGUGUAAUGGUGCCUUGCUAUGAUGCCAAACUUUUUCUUUAUUUACAUUAUUAAUUUCUAACUCCUUCUCAUUUUCAAAACAAAAAAUCAUGAAACUAUUUUCACAUCUCCAAUAUGAAUGUUUAUGUUUAGUUUUUUUUUUUUGUCAAAAUAAUCAAAUUUCACUUUGAAUUUCCUUCUUGUAAAUUCGCGUUUGGGUUGGUUAAAAUUUGUAAGUAAACGUUAUCUUUUUAAUAUACAUUUUAAAGUCUAAAUUGAACUUUUAAUAAAAGAAAAUGAGUACUCAAAUAUUCUUGUUUGUUUUUGUAGUUUUUAAAGUUCGGUUCAGUAAUUAUAGAAAGAUUUUUAAAACUAUGUAACAAAAUGAAUAUACUAAUUGCUAAGUGGAAUUGAUAAUAACAAACAGUUAGAAAAAUAAAAAAUAAAAGAUAGUUUGGAGAGUUAGAUGAUUUUUACUCUAUUUUAUAAAUAAUCUUAAUAUUUUUUUUUACUUUGAAAAAUGUUCUUUUUUAUUUCUUGAAAAUAUAUAUUUCCCCGUCGUCCAUAGAACCUUCUACUUUUGAAAAUAACCUUUUGUAAGAUCAUUCUCGAUAUAAUCAUGAAUUGCUAAUAAUUUUAAGGAAUUUUAAACUAUGCUAUUAGCCCAUACAAUCUAAGAGAUAGAAUAGUGGUUACUGAUUAGCGUGUUAUAUUUCAACAUAUUUAUCGAGUGACAAGUUACGUGUUAAAAAGUAAAAUAAAGUAGAAAAAAAUAAAAUUAUUUUAAAAGUAUAGUAACCAAAAUAAGUAUUUUAAAAUCUGAAGAGUAGACUGAUAAAAAGACAUGACAAAUAAUAAUGAAGCAAAAUUAAAGUAGAUCAAUAAACAAUAUUCAAAUAAUAAAUAUUGAACAAAAGUUAUUUGGAAUAAAGUAUAUGAUUUAAUUCUUCUAAGGAGGCUAGCUAAGUACUUAUUUUGUUUUGUUUUGGAUGGCUAACGUAUUUUAACAAGUUGGGUCAUUAUAAAUAAAAACAAUAUUGAAAUAGUUGCAAAUUUAAUAAUUAGAUUCAAAGUAAUUAAAUAUAUAGUAAUAUUUUAAAAAAUUUAUAAAUAUAAAAAAAUUUGUCAAAUUCUAUCUAUGAUAAAAGUCUAUCAUUGAUAAACCAUGUUAUAAAUAUUGGUUUAUCAGCGAUAAAGCAUACGAGUUUUUCAACGAUACAAGUCUAUCGACUAUAGUUUUACUAUAUUAAUUUUAAAUAUUUUUAUACUUUUAUAUUUUUAAUUAUUAUUCUUCAAAUGAUCAUUUAUUACACUUAUUUGACAACAAUUCAAUAUAAUCUAUACACUUAAAAAGAUUUAACAAAAUUUUCUAUCAUUUAUUAACAGUAGGCAUUAGUUCAUCGAUAGAAUAAAUAUUUUUAUUACAUUUUAUAAAUAAUUUUAAACUUUUUAUCAGUUAUAAUAAUUUAUCAUAAAAUAAAAACAUUGUCGGUUUAAUUGUACUUUUUUGAACUAAUUUAUUUUCUCUAAAUUUGAAAACUUUUUAGAAAAUCUAUUUAGAAAACAAUUUGUGGUGGGUAAUUGGAUUGCAAUUUUGUCAUUUUUUUUAUUUUUCAAUUUAUUAUUACGUGAUAAUUUAUGAUUGAAACAUUUGAUUUAAUAGAAGAGUUCUAAAUAUUUUUAAUCUACAAUUAUAAAGUACUGUUUCAAAAUAAUAUUUAUUUUAAUGUGGGUAUGAAUAAUGUAUUGUAUAGCCGUGGAAGAUAAGCUUUAGAUAUAAAUUAAUACUCAUACGAGAAUCUAACAAUCUAUAAUUAAAUUAUUCUUAUAUAGAUAUAUAUAUAUAGUGAUUUAACUCUACAAUAGUAUAAUUUAUACAUGUCAUGUGGUGUCUUGUUUGUUAGUGAUCUUGUUCCUCAUUGUUUCUUUUUCUAGUUAAUUUAAUUUACGAAGCAUUUUCUAUAUAAAAAAAAUACAAAAGCAUCAUUAUUAAAUAUUAACGGGUUUUAGAGAGCAUAUAUGGUAUUUGAUUUACGGUAAGAAUUUAUAAUUAUGCCAAAAUGAUCGAGUUUGGUGAAAUGAUGUUGACAUAACGUUCGUUCUUAAAAGUUGGAAGUUCUUCUUCACUUCAUAAUUACUGUACUUAAAAGAAACUCUCUUAAAUUUGAUGUAGGAUGUAGAAAUGUCUUGAAUUGGUUAUGUGGUGCUACGAACAACCAACUAGGGAGGUCUCGCUAACCUAAUGGCAGCAUAUUGCAUUCUGAAACAUUCUCUCUAAUAAUACUUGUUCUUCUUUUUGUUUAUGGACGUAGUAACACAUUGUUAUUGAACCACAUAUAUCUUUAUGGCGAUUUUUACAUUUUCUUGUAUUAUAAAUUUUACUUCAUUAUUUUAAAGAGGAUAUGAUUUUUAGAAGUUAUUCUUCUAAUUUAAAAUGUCAUAUAAUUAUUUAAAAUAAAAUUAAAUAUAAAGUUAUUUGAGGGGCCUUUUAAACCUAUUUUUAAGAACUUAGGGACUAAAAAAGGUACAUUUUGAAAACUUGCGUGUCAUGCCCCGCCCUGCUAGCCACUUCAUGCAACCAGAAAGAGGCGUGUCACCUAGACUUCCAACUUGUACCUCUUUGCAAGAUAAUGAGUCGAACACCUAGUAAGCAAAACUCUUCUCAAACCAAUCUCCGACACAGAGCUUCAACUUUGAACUUAAGGGGAUAUCUUUACAACUCAACUUAGCGGAAACCACUUAUACAACCAACUUAGCUUGAUUGCCUAGCCUUAAACACUUAAACUUAUUAGCUAUACUAAGUGAUAAGCACAACAUGGAUACAUAAACACAAUAGAACAGAAAGAAAUAGAAAAAACAACCCUACUUUUAUUACUUGAUCCAAUCCUUUACAAUUACAUUUCUUUUCUCGCAAGGCACAAAAAAAAAAAAAACUUUAGGCUCACCGCUUUCUCUUCAUCCACUGGGAUGCUACUCUUCUCGUCAAGGUGUUUAGCAAUAUAAGACUCCCUUUCUUAUUUUUCUUCUUGAUCGCCUAGUAACCCAUCUCAAAGACAAGACUUUAUCCCACACGCAGAACUAGGAUGCAUGCAACCCUCUCUAAACACAAUAACUUUAAGCAAUCCGAAGACAAAUAACUUGGUCACCUAUCCCGCCCCAUAACCCGUCUUACCUUUCCUUACUUGGUCUCAAUGCUUGAUCACUUGGGAAAUAGAAACUUAAACACGUAAGUCAAAUACUUAGUGAGUGAAGAUUUCAGAAAUCCUUUUUAGGAAUACAAGUCAAGCACAAAUUCAUUUUCAUUUCUCAAACGCAUCUUCCAACACCUCAUUUCAUAAUCACAGAAAUCUCACAUUAGCUUCGCUUAUUCCUUUCCACCAAGAACAUGAAUCCUUCCCCUCAUCAAACCUACUGCGGUUCACUCUCACCAAUAUCUUGCGAUUGCAUUACUAUGAUAUGUUCAUUCCAUCCACAAUGUCUAAAAAGUUUUCUAAUUUAUUUAUUGUUGCACCGAUCGUCCACAUGACGCCACUUACAUUAUAUGCACACCACAUAAUCACUAUUCACUUUAUAGGAAUAAAGUUAAUGAUUUCCACAAAUUCAUCACAAUUAGCACCUAGAAAGCAGUAGUUUUCUCUUUUCAAAUGACAACAACAAUAAUAACACAGAGAGAUACAAAACUCAUUAUACAUAAUUCAGACUAAAAAAGAAUCUAUUAAGAAAACAUUUAGUUUACAAAUUACUCACGCAAGAGUGUUUAGUUUAAGAAAGUUACUCAUGAAAAUGUCUAAUCCUCUUCUUUCCCGAACGCUUCUCCCUACCUAGUACUCCCUCAACGACAAUUCAACUUCUUGCACUCUCUUGACAAAACCUCCAAAUAACAGUACUUCUCUUAGGGUCUUCACCUCUAUUUAUACUAAUCCUCUGAACUAGUUACUUUCUUUACCCGACAGAAUUACAACUUUACACGUGUCGCCUUACCGCCUUGUUGCACUAUGCAGCCAAAUUCAAGCUCGACACAUAAGUCAUAGGUCAACUCAAGAUUAGACAUUCCCUUGAGAUGUCAAUCUUAUCUUCUUGAGAAGCUAAACUCUUCCUUGCCUUCUCUUUUUUGUGACAUACCACAACUGUCCAAUUCUUUUCUCACUGCGCUUUGUGUUCCUUCAUCAGAUCGCCUAACUCUUCUUACGAUAAAACUUCUUCGCUGCAACAACUCUUUCUCCAUCACAUUCUAUAAAACACGACUUCCUUCCUUCGUUCUCAAUUUUAUCUUUAGAAUGAUCAAUCUUUUUAUUUUAAAAGGAUCAUCCCGACGCCUUUUUUCUUCAACAUAACUCAUUUUUUCUGAUCUGAGCCUCACAAUUUGGGGACCAAAUGUGUAUUCUAUAAAUCUAAGGACUAAAAAGAUCUAUUUUCAAAACUUAGAAACCAAACAUACAUAUUCAUCAAAACCUAGAGACUAAAAGGGUAGUUUUCUCUAUAUUCUUUUAUUGUCGUUUUAGAAUUUUUCUGGAUAAUUUGAUCGUAAUUUCAAAAAACGCAUCUUAUUAUAUCAAGAACAGUACAUUACAAAAAUAAAAAAAAUUAUUAACAAGGGGAGUUGAAAAUUAAACCACGUGAUCUACAAAAAAACAGAAAAAAUCAUUUUAAAAUUUUUGUUUUUAUUUUUGAAAUUUGGCUAAAGAAAAAUGCAAAUAAUUUUGAAAAAUUAAGAGAAAACAUGUUUAAGUUUUAAAAAUAAAUAAAUAAAUAAAUAAAAUGAUUAACAAACAAGACAUUUAGUUUUUGAAAUUUAUAUGUACUUUACCUUUACAUCAUAGUUUUACAACUUUAAAAUGAAAGAUAAAUUGAAAAAAAUGAUCUUUUUUUAGUUCAAACUAGGGUUUGCUUCUAAAAAACAGGCCGUGGAAAUAAAAAAAAAAAAAAAUUAAGGUAGGGGAAAGGAAGUAGUUCAUUAUAAAAAGUCAUAGUGACAAAAUUUUACUAGUUAAAGAUUCAGUAAAACUGUAUAUCAAAUAGUUGAUUAUAAAUAGUCAAUUUUAUAUCACUUAAUAAAGUGACGUAAUUUUACUAGUUAAAGAUUCAGUAAAACUGUAUAUCAAAUUAAAUUAGGUAUUUACAUAUGCAGAAUAAAAUUGAAAAUAUUUACGGUUCAUAUAACAAAAUAAAAAAAGCUUUUGAAGUCAGUAUAACUUAAGUUAAUUUAUUCUUAAAUUCUAGAUUUGUCCUUCCAUAAUUUCUUUCUUUGUCUAUAUCGGAUAGACACAAAUAAUCGUCUAUCUAUGUCUAUCUCAAAUAUAUUUAUUUAUACUCAUUACUUUUCUCUUAUCUUAUUUAGAAAGUUAUUUAUUUACCAUUAGAGAAUCAUGGACAAAAAUAUGCUUAUUUUUGUCUAUAUGUGUGAUAAAUAACAUUCUAACUAUAUCCUUGCAUCGUGAAUAGAAUCAUCAUCUAUUUUUUCUUAUUUUAUAAUGGAACAUGGAUAGAGGUAGACAGAGAUAGACAUAUAUCUCUGUAUAUCUCUUGUUAUUUGUCUUUUAUAAUGAAUCAUGGAUAUAGAUAGACAAAAUAGAAUUCUAGACGUAUAUUUCUGUCUAUUUUUUUUUAUUUGUCUUUUAUAAUGAAUUGUGUAUAGAUGAACAAAGCUAGAUAGAAGUUUAAUUUAUUCCAUCACUAUUGAAUAGUUAAUUUACUUUCUUACAUAAUCUUGUUUUCAUUUUAUAAAAAAGAAUAUAUGUCUAUUCCUAUAGUUAUAUAUUCACUUGAGAUUAUUUGUUAGAAUCGAAUUAGAUAGACAGAGUUAGUGGUCUAUCAUUGUUUCUUCAAAAUAGAUAACAUUCAAAUAUAUAUGUUGAAUUAACAUUGUAUUGAAUGAUGAUUAUUUGUUAGAAUGGAAUUAGAUAGAUAGUGAUAAUGUUCUAUCUCUGUUUGUCCCAAAUAGAAAGCGAUAGUGCUCUAUCACAAUUGUUAUACAAACUAUCAAAUUGUUAUGUAAAUUAUUAUCACAGUGAACAGAAAAUCAUACAUAGAUAAAGAUCUGAGCCCAACAAAUUCACGUUGUCUUCUUAAGACAAAUUUACUCACCCUAGUGGUUGAGAAUUUAGAACAAUUGCCUCCCUUGAUAGAACAGAUCAACUUUCUUCUAUAUGUAGCACCUUGUAUAGAAGAUUUACGAAUGAAACCUUGUGAAUCUACCGAAUGUCAAGAUUGUGGAUAUGGAGAGAAAUUUGUUUAUAGAAAACAAAUGAUUUUGAUGUGAUUAUUUCUCUCAACCAAAAGGACUUAUUUAUAGACUUUCCUUGGCCAUUUGAAAAGUUAUGUCCUUUAGUUAAUAACAUCUUUCACGAAAUGAUGCAUCCAUUCAUGAAUGAACAAUCAUACCCAUUUAUUCCAACAACAAUAUCACUAUCUACUUGGGAAUAGACAGGGAUGAUAGUCUAUCACUAUCUAUCCAAAAUAGAUUGUGAUAGCAUGCAAAUAUACGUGUUGAAUUAGCAUUGUAUUGUAUUGAAGUUAUUUGAGAAUUAAAUCAAAUAGACAGUGACAAUAUUCUAUCUCUGUCUAUCCCGUAUAAAAGAUGAUAGUGUUUCAUCACUGUCUAUCUGGAAUAGACAAAGGUACUAUCUUUGUCUAUCCUAGAGGAAAGAAAAAGCAUAGAUGUAAAUAAAAAAGCGUGAAGGUUAAUCGUGUGAGAUUGUCUUUAUUUUUCUUUUAUUUAUCUUAAGCAAAUCAAAUUUCAUGUUGAAAUAAACUUAAUUGAAUGUUAAAUUUGAUAGAGAUUUACUCACAAGAAAUCACAGCUCAUACAACAAGUAAUCUUUUUGAGAUUUGAAUCUUUUUUUUAUUUUUUUAUUUUUUUUAAGAUAGAGAUAAAGAAAAGAAAAUAUAUAAGGAAAAUUUUAUUAUUUUUGGCAUUUUUUUUUGGCACUCUUUUACUUUUAUCAAUAUUUUUUUUUUAAAAAAGGAAAAACUUUAGUCUUAUUUAACUUAUUAUUAUUAUUAUUAUAUUUAUUUUAUUUAUUUUCUCGGCCACCACCCCUCUAUUUUCUUCUCUUCUUAUUUAUUUAUUUAUUUCCUUUUCUUUCUUUCCUUUCUUCUUUCAUUGUUUUAUCUUCUCUUACAGUAUAUUUUUUUCUUUCUUUUACUUAUUUAUGUUACAAUUAUAAUAAUUAUUUAUUAUACAUGCUUAAAUUUAUGUAUGCAUAUUUUCCCUUACAUUUUACAUUGAAUUUAUCUGGACAAUAUUACCAAAUUAUUUUAUAUUAAUUAAUUAAUUAAUAAUAUUUUUACAUCAUACUUGUCUUUACAGUUUAUCCUUCUCACAAAACUCCAACGAUGAAAUUAGAAAUAUCUGGAAGUCCAUUAUUUUUAAAUUCUUGAGGUGAGGGGAUCGACUCCUUGAAAGUCGAAGACUGAUUUCCAAUAUAUAUAUUUUUAAAAUUUUUAAAACUAUCUUUUUUUUUUAAUAUAUUUUUUAAAAAUAAAUCUAUAUUUAAUGAGGUUUCCUAAUCAACUAUUUUUUUAAUUACUCACACCUAUUUCGCUAAAAAAAUCCUAUGACAAAAUCUAAAACUUUUUGGAAGUCCAUUGUUUAAGAUCUUGGUACAUGAUCUUAAACUAAGAUUGUUUAGAUCUGGUAUGUGAUCGUGUAUCAUUUUCUACAAAAUCACGUAUCAUGAUCGUCUAGAAGAAUUAGGUGCGUUUGUUGUUGAUUAAUCAUGUGUUAACUGAAACAUUUUUUGUAUUUUUUCAUGGUGAGUAUGUUGACUUUUUAUUUUGUCGAUUUGUUAUAUUUUUAGAAAAAAGUCUUAUUUAAAAGUUUAAAGAUAAAAUUGAUGUUUAAAUAUAAUAAGAUAAUUAAGAAAGUAUUGAUGGAGAUUGAAGAGAGUCUGUUAUAACAUGGUAGCCAGUCUAACUCAAACAUAACUCAUAACUCAAUUGGUGGAAUUGAAAAGAGGUUAAUGAGUUCCAUAUGUACUGAUUAGUUGAAAAGUCAAGGAACGUGGCCAAUAAUUUGAUAGACAAUUAAUCACCAAAUUGGUAAGAAAAUGGGAAAAGGUAACAUGAUUGGUCGGAUCAGUCAAAGUUCUAUACAUCGGUAUUUGCUUUGACUUUGACUAAUCAUUCUGAAGAAAUCACCCACAUUUUUCCUUAUCACAUUUUGUCCCUACACAAUUUUUCGUUUAACGAAAAACUUCAAAAAAAAAAAUACAUUUUCAAUAACAAACUCCCUUACUAAAUAUAUAUAUCAUUCUUUUUAAUAAACAAAGCUUUAAAUACAUCAUUUACAAUCAUUUAAAUUUGAAAACAAUAUUUUGAGAAACCUACUUUUUCAACAAUGUUGUUUUUGUUUUUUAAAAUUUGACUAAAAAUUACUAUCUAUCAAACAUCCAAAUUAUUGUAAAACAGGAAGAGAAAAUAUAUUUAAUUGUUAACAAAAUAAAAAUAAAUUGACUCCCAAACGAGAAACAUUAAUUUUUAUAAAUAUAAUAAACUGACAAUAUAUUUAUGGCCCGUGUAACAAAAUAAAAAAACUUAUAAAAUUGGUCAUUUUUCUCAAUAUUUUAGAUUUGCUCCUCAUUUUAAGUGUCUUUCGUGUUUGUGAUUUGUUUAGAUACAUACAUUGAACUUUCAUCCAUUUUGUGUAAUUUUUGGCUUUCAUCUCUCCUUUUCAAAUGUUUCUGUUUUUGUUUUUCAAAUUUUGAAUCUUCUAAACUAUGUUUUAAUCAACUAUAUUGAAUUUUACACCACCUUUACUUUUAAUAUUUAUCUUAUUUGAUUUAUUCAAUAGAUAUUCACGAAAAUUUAGUAAUCUAAUAACUAACAUAAAUGUUUAAAAUAUGUUUCUUUUAAUAUGUAAUUAUGGAUUAAAUAAGUAAUGUUUAAGUGGGAACAAAUUAAAUGUUUUGUUUUGUUGUUUUAGUAACAUUUUUAACAUCUUAGUGUGGAUAAUUCAUAUUUGGUGUCAACCAGUGCAAAAAGUUAAAAUGAAGCUCAACAUUUAUAAUUUAGAAUCAUUUUAAGAUGACAAGUUUUAAAAUUAUGUAUAAAAUAUUCAUAUCAGACUUUAGGUAUAUAUUAAGUUUUAAAUAUUUCUUUUUAUAUUUUGUAAAUAGUUUCAUUUUCUUUUACUAUUCCUAACCGAUUCCUCAUAAUUUAUUUAUUUACAUUGAUAUACAAUUUUCAAUUAAUUAAGUUUUCAUUGAUUUGAAUUUUCUUUUAAAUCUUUCCUAGUUUUAUCACGUUAGAUUACAUCUUUUAAAAAAAAAGUUAUUUAGUAAAAAUAAAUUUCAUUUAAAGAAUAAAAUUAUCUUUUGUUAAUUACAUAUAUAUCCAUCCUACAAUUUGCCCAGUUUGUAAAUUAUAUACGUAAAUAGUUAAGUUUUGUUUAGAAAAAUUAUUUUAAUAUAUAUUUUAAAGAAAAUAUAUAGCAAAAUAUCACAAUUUAUGUGUGAUAGAACAAGAUAAACUACGAUUUGUAUUUAUCAUGAUACAAAUAGACACAAAUAGUAUUCUAUUAUUACAGUGAUAUUUUACUAUAUUUUAAAAAUAUUUUGGUGAUAUUUUGCUAUAAUUAAAAUUAAUCUGAUAAUAUAGGCUAUGGGUGAUGGCCUAAUUGUGUAAUAUUUUAAUUGAAAUAUUUAAGACAUGAUUUCAUGCUUAAAUCAUCCUUUGUAAAUGUACAUAUAGUGCUAUUAGUUGGUAAGGUAAGAAACGGAUUAAAAAAAAUGUGGCCACAAAAGUCUACAAGGAUUAUAUAUGGUAUAUGCCAUAUUGACCUUUGACUAUUUUUGUGUGAUAAUUAACAAUGUAUGAAUAAAAAUCCUAAAACUUUUUGACCACGAGACGUUACCAUUAAUUAGUUCCAUCCUAGCUAAACAUGACCACUAAAUGUGUGUAUAUACAAUUUUGAGCAACAUGGUAAAUGUGUAUCUAAUCAUUAGAAAAUAUAUGGAAUUUAUUAAAAAAAAAUAUUGUAUUUUUGAAAUGUCACGAUGCAAGAUUCUUAAAAAAAACCAUUCUGGUGCCAAUUAGAUCAUAUUUGUAUUUUUUUUAAAAUCAAAAGAUUAUAGGUUGAAGUUUAGUUAUUUAAAUUACACACAAGGGUUUGGAUUUGAAAUUGUGUAAUUUUUUAAUAUUUCAAACUCUAAGUCGAUCGUAGGUUGAAGAGUGGCUUUUGGGUGUAAACUUGAUGCGAUGUUUUAGUAUUCUUUUAGAAAAAUAAUUUAAUUUAAUUUUCUUUAUCAAAUUUGAGUUUUGGUUAGAAAAUGUGACCUUUUAAACUCUUUUUUCUUUUUUUCUUUCUUUUUUUCUUUUUUUUUUAUUUUCUUUAUUUAUCAAACUCUAAAUAGUUUGCACGUUGAGAAGAUGUCAUUUUUUUUUUUUAUUAUUUGUUUUUUGGAAAAAGGAAAUUGUAUGUUCAAAUUCUGCAAUCUUUUGAUUCUUUUAAACAAAAACACCAACCUGUGGUCUUUUUAAGAAGUUCACACAUCAUCUCUCUUUGAAAGUAUAAUUUUUUUAAUUGUUUGAAUCUUACAUAACUUUACAAACUAUCGUCAAACUUGCAAUAUUUUUUUAAAAAUCCUUAGAAUAUGUGGCUUCAAUAUAGUUCUUCGUCCACUCUAAAAUUAUAAUUUAUUACGAAUUUGUAUUUGUAUUAUUAUAUAUUACUGUUUAUUUUAUGUUCUUUUAUCAUUUUUAUCUGAAGUUCAUUCUUAUACAUACAACCAUCAGACCCUCAAAUAGAUGAUGAUAUGUUAUGGACGGAAGAGUAUCUCUUCUCAUAUUUCCAUAUAUUGUUUAGUAUAUGAAGUUCUAUUUGAUGUUAUGGACGGAAGAGUAUCUGAAGUUCAUUCUUAUACAUACAACCAUCAGACCAACUUGGACUCUUAUUGUUUCAAGGUUGUCAAUCUUUUAAUUUGUGUUGUAAACUUUACUAUAAUCUUUUUUCAUUUUCUCGGUUAAAGAAAAUAGUAAUAAUAUUUUUCAAAAGCUGAAGCUAGUGAUUGAAGGCAAAUUUAAUAUCCUCCCAACUUGUGAGCUUGAAAUAUAAAAAAAGAUAUCCAACAAGUGGCCAUCAAUAUCUAAUGGAGAGGAAAUAACAUUGCAAGGCUUGAACAUAAAACUUCUCUAGACCACCUAAUCUGAUACCGUCUUAAAUUACCAAUUCUUCUAAAGUUUAAACUAGUGCACUGAUUAAAGUAUAAAUUUAAUAUAAUAUCUAAUACACUUUACAUAUUAUCAUUUGCUAAUAAAGUAGUGUAUUUUAAUUGACUUUUUUAAAUAUUUAAAUAAAUGAAGUGUUUAUAUGUAAAAAGAUUGUCUAUGAAGCUUAAUAAUCCAAAUACAAUCUUAUAAUUUAAUUGACCUUCUAUCUUUUGGUUAUCUUUGAAAGGUUGGAAGAAGUACAUAGGUAAAAAUUCAAUAGGAUAUUUAAAAAAUAGUUUAAUAAACUAAAAUAUUUAUGAUAUAUAUAGGAGAAUUUUAGAUCCUACUAGCGUAGACAUAUAUAGAAUAUGAAAUUUUGUUAUAUAAAUAUUUUCAAUAUCAACCAUUUAUUGUUUAUCAUUAUUUUUAUAAUAUUUUCAUAUUGUAAAUAAAUGUCCCACCAAAACAACACAUAAAUAGAUAAAACAACCAUAUAUGUAUGCAUGUAUAUAUGUAGGAAAGUUAUCUAUAAUUGUGAUAUAGACUACGAUAAAUCAAGAUAGAGUAGUAUACCAUAGAUAGAAUGUGAUAUUUUACUAUAUUUUGAUUCAUUUUGUUAGGUUAGAAAAUAUUACUAGAUAUAUAAAUUAAAAUUAUUAUUUUUGGUGGAUAUAUAAUGUGAAAAAAGCAUAUGUUUGUAUUUGAUUUAUUUAGCUGUCGACAGACAAUCAUGUUCGUACAAUUUCUAUUUCUGUUUGUACUUAAUAGUUAUAAUCAAUAAAUACAAUUAGAAUUAAAACAUGGUUAUAAAGUUGAAUUAUUCAAAAAGAAAAACAAAAAGGUUGAAAUUCAAAGUUAUGCAGCUCAAAGCCUCAAACCCAACAAAACACAUCAAAUAUAUAUGCGUGAAUGGAAUCCACUCAAUUAAUUUUUCAAUAAUAUUUAUUUUCUUAAUAUGCCUUUUUCAUUAUUAAUGUUUUACACUAUUUAUAAUUAAUUAUUUGUUUCUUUUUCAAUUUUGCCCCUCUUGUUGACUGCUCAAAUAUAAUAUUCAAGUGUGAAAUGAAAAGUCAGCAGAUUUUUAAUGCCAAUUUGGUAACUACUUCCUUUAUUUCUUUUUAAAAAUUACAUCUAUUUGAAAAUAAUUCUUAAUCAAAUUUAAAAAAAAACAAAAUUUUAAAAGUUAUACUUUUUAAUUUAAAAAAUUAGCUUGAUUUUUUAUAUUAUUAAUAAAAAGUAGAUAACAAAAAAAGAAAACAAAAUGAUUUUUAACGUUUGAAGGCAUAAGUAAUGUUUUGUAAAAUUAAUUGUAAAAAAAAAUAAAAAAAAUGAUUACUUGUUAAGCAUCUAGCACAACAUAACUAGAUUGAAUUUUAUUAGUUUUAUUCUGGAAUAAAAUAAAAUAAUUUUAUAAUUGAGAUUUUUUUAAAAAAUAUAACAAAUCCGUAAAAUAUUUAGAACAAUUUUAAAAACAAAAAAAAAACCUAUAUACUCAUAAUGAAAAAUACCAACAAUACUUCAGUCAAUAAGCGAUUAAUCGACCACACGCGUGUGCAAGUAAUCUCAUUCUAAAUGAUAGUGUACUACAGUUUAAGCGAAUGAUCUACGAUCAUUUAAGUCAUAAUACACGAUCAUGUAUUUCCUUUUAACGAUGAAAAAAACUUUAAAUUUAAAUGAUCAUGUUGACGAUGGUAAAUGAUCAUGUUGAUAAUUUAAAACGAUAUUAAUUUAAAUGAUCUUUGAUAUUCUCGGAUACGAAGAAGAUGAAGAAAAAAUAUUGAAACAAUAUUGAAAUAGCUUUGAAGAAUAAUCUUGUCAAAAAUAAUGAAAGUAAAAUAGGAGAUUUAAAUUGAUGAAUAAAUUGUUUUAAAAUAUAAGGAAGAAAAUCUAGAAGAAGAAGAGAUAAGGAAUUAAGAAAUUCGAAAGGAGGAAGAAGGAAAAGAAGUGACAAAUUAUUCACGAUAUUUAAGAACAAAUCUAAAAAAUAUAAAAAAUAUUUUACCGACUUUAUCAGCUUUGGAUUUUUUUUACGCCAGCUUUAGAUAUUUUUUGAUUUUGUUAUUAAAUUAUUCUUUAUAAUUAUUGUUUAUUUAAUAAAAUCAAAUAAUUUUAGGUGGGAGAUUAUUUAUUAUAUUUAGGUGGGUGAUUAUUUAUUAUUUUUUUAAAAAGUUACAUACACAAUAUCAAUAUAUUAAAUGAGUUGACUGGUCAUAAAUAAAAUGGAGAGAAAUUACCGAUUAAGCUUAAUAUUAUCUCAAAAUAUAAGAAAAUAAUUUUAUUUUGAGAUAGUCGUAAAUUUAGUCAUUAGAUUCAAAAUAAUUAAAUAUUUAACAACAUUUUAAAAAAAUUGUAAAUAUAGCAAAAUUUGUCAAAUUUUAUCAAUGACAGAAGUCUAUUCUGAUAGACCAUGUUGUAAAUAUUGAUAUAUCACUGAUAGACCAUACGAAUCUAUCAUCGAUACAAGUUUAUCGACGAUAGUUUUGCUAUAUUUACAAUUUUUUUAAAUGUUGCUAUAUCAUUAAUUAUUAUUCAUAAAAUAGCCAUCAAUUACAAUUAUCCUUUUAUUUUUGUAAGAACAAAUUACAAGACAUUAAGGAUACACGAAAAAUUGAAUCGAACAAAAAAAAGGAGCACGCUCAUGAAGAAUUGAGGUUUUUCUCUUUUAAAAAGAAGUAAAAAGAAAAUCUCACGUUAAAUUGAGGUUUUCUAAUUUACAAUAGAUAUCAUAUAUUUUCUUUCUCAUAUUUUACGAACAUUAAACUUUCAAUUUUAUAGUUUUACUAGUGAUUUUGGAUCAAAUGACAUAUAAUAUAAAUUAUAUAAUUGACAUAUUUACAAAGGACAAGGUUAAAAGGAAGCAUGAUAUAUGCUAAAAGUAAUAACUAAAUUAAAGAUUAAAGUAGGUCUAAUAAAGGGUUGACUUAGGUUGGGUUGGGUUGAGCUAAACUAAAACCAACAGCCUUGGUCGAGAUUAACUCUAGCCAAACGUCCAAUAAAACACAUUUUAAGCGUAUACCUCAACCUAAAAUAACACUUUAAGCUAGAGCAAGAUAUAACCUAAGAAAAACGCUCAGUCGAGGUCGAGACUAAGGUCGACCUAGUUGACCUUAGCCAAACACGAAACUAGGCAUACCCUUUAGCUUAGUUGGUUAUUUAAUUAUAUAUAAAGUGACCAGAAACCUUAGGAAAUACCUCAAGUAAAUUUUUUCUAUAAAUAUAUCAUAAUAACCUCAUAUUAGUAAUGAAAACUCGACUUUCAAACUUUCUCUAGCUUUCACACUUCUUUUAUCACUCAUGGACUUAAGUACCAUACAUGUGUGCAUGUUUUCUAUACAUAUAUCAUAUAAUGACUUCAUAUGAAGUAACUUGAGUUUGACUCCCAAACUCUUACUAGCUUCUACACUUUUUGAUUACUCUCGUUUAAGCAUUAUAGUGUGUGUGACAAGCACCAGACAUAUAUAUAUAUAAUUUUUUUCAGAUCAUGUUUUUUUUUCUUUUAAAAAAAUUUCUAUUCGUGUUAUGAGAACACGAGUCCAAAAUUUGGCAUUAUCAAUAUACAUGUAUAUAUUGGUGUUAAAAAAAGAGUGAAACAAACAAAAAAAAAAAAAGAUUUCAUUUGCCAUUAAAUUUUGUAUAAAAAGUGAAGAACAUUGUAACAAAAUGGAAAAUAAAUUAGAGUGAAACAAAUUGCAGCAGCCAGGCUAAAAAUGUAGAAAAUCUCAAUACCCUAACAAAAAGUUGUUUUUAAAAGCAUUUUUUAAUCUUUAAAAUUUCUUAUAGUUUUAAAACCAAUUUUAAAUUGAAAAAAGAAAAAGAAAACUCAAUCAAAUACCAAAUAAACAUUUUUUCUUUUUAAUUUAUAAAAACUAAUUAGUUCAAACCAUCCAUUUUUGAAUUAGGUUUGUAGGGUGAUAAGUUUAAUUGUUGUAUUUAAUAAUUGAGAUCUAUGAAAUUAAAAUUACUUAAUUAUUAAUAAUUGAUAAAGUUUUAGCAAUUAACUUCACAACCCUUUCUAAAUAAAUAUUUAGAGAAGUAGAUUUAUAAAAAUUUUGGACAAAUAAGAUUAGUAAAUUUAGAGAAAAAUUAAAAAGAAAUGCCAACGAGUUUGAAGGUGAAAUUAUUAAAAAGUUAAAAGUGUACAAAUUAGAAAAUGCCAACAAAAAAGACAUUCAUAUGUUAUAUUUGUUUAUUGGCAGAGAAAAUGUGUUUUAUUAAUUGGCCAUAGAAUUUCUUGCUACUUGCAAUAUUUAUAUUGGGCCAAGUCAAUUUUUUGUGGCCAAAUUGGGUUUCUUUUUCAUUUUAUCUUUUAUGCAAUGUGUUUAAAGAAUAUUAAAAUAAGAUAUUCUAAAAAGAAUAUAUAUAUUAAAACAAGAAUAUUUGAUCUUACAUGUUCAAUAAAUGACAUAUUAGAUCAAUUUAAAGUUUAGUCUAAUAAUGACAAAUCAAUACCUUAAAGACCAAGUUAAAAAUAUCUAACAACAGAUCUACCAUUGGAAUUUGGCUUGACCCCUCCAACUAUAUGCUUUAUAUUAUAUAAUUGUGUGUAUAUAUAUAAUUUUAUUAGAAAAGAUCAGAAUUUCCUCAAGGGUUAACAUUAGCCGGCGGAUCUAUAAUUAUCGAAAUGAAAUGGAUAGAUUGCUAAUAUCAAAAUUCUAGAUGAUGUACUACCCAACCAAAACUUGUCAUGUACAAUGUUACAACAGUAAAACAAGUCACAAAUCUAGAAAGUUAUAUAGAGGCUCUAUAAUAUAAAUGUAAUUAACUUUUUUAAUAAAGAAAUGUAAACCAAUACUCAUUCAUUCAUGUGUUAAUUGAUUUGAUACACUGUAGCUAUCUCGACGCUUUUUCAUGUUAAAAUCAAUUCAUGAUAACCUUAUUAUCUAACUUAUAUUCAAUAAAUAUUUUUCAAUAUAUGCUAUAAGAUAAUAUAUGCUACGAUUUUAAUUUUCAUUGUGCAAUCAAGUCUUCACAACAUUCAUGCAAAAAAGAAAAAAAGUUCUCUACAGUAAUUGUACGAUAGGUAAAAUCAACGUCGAGGUGUGAGCAAUUGAUAAACAAAUGGAUAUACCUCAUCCCUUUUUGUCAUAUGAAACCAUUUUUUAUGGGAGAACACAUGUUUUUUUUAUUCAACCAACUCAAUACCUGAACAUAUAUAUCAACAUAGUGUAAUUUUAAAGUUAAUUCUAUUGCACAGAGAGUUUAAUAGCUAAAAAUCUCUUGGAUAACACUACAAGAAAUAGGGAUAGCCCGACACAUUUUCUAACAUCAGGACAAGGGUCAUUGGUUGUCAAAAAAUAGUAUAUCCGCUGAAGUUGUAAGGUUUGUGUCGGCAAAUUCAAUGUUUCCCGACAUUACGACAUCGUACACAUUCACGUCGGAGAAAGGAAAACAAUUAAAUAAUAAUUUUCUUUUUCCCGGUGCCAUGCAUAUACACGUUAGGAAUAGCCAACUAUUCCCAACUUUAAAAUUUACGGCAUUGGGAGAAAGAAAACAAUUAAAUAAUUAGUUGGCUUUUACUCGACGUCAUGCAUUGAACGUUGGGAGAGUAGGGGGCAAUAUUUUCGACGCCAUUAAGUAACACGUCAGAACUAGUUGCUUUUACUCGACGCCACGCACGGGACGUUGGGAAUAUGGAAGAAAAUAAUAGCUCAAAUUGUAUUUAAUUUUUUUGUUGGUGUAUUUUUAUAGGUUGAUAUAUGGAAUGAAGUUUUGCAUACCUAUGGAGAUGACAAUUCACCUUAAUAAAAUGUGUUAGGAAACAAAAUACAAAAAUCAAUUAUAAGAUGGAACUUGUGAUAUUUUAGCUAUCAUGAUAUACUGUUUUGUAGCUGUCAUUUAGGUUUUGUUAAAAUAUUAUCGAUGACUUUGUUUGAUAUGAAUGUAUGAAAAUGAUUUGCUUAAUUAAUAUUCAUUUGAGUUCUAAAUUUUAGGUUACAAACACACAAAAAAAAAAAAAAAGAACAAAACAAAAAACACUUGUAAAAAUAGUAAAAUAAUAAUAAUAAUAGGGCCUAGUCAUUACAUUUUCUAAACUGUAAAAGUUAGCAAAUUUAAAAGUCGAUAAUUCUCUGAUAGUCAUACAAUAUCACUAAUUAAUUGUCAUAUUUUUUAUAUUCGUAAUAUGCAAAUAAGAGAUGUCAUAGACUGUUUUUUUAAAAUGUUUUUGUCAUCUAAUGCAAUUUCUCAAAUAAAAAUAAUAAUAGAAGAUAUUUUAAAAAAGUUCUAUCAAACUUUCGACGACUUUUGACGGAUAUUAUUCACCUGUUGGGAGAUCCCUAACUCUUGAUGGUUGAAAUUUGAGCGUCGAGAAAUAGUAUCCUGACGGGCAUAUAUAGACCAAACUCUUGAUGGUAGUCUUGGCGUUGGGAGUUCAAUUUCUGACACAUUUUUUUUAUCAUUUUCCGACGAUUUCAUGCAUCGGGAAAUGGUGUUUUCUUAUAGUGUAUAUGAAGAAAACAUUGUAAUAAAACUAGUUAAAGUGUUGUUAUGUGAUCCCCGUUGAGAAUUUGCAUGCUGAUUGUUUAACCAUCGUCUUUUGAUUCAUUCCUCGUCCCCUUGAUAUUUCACCAUUAUUUUCAGGUUACAAAAAUUUUAUGUCAUGUUUCUCUAGUACAUGUAGAUAAAAUCUACGAGAGAAACAUCUAAUGUCUCAAUAACAAUCACUACAUUUAUUUGUAUAUAUAAAAAAAAAAUACUAGCAAUUUUAACAUGUUUUUUUGCGGCAGCAAUAAGAGCUAAUUGAAGUUGAUGGGAAAAAUACUGAAUGUAAAAAUGCAUCUUCAAAAUAAGUGCUUUCAAAUCCGUUAAACUCACCUUGCAUAUUACUUGCUUCAUCAUAUCUUUGUCCUCGCAAAUUUGAAAUACUUAAUAUCCAUGCUAAGAAAAAAUUAAAAAGCAUCCAUUGUUUUCUUAAGUGAUAGAGCACUUGUUUUGUUGACAUGCAUGAUUCCAACAAAUCAUUCAACCACGUGACAUGACAUUUAUUUACAUAUCUUAUUACAAUUAACAUCUAAGAUAUAUCUUUUGAUUCAAGAUAGAAAAUUGCUUCUCAAUCAUAUCUCUUAUAACCAUUAAUCAAGAUACAAAAUUGCUUCUCAGUCAUAUCUCUUAUGACCAUUAUCAAUUUCGACUGAAAUAUAAUUCAUUUAUCUUUUUGAAAAUCAGGUGCAAUUAAUUUUAAAUUAUUCGAAGAAAUGCAAGCCCUUGUCUUAAUAAUAAAAAUUGUAUACAAUCAAUUGAUGCACCUAAUCAAGUUUUGAUACUCAACUCGUGUUUGGUUCAAACAUUUAAUUCAUAAAAGUCUCAAUACGUUGUUUUUUUGUUUCAAGAGAACCUCACACUAUCCAAAGCUUGAUUGUGUGCACUAUUAUAUAUGGUGACCAAUAGGUGUUUGUAAUUUAUCUUUUUUUUCUUCCAAUUAGAAAAUCAUUCCAUUACAUAAAACAAUCACCGAUCCUUUGCUUUCUUUCUGUUUUGAACAAGUAAAAAUACAAACAAUACGUGACAUCAUUUGAAAUGUUGUAUAAUAAACCAAUUAGAAUAUUCCUUACCGCACACAGAAUUAAAUCAUAUUGGCUUUGAUCUUAAUUUCGGAAAAGUAUGAUUUUCAAAUUGACAAAAACAUUUUUGUAAAUAUGCUCUAUAAACUUCAUCUUGAAUAUUACAAUUAUAAUUGAAAAUUUUAGUUCUUAGACUAGGAUUCCACUAGUAUUCCACUAGUAUUUCUUUUAAGAGAUAUUUUUCUUGUUUGGAAAUGACGACUUCAUAAUUUCUAUCUUUAUUGUUAGGUUUCUUUCAAAAUAUCAUUUCAUAUUGAACUAGAGUUAAUAACAAUUUUAAAUUCUAUACAUAAAACUAAAAAUAUAUAUAAUAACUAAAGAGUUCAAGAAUUUAAAACUUGUUAAUAAUAUGAUAUUAUAACGUGAUGAAUAAUAAAUAAAUUAUCUUGUAAUUUAACUCUAUAACUAACAUAUGUGUGUAUCUAUGCAUAAUGUGAACAUUUAAAUUACAUAUUAAAAGAAAGUAAAUGUUAUUGUUGAGAAUCGAGAUUGAAUUUUUUUAUCAAAAUGUUGAAGAAAAAAACAUUACACAUACAUUAGAGAAACGGUCCAGUUUUAUGAUUAUUUUCGUAACUAAUGAGACUACCUUCCAACCUAAAAUCAAGGUUAUAUUUUUAUUUAUUUUAAUUAGAUAUUUAUAAUUUAUUAAAAAAACUUUCUAGUUUAUCCCAUAAUAAAAUCAAGGUAUUAUGGACUAAUCAUCGUGCAGAAGAGGCCACUUGGGAGAAUGAAGAACAUAUAAGACUAAAGUAUCCUCAACUUUUCUCUUCAACUAACAAAUUUCGAGGACGAAAUUUCAAUAAGGAGGUAGUAAUUGUAAGGCUCAAGUCACGAAGUUACCUUACGCGAUAAGAAGCACGACACGAUAAGGAGACUACACAGAGAACCCUCACUGCAGUAUCGGCUUACUUCACCAGAAAGUAACAUCAUUGCCCACGUAAGAAAAACUCGGUGAACGAUUUGACCUUGCAGUCCAAUAUGAAUCUAAGAUAAUGAAAUGGCAAGACAUGUGGCAUUCUGAAAUUGGAUCUCUUCUCGCCGCCGACAAUAAUAAUCAGUACAACAUGAGGAACCUCCACUAGAAAAAGGCUAUAAAAAGAGAAAAUCACAGUCAUUUUUUGUUGAUCUUACCCAAGCUUUCAAAAAGAGAAAUAUUGGAGAAGUUUGGGAGCCUUUGAAGAUUCAAAUCCAAUCGGAAUUUGACAAGGGCUUGCAAGCUAGUACAAGGAGAACUUUGAGUAAAGGACCCAACGCAGAAGCUAGCUGUUGAGUUUGUUAGUGGUUACUUUUUUAGUAAAAAAAUUUAUAAACUUCGUUGAAUGAAUCCUCAAACGUGCAUCUUUGAAAAUUUUGUUUAUAUAUUUUUUUCUUAAAUUUUCCAAUUCCAAAAUACACCGGUUUAUGAUGAGUUAGAAGGAGAUGAUCAUACCACACAUUGGAGGUGACUGUAGCAUGAUUUAAAGGAUGCAUGUGGUGAGUUACCUCAUAAGUAAAAGAGCGUAGGUAAAUGAAUUUCUUGAGGAAAAAGUACUUAAAAAUAUUCCUUCUAAACUUGUGGUUUUGCAUAAUACGUGUGUAAAUCUAAGUAUGUUAUAGUGUCUUAUUGUUAUCUGGAAAGAGUACAUGAAAAUUGUUAAGAAUUGAAUUAAGAUGACCUUUAUACCCUACGUGAUAUGAUACUCCAUUCUUGUUGUGUGAUCUGGAAUGGAAUACCAUAUUCAUACUGUUGCGAUCUUGGAUAUGAUCCCUCAUACUUGUUGUGUGAACUAGUAUGAGAUGCCUUUUUCUUGUUGUGGGAUAUGGAAUUGGAAAACCCGCUACAGGUAAUAAAAAUUGACAAAACUUGCUAGUGGUGUUGAGUUUACUCUGUAUGAUUGCAAAUUGACAAAAGAGAGUGGUAAAAGCUUGAGCCAAGGUGAGGGUACAAAUAUUGAAUUAAUUUCGCGGUAUGAUUUUGCAAACUCACCAUGUGAUAUGCGAGAAGACACACGAUACGACACUACUACAAAAACAGACUUUUUUUACGUUUGCAAUUUUCCUUUUUUGACGUUUUUAAAAAAAACGUCAAGAAAGAUUUUAUUUUUAAUAAAAAACGUCAAGAAAUUUUCUGAAACAUCUUUCUUGACGUUUAUUAAACGUCAAGUAAAAUAAAUUUUCCCUUGACGUUUUUAAAACAUAAAAAAUAUCUAUUAAUUUUUUGACGUUCUUAAAACGUCAAGAAGCGUAUGAAUUCGACAUGCUUGACGUUUCUUAAACGUGAAUAAUUUAAAAUUUUACUUGACAGUUUAAAAACGUCAAGAAAUUUAUAAAACAUUCUUGACGUUUUUAAAACGUCAAGACUAUUCUAAAAAUUUCUUGACGUUUUUAAAAACGUCAAGGAUUUUUUUAUAAAUUAUUUGUAAAACGACGCCGUUCCAUUUAAGUUCAUUUUUUCUUUUCUAAAACCUAAUUUGCUGCGCGUUCGAAGGGAGGCUUCUUCAGAAUCUCAAGUUUUUGCAUUCGUCGUUUGUCGUUCUCCCCUUCGAGCUUUCACCGUUCACAUUCUCCCUUUGUGCAUUCGUUCAUUCACCGUUCGAAACUCGUAAUCACCUUCUCUGUUCGAAAACACGUAACACAUUCACCUAUGUUCGAAAACGCGUGAAUACAUUCACCGGAAAACCUCCAUUUGUCUCCAAUUCUUGUGUAAAAGGUAAUAAUUUCCCUUUUUUCCUCUGUGAUUAGAACUUGUAAUCUGUAAUUUAAAAUUGGAAUGUGUUUAUUGCGAUUUUUUCCUUUGUGAUUAAAACUUAGAAUCUGUAAUUUCAAAUUGAAAUGAACAUUCUGUUCAGAAAUAGGGCUUGUUUAUUGUGAAUUUCUCACAUUAAUUUACUAUGUUGUGGCAUUGGGAAUUAAUUAGUUUAUGCUUAAAGUAUUUGAGAGAAGUUUUUAGUAAGAGUUUUAGGGAUCCUUCGCUAAAAAACCAUCACUUAUCUGAUUUUCUGAGUAAGAGAUUUGCAGAGCUUCUAUGGUGAUAUGAGUUAUUUUUUACCUUUUAGGAGAAAUUAGAUGUUUCAUAGAUUUUAAUUGUGUUUGGGAUGUUUUUAUUUAAUUCUAGGGUAUUUGGGCUUUAACGAAAAUUGUAUUGAUAGGGUAGUAGUAUUUAAGACAUUGCUCUAGCUAUUUUUUUUUCUAAAUUUUUAUGUUUUGUUAUUUUAUCAAUUUAAAAAUAAAUUUGUCUUUUAUCCAAAGUGAACCUCAUAUUUUGUUAUUCUUCUUGUUAGCCCUUGUAAUUAUGGGGUUUCAACUACUAUGGCUUAAAAUGGUAUACAUAUCACAAGAUUAAUCCAAAUUUUCUAAUUUUUUUAGAAAUGUUCUAUGGGCUAAUAUUUUACACAAAUAUAGGACCUAAAUGAAACCAAUUUAUCCAUCUUUAUUAUUAAUAAUAUAUUAAAAAAUAAAAAAAGGAAAAAAGGAAAGUGAAUCAUAAAUAAGAUUUGCAUUUAUUAGAUAACCUAUGUAAAAAUUCAAGUGAUUAUAAUCAAAAUUACCUCUUAAUUAUUUUUCUUUUAUGAUUUUGUUCAAAAAUUAUUUCCUCCCGAUUUCUCUCUCACCUUUCAAUCUCUCUUUCCAUUCAUUCUUUCUUUCGUUUUGCAUUAUUUUUCAUAUAUUCAACAUAAUUAUAUAUAUUGAAUAAUAAUAUAUAUAUUAUUUUAAUAAUGGAAGAUUUUGAUAUCAAUUUGUUUAUAUAUUUUAUUUAAAAUAUUGAUAUCUUAUAUAGUAAAUAAUAUGUUAUAUUUGAAACAAUAGUGAUUAUGUAUGAAAGUUGUUUAUGUUUAAGGGAACAAGGAUGAGAAAAAAUUAUUAUGAGUAUAUGUAAUAUAUAUCAUUAAAACAUUAGUUGUUCUCUAAUAUAUUUAAUGUUGAGGAAAAUACUAAAUAUGUUUGCAAUGCAGAGACUUUGAUGAAAGAAUUGAAAAUCGAUGGAAUUGUACGAAAAAAUGGUCGAAUGGAGAUGAUAUGUUAAAUUAGUUUAUGAAUAAUAUAUAUUAAAUAAUACAUUAUAUAUUUUAUGAAUGAAAUGGUAUGUUAUCAACUUGUUAAAUUGGUUUACAUAUUUUAUUUCAAAUACUCAUACUAUAUAUAAUAAAUAAUAAGUUAUGUUUGAAUGGUAGUAUAUUAAAUAUAAUAAAUUGAGGAACUUUGAUAAGUACAUUAGAUAGAAAUUUAUGGAAAAAUAUGAAAAUAAAAUAAUUUAUUUAAAAACUGGAAUAUGAAUAUUGAAAUAAAAGUUUGAAACAACCUACAGAAAGUCUAAUAAUAAGAGGAAAAAACCAGUUCAAUAAGAAAAACUUGCAUCUCUUUCAGUUAUGACCAACAUGUCCACAAUGAUCACAUUUAACACAUCUCUUAAAGUCCAUUUUAGAAAGAAUUCUAAUUUUCUUUGGUCGACCAACUGAACGUUUUACAUUCGGUGGGAGGAUGACAACUUCAAUUUUUGUAUUAUUGAAUAUAUACAGUAGUAUAUUUGUAACAAAUCACAUAAUAUAAAUGUAUAAUGCAGUAGUAUAUACUACAAGAAAAGUGGUCUACGACGACAAUUAUUUUCUGUCGUGAAUAAAAUCCGUGACAGUUAUUUACACUCAUCGAAGCGGGAGUCAUGGAAAGUUAUUCUAUGAUAGUUUUCAAAAACUGUCACAAUAAGUUUUUUCAUGACAGAAAAUAAAUGUCGUUAAUUACUAUUUUAUGAUGACAAAUAACUGUCAUAUUUUAUAUUAUGACAACAAAUAACUGUCAUAUUUUAUAUUAUGACAACAAAUAACUGUCAUAAUUUUCGUAUUAACGACAGUUUAAAAAUGUCACAAAUUCGUUUAUUAUGACAUUUUUUAAAUGUCAAGGAUAUGUCAAUCGUGAUAGUUAUUUUAGAAAUUAAAUAUCAUUGUGCUGCUAUUGACGACAUUUUUUUCCUAUCAAAUAUAGGACAAUCAUGACAAUUUUUCUUAUAAAAAAAUGUCAUUGUUUUAAUAUUGACGACAAUUCUGGAGUGUAACGAACUCAUAUAUUAUGACAUUUAUUUCAUGUUGCCAAUUCCUUAAUUACUAUCGUUUUUCCUUGUUCUCCAUGUCGCUUCGCCAUUACACGAACCAUUUGAAUGACAAUAAUGUUAUAAUGCAUAACACCCAUAUAGAAACAAAUGGUCGACACUUCUAAUAUAAUAUAUGCUAUAAUACAAUUUGUAAUAUUCGUAUAUUUUCAAUCAAGUUUGAAUAAUUUAAAGUAUGUAAAAAAACAAUAUAAAACAUAAAUAAUUUUUUUUUUACUAUAUACAAAUGUAUAUAUUAAUAACAUCAUCUGUGUAUUGCAAUGAUAUAUAAUGAAAUUCAACUACAAUUAAUGUAUUAUUGAAUAUACGUAGUAUAUAUAUAAGGUACUGAAAAUUUAUCAUAUAUUAUUAGGAUUUUAACUAAGAUUUAUGUAUUACCAUAAACUAUUAGUAGUAUAUAAGAAGGUAUUGAAAUUCAAAUAUGAAAGAAUAUAUGAUAAAACAAUGAACUUAUAUAUUAAAGAAAACAUUGAACUUAUAUAUUAAAGAAAACAAUGAACUUAUAUCUGCCACUAAGUACGUAUUAUUAUAUAUAUACAGAUGUAUAUACGAUAAAAUGAAUUAUAUAUUAUCAAAUAUAUGAAGUAGUGUAUAUGUAACAAAUCACAUAAGAUAUAUGUAUUAUGCACUACUAUAUAUAUAAUAAUUAAAAAAAAUAUUGAUCCAUUACAUAAUGUGUGUGAAAUGAUAUAUAAAUUCAGUAUGAAAAAAUUACAAAAAAAAGAAAACUAUGAAUGUAUUAUUGAAUAUAUGAGUAGUAUAUAUAAAACAAAACACAAAACAUAAAUGUAUUAUUUAGUAGCAUGUGUAGAAGAUAAAAUAAAAAUACAGAACAGAUAUAUAAUCUGUGUAUGAAGUGGUAUACCGAACAUGAAACGAAGAUAUGCUACUAAAUGGAAGAAGAAACAACAAUAUUUUUUAGAAGAAACAACAAUAUUUUUUAGAAGAAACAACAAGCUAGGAAACUUUAUAAAUAAUAUAAGUUUUGAAAAAUGAACGAAAAAAUAAAGACAAACCGAUUCAAAAUUACCAAAUAGAAAGGAAAAAAUAGAAUAAAAACAGAAAUCGAAAAAGAAAUUCAAAGUCGGAAUUCACGAUGGCUUGAAAAAAACUUUUGGUUUAAGCAUUAAAUUGAAAAUAGUUAUAAUGAAUGAUGAUUAAAAAUAUUAUUACCACACAAAUUAUAUAAUUUAUACCUAAAUUAUUGCAAAGGUAAUACAUUAAUAAAUAUAAAUAUAUAUAAAUUAAUAAUUAAGGAAGUUAAAAUUAAUAUAAUAAAUUUGGUGGUUGAUAAUUAAGGAAAAUAUUCUUUAACAUUUUUAAAAAUAAUUAUUUUCAAAUAAUUAGAUAAAUUUUAAAAUGAUCCUAAAAUACCACGAUUUUCUACCUACGAUAAUAAUUGAAAAAUUAAGGCAUUUGCAUACUCAAUUAAGACAUUUGUGUAUUUUGUUUUCUCUAAAUCUUUCUAUAAUGGGUAAUUAUAAUUUAUGGUCAUUUUAGCAAUAAUAAUUAAGGAUAUAAUAAGAUUUAAAUUUUUUCGCAAAUAUAGCAAAAUUAUCGGUGAUAGACUUGUAUCAGUGAUAGACUUGUAUUGCUGAUAGACUCGUAUAGGUUUAUCAGUGAUAGACCAAUAUUUGCAACAUGAUCUAUCAGUGAUAGACUCCUAUCAUUGAUAUAAUUUGACAAAUUUUGUUAUAUUUGUAAUUUUUUUAAAAAUGUUGUUAUAUACUUAACUAUUUUGAAUUUAAUUGUUUUGCAACUAUUUCUUCUAUAACUAUUUAAGAUUAUUGGAUCCAAGUUCAAGUCCAAGUCCAAGCCCAACAAAUAACUAGCGCAUGAAAAUCUUAUUAGAGCCAUUACCCCUAGAAAAGAAAAAGUUAGAAAGAACUUAAGGCGAAAAACACUCAAAAUUUAAAGUCUUUAUUAAAUUUCUAGAGAUUUAAUUUGAAGACAAUAACUAUGGACAACAUUUGAAAAAAAUAACUACUCUCAAGCUUUUGAGAUAAGAUACAACUCCGAUCCUCUCAAGUUCCUAAGAUCUAAAAAGUACCAACACUUUUGAAAUUCUUUUAAGUUAUAAAUUCUAAAGAUCGUUAAGCAAUUCAAAAACUUAGAGACCGAUCUAAACGAUCAUCUGGUCUAAAGAUCAUUCAUUGAAGAAAGAUCAACAAGUUCAAAAACCAGUCUUCUAAGAACACUUUUGAAAUUCUUUUAAGUUAUAAAUUCUAAAGAUCGUUAAGCAAUUAAAAAACUUAGAGACCGAUCCAAACGAUCAUCUAGUCUAAAGAUCAUUCAUUGAAGAAAGAUCAACAAGUUCGAAAACCAGUCUUCUAAGAGAUAAACAAGCCUAAAGGUUUGAUCAUUCAGAAAGAUCAUCAAAUCCAAAAGUCAAUUAUUAAAAAGGAUCAAUAAAUUUAAAAUAUUAAAAAAAAAUCAAUAAAAAGAAUCAAAUGAUCAUGUAUUAGAGAUUGCAUUCAUUAUAAUAUAUUAAAAUUAAUAUAAAUAUAAAGUUUAAAAUUCAUAGCUUUAAGUUUCUUCGAAAAUCUUAUCCAACAAUGAUAAAAUAAAAUAACAAAGAUUAAAAUAAGAUAGUUCGGUCCUCCACAUUAAAAAAUUGUAAUUAUUUAACUUAUAAAAUUAGGAAUGAGAUGUUUUUAUAAUUUUUUUCAAAGGUAUUGUAAUAAAUGCUGGAGUGGAGAUUUGAACCUAGGACUUUUUGUCUACAGGAACAUAGAGGUGUCAGUUGAACUAAGCUCAUGUUGGUAAUUAGACUUUUAGAGGAUAAAAAUGGAGAUUUAAUUUGAAAUUAAAUGGUUAUAAAUUUCAAAUAUAAGAAUCAAAUUAUUUGUAGUAAGGUUUAGAUUGUAAAUAGUUAGAAAUUUGAGAGUAAAUCAACUAAAUUUGAAGGAAGGUGUAGAAUAACAUUUUUUUGUGUAUUUCAUUUAUAAAAUAAGCUUGAGUUUAAAUAAAAAGGAGUUUAAAAAAAGAAACAUUUUUUCAUAAGAACAAGUUGGAAAUUUGGAACAUUAUAAAAUUGUCAUGUUAAUAUAUUUAGAGAUAUGGAGCAUGUCAAUGAUUUAUUGAUGCAUAAGACCAACAUGUCAAAUUUUCUAAUCAACCCAACAUAGUUCCAAUAAACAAAAUUCUUAUGUUUUGAACCAACAAAUAAAAAUGGAGAGUUUUAGAAGAUGUAAACACUUAACCUAAUAAUUCCUUGAAUAACAAUGAAUAUUUAUUACUAUUAACCUUUCUUACAGAUCCUCUAGCAAGAGUAAGCGCCCAUGGCCUAAUGGAUAAGGCGUCUGACUUCUAAUCAGGCGAUUGUGGGUUCGAAUCCCACUGGGCGUGCUCGCUUUUUCUUUUUUUACCUUUUUCUGUUUCAUUCCUUCUUUUUUCUAUACAUGGUACGAAAUGUACAUAAUAUUCAAACAUUAAAAAUAAAACAUUUCAAAGUUACAAGUAAAAUCGAAACCAACCUGAUUGAUGUAAACUUAAACACACCACCCCCAUUUGUAUAAACUACAAUCCCACCAUCAUCUCUCUAUUCAUUACUUAUACAAUACAAAAAUCCCCAACUAAACAUUUACAUCCCUAACCAUAUUUGUAUUUCCAUUCCUGUUCUCCUCUUCAUUCUCCCCGGUCAGCUCCUCCAAUGACUUUCCUUUGGAUUCUGGCACCAAUAGAGUAAACAAUGCUCCACAAAGAUUCACACAUCCCAACAGAAUCAAAGCAUUCUUUAUUCCGAUCCCCGUUGGGUAACCCGGAUCCGUCAAUGUCGGAUCCUUACUCUGUGCCGCAUACAAAAACCCAAACGCCCCCACUAUCGCCCCUGCUUUCCCCGCCGCCGCCGAUAUCCCAUGGCACGUCGACCUCAACCUAGCCGGAAAUAUCUCCGCUGGCACUAUGAACGUCGUCGAAUUCGGCCCAAAAUUGGCAAAGAAAAAUGUCAACGAAUACAUUACAACAAACCCAAUUCUGUGAGGUUUCUCCUUCCAAUGAUUGUAAGGAAACGCCAGAGCAAACAUGAAGAUCGUCAUCAUUAUAAAUCCCAUCAAUUGAAUGAAAAAUCUACCCAAGUAAUCAAUUAGAGCCACUGUGAACCAGUAACCGGGAACGGUCCCACAGAGUGCGAUUAAUGUCUGAGCUUUUGCGAUUUUGAAACAUUCUUCUAAUUCGCUCAUCGUCUUCGCCGGUGGAAGCCAUUCAAUGGCUGUGAAAAUGUCUUUUUGGAAGAGGUUUUGGCUGUAAAAAGCUAUGUCUAAAAGAAACCAUGUGGUGGUGGUUCCUAAUAAAUGGAGCCCGUGCCGUUUGGCGAAUUCACGUGAGAAUAAACCGAAACGGUUUUGAUUUGCAUGUGAUUCGGUCGUGAAAUUUUUUUCCUGUUCGUUUAAUUCCAGAUUAACUUGCAGCACUUUCGACAUAUCCGCCGCAGCUUGUUUGGCGUUUUGAGCAACUAAGGCAGUGUAUCUCGCCGUCUCCGGCAUUUUCAUCCGCCAGUAAUAUGUUAAUGCGGCCGGAAUUGCGCCGAACAUUAGAACGAUUCGCCAUACAUAAUCAGCCUCCGGUAUGGUGGGGCGAAUGGGAUCGUUCAUGUAUGGUGGUGCUGGGAAGCGGUUGUUGAAAGCGGCAGACACGAUUAAAGCGACGAUUCCUCCACCUAAAAUUCCAAAGCCUUGCAUUGCGAAGACAGCGGCGAUGAAUGCGCCGCGGGUUUUUUUGUUGGCGUAUUCGGACAUGAUCGUGGCGGAGAGAGGGUAGUCGCCGCCGAUGCCAAAGCCGAGCCAGAAACGGAAGAAACAAAGUGUGGCAAUUACGGAUUUUGGGGAGUGGCUGAAGGAGAGGCCGGAGGCGAUGGAGCAAACAACCAUGAGAAUGAGGGUAAUGCCGUAGACUUUUUUACGGCCGAGCUUGUCUCCGAGCCAGCCAAAGAAUAGUUGGCCAGAGAGGGUGCCGCAGAAGGCGACGCCGUUGACGGCGGCAGCGAUGUUGGGAGGGAGGGAGCCGGGUUUGGAGCCAUUUGGAAUAUGGUAAUAGAUUCGGCCGAGAAGCUUAGUGACGAUGGAGAUACAAAAGAGAUCGUAAGCGUCGGUGAAGAAACCCAUUCCGGCGAUGAUGAUUGCAGUGAAAUGGUACCAUUGGGUUUUUGCAAGAUCGAGUGCGUUUAGAACUCCAACUUGUUGUUGACUCAUCUUUAAGUUUUUGGCUAUGGAAGCUUUGAUUUCUUUAUUUCUUCUUUUUGUACUGAAAUUAGCAAAAAAGAAGAGAAAUAGAAGGUUAGUCACUUCUUGAUUUUUGGCCUAAAUGACGGGAAAUUAUAUAUAUACAUAGAUAUAUAUACACACAUAUACAUAUAUAAUUUGAGCUUGUUCCAAUAACUUUCGAAUCAUUUUUAGUGGAAAUUUUCAUGAAAAUAUUGAUAUUUAAUUGAUAUAUUUGAAAAAGAAAAAUUCUAAUAUGGAUGUGAAUUAAAUAUUUUUAUAGUUUUUAAUGUAAGUUAACUUGUCUAAUAUUUAUAUUAUAUCUAUAUUAUUCUUUUUAUGUACUUUGCUAAUUUCGGUUCAUUAAAAAUCAAUUCUACCUUUCUUAUGGAAAGGUUUGAAAAAUAUUUACACGUCGAUGAAAAUUUAACACUAUACCUACACUUUUGUAAAAAUAAUACUACUACUUUUUAGAGGCGUAGAUUGAUUAUUAUAAUUAUAAAUUAUUAUAGUUGAAUUAUAAAUAAUUUGUGUCUGACGUUUCGUUUAGGAUAUAAUAGUACGUGUUUGGUGUGAAUUUUUUAAAAGAAAAUACUGUAUCAUGUAGCAAAUAAUAAAAAUUAAUUAAUGUGAAAUAGUAAAAUCAAGCAACAUAUUACUCCUAAUUAUAUUUAUCAAAGUUUGAUAUAUACUCAAACGAAGGUUGGCAUCAGCCUAUUAUUUAUAUUAUUUUCAAGUCAUUUACAUUAAAAAUUUGUAGGAAUUUUUAAAGUUCAACUUAAAUGCCAGCUCCUUAGCACAAAUUAUGAAUAAUAUUAUUUAUUUAAACCAUCUUCAUUUGAUUGUGACUUGGGAGAGAUUUACAAUGUUUGUAAUAUUUAAUUUGGAGUAGAUGAAAAGAUAGUGACAUAUAUAUAUAUACACAUAGAACACGACGGUCAUAUUUUAAUGUAUUUUAUGAUCAAGUAAAUAUCUUGAACUGAUUUUAUAAUUGGAAAAAAAAUGAAAGUCUUCAAAUGACAUAUAUAUAUAUAUAUAUAUAUAUAUAUAUAUAUAUAUAUAUAUAUAUAUACUAUCAACAAAACCCAUGAAACGUAACGUCAAACUCAUUUAGUAAACAAUAAUUAGAUUAGCAAACAAAUAAGUUCUAUAUCAAAUGCUUAGGUCACAGUUCAACAACUAAUUUGAUUAAGUUAAAAUGAGUAUAAUACAAUUGAUACAUAAUAUGUUAAUAUAUUAAUAGACUCAUUAAAUUUUGAAUUGAUAUUCUAUUACGAACUUAGAAUUUCAAUCCAUUUGGAUAUAUAAGUUAGUGUGUGAGAAGUUUAAUUUUUUUAUUUUCUAUUUUUGUAAUAAUUGAACUACAACCUUACGUAAUUAUUUAAUUUAUUUGUAGACUAUGAAACUAACCUAAAUUUGUGAAAACUAAUUUUUUUUAACCAUUAACUAAUUAUAGUUAUGAUUAGAAGAUUAUAGAAAAAAUGGUAUAAAAUUAAUAAAUUAAAUAUUUUCAAAUGAAUCAAAUUGAACAUAGUUCAAGUAAGAUUUAAAACCACUAAAAACCACGAACGUAUUGAAUCACCCUACUUUAACUAUACUAGUACUUUAAUUAUACUAAAACAUUCACAAAUGCACAAAAAGGAAUUGUAAGAAUAAAAGUGAGUAAUGAUUUUGAGAUGAAACUAAAUGAUUGUCCAUAAGAGAGAAGAGAGAGAACCUGAAAUUUGUGGAAAAUGAUAGGGAGUGGUGCAGAAGAAAUCCUUGAUGAUGGGCUGAAAGAAGAUGAAGGGAAAAGGGGUGUUUUUAUAAGUGAAGUAAUCGAAAUUCCAGAAAUGCCCCUGCAGGCAUCUCUUGGAAUAUACCAUCUUCACAACCAAUGAUUCAUCAAGUCAACUUCUUCCAAAGUCUCUGUUCCCAUUUUUCUAACCAUAUUUUUAAUUUUGCCUGAUUGACUUAUUUGCAUUUAUUGUUACUCUUUCCGUACAUGUUGUCGAUAUUCCAAUCAUAUCAAAUGGGUAAAACACAUUCCACGUAUAUUAAAAAUCUAAGUUCAACGAAUUAACGUUGUUUUUUAAAGAUAAUUUUAUUCACCUUAGUGCUCGAGUUUGAGAGUAAUUAUCUCUCAGGAUAGAACAAAUUAAUUACCUUUCUUCUAGAGGUAGCACCACGUGUAGAAGAUCAACGAACAAAACUUUAUGUUCGAACCAAUCUUUAACGAAUUUGAAAAUGGAGAGAUACUUUUUAGAGAAGGUAAAAUUAUAGAACACCAAAACCAAAUUCAUAUAUCAAAUUUAGAGAAAGAACACUUAAUUUAUAGACUUAUUCGUGGUCAUUCGAAUAGUUAGGUCAUUUCUUUAAAUUAGUUAUUAUCAUGAAGUGAAGCAACCAUUCAUGAGAGACACCAUCGAUCAUAUAGUGAUGCAACCAUUCAUGAAAGACAUUAUUUAUUCUAACAAUUAAAAUAUUUGUUGGUGCUCCAGUCACUUCUUCCAUUGAUUUUGUUGCAAGUUUUUGGUGUCAUUCACCUCUAACUUGCAUCUUCCUAGUUUUGUCUUGAGAUAUUUGAAGCUAAUUUAUGCAAGAGGUUCUCCAACCAGUGUAGUGUCACCCCUAUUGCAUUUCGAUGCUUAAAUAGUACCAUGAGUGACUAAUGUAAUUAAAGCAUAAAAUAAGUAAGGGUCUUUGUCUCUUCUUUGGAGAUUAUUAACAUUGCUUCUCUUUGGGUAUGGUCAAAUCACAUGUCUCCGAGUCCGAGUAUGUGUGAUGAUACUGGUAUCUAAGAUAUUUCUAGCACUCAAGGUUAUAGGGUGUUAGUCUUGAUCUGACUUGACUAUUUCUCUUUUGAUAUAUAUUCAUCAGCUCGAUAGUUGACUCAAACCCAAAGCAUUAGAAUUAUUUCCUUUUUGGGACGCAUGUUCUCUUAUGCAUCAUCACGAUAUACCCCAUGAGCUUGAACUCGCUCAUGAACUUUAGGCCUUGCCUUGGACAACAUCUCUCUCAACCAUAUUCAUUAUUCAAUAUCAAUUUACACACAACACUUAUUUAAUAAUCCUCAAUAUAAAUAUAUGAAUACAAUGCUUUAUAACUUAGUUUAAUUGGAGGCUCCUUGGUGAGCUUUAAAAUAACAAAAGUAACAAAACUUAAAACAAGAAAAUACACCAAAAUUUACCUCUUGUUUAAAGUGGUCAUCCAAAAUGUCAACUAAAGGCAUUAAACUAUAUAUGAUUGAUGUAGAAGUUUUCGAUUUUUGAAGUCUAUCAGUAAUAUAAAUUGUAUUAAUGAUAGACUUAUAUCAUAAAAGUCUUAUCACAUAUAGAGUAAUUGGGUGUUGGUUGUGAUUAGAAGUCUUAGUUGUGAUUAGAAGUCUAUAAUUGACCAACUCUUUUUUUAUUUUUUAUAAAAAAAUUCUAAUAGUAAAUAUAAAAAUGUACUUGAACUCUAGCCAAUAGAAAAUGUUAAAAAAACCAACUUUGUAAGUGAAAUUUCCAAAUUUUGAAGUCUAUCAACAAUAAACUCCUAUUAGUUAUAUAAAAGUCUAUUAUUGAUACCAUAUAAUUAUUGACAAGUCUCCAUCACAAAUAUUUUUGUAUAAUUAAUAUAAUUCGAACAAGGAAAUGUAAUAGUCUAUCAAAUAUAACACACCUUCAAUUAUAAGUCUCUAGCUAUAGAUACAUAUGUUGUUCAUAUCAUUAGGUUAAUUAAUAUAGCCCUAAUAGAAAAUAAAAGAUAUACAAUUAUUUCAAAGACGAGACUAUUAUAAUUAUUUUAAAUAAUAAAACUGGCGAAAACAUUUAUAAAUAUAGCAAAAUGUCACUAUCUAUCAGCAAUAGACAAUGAUAGAUCUUAAUAGACUUCUAUUAUCAAUCUAUCAAUAUCUAACAAGUCUAUCGAUCACACCUAUAGACAUUGGUGUUUUAUUAUAUUUAUGAAUAUUUUUAUUCAUUUUGCUAUAUUUAAAAAUAACUUUUGUUAUAAUAUAUAUAUAACAUAAGUUUAUAGAGAUUAACUAAUUAUCGGAUAGAUUUUUUUAUAAAUUUUUUACAUUUUGUGUAUCCCAAAACCAACUAAACAAAAAUAAAGAAUUAAAGUAGGAAAAUUAUUAGGGACAAUUUCUAAAAAUAUUUACAACCAUGACAAAAUAUAAAAAUAUAUAAACUAACAUAGACGAUAUCUAUUCUAUUGGAAAACAAUAUUAAUAUUACAUCUUCUUAAUUAAUUUUAAACCUCCAAGAAACCCAAAAAAAAGUUGACUUAAAAAAGUCAUGUUAGUAUUUAAUCACCUAAAAAUCCGUUAUAAUAUUUGAUGAAUAUAUAUUUUGAUGAAAUAAUUAAUAAUCAAUAAUUAAUUUAAGUUUCGUAGGUUGUUUCUAGGUGAGGUAUCCAAUGUUUCGUGCACAACCCAUUUUUGACCAUCAUUUAUUUAAAACAAGAGAAUGCUUCUUUAGUAAUUUAAUAAAAAUUAUGUUUAAUAUAAACUAUAUUCUCAACUAGGUUGAUCAAUCUGUUUUACAUUAAAAGUUUUGUAAAAUUAAUGUCUUAUAACAUUAUAUAUAAAUAUUACAAAAAUAAUAUAAUUUGAAAUACAAUUUAGAAGUGUUCCGUCACUAAUCAUUUUAGGUAGUUAUCAAAACACUUAAAUUAAAAGAUCAAACUUACUUAAAAUUAAACCAAACACAUAUCUAGAUAUGAAAAGAAUAAUCUACCUGCCACAAUUUUAGAAAGAAAAAUCUAUCUAUCAAAUAUAGGUAAUUUAUAAAAGAGAAAACAUGUUUAAGGGAUAAUAAUAAAAGAAAAACCAACACUAAAAACCAACCAACAACUUUGAUUGAGAUUAUUAUUAAUUGGAAAAACAUGACAUCUUGUUCAACAGCUAUGGUUUUUGCAAGUUAGGGCAAUGCAAUUUUAUGGACAUUUGUAAUAAUUAUUAAAUGUAUCUAGUGAUGGGUAAUUUUUGGAUAAGAAGAAGCACAUAGUCAGUAAAAUUUUCAAAUAUAUAGGACAUAUGAACACAUUAAUAAUCAUUAUAAAUAAACAAAACUAAUAAAAUUUAAAACUUAUUUAAAAAGUGAUCACAUAGUCUAAAUUGAUACACUUCUCAAAUUAGAAGAAUAAAUUGAUAUCUCCCUAAAAUUAAUUUCAUAUAAAUCCAAAGAUAAAUGAUUAUACGAUUUUCAAUACAUUAGUUUAAUUGUUCUUCUACAACGCUGCAAUUUGGAAUAAAAUUGCGAUAUGAAUGCCUUUUCAAUUUUUUCCACCAAAACUUUGGAAGUACACUUUUGUCAUGAUCUAAUUUAGUACGUAUAUUUGGAACUUUAUGUGUAUGAUUUGACAUAUAUUGAUAGUGAUUUUGACGAUGUAUUAUCUUUGAAUAAGUUAUAAUUACAAGGUACUUUGAAUAAAUUAUCUUUGCUUCUUUAAUGUAAUUAUAACUUGUGACUUGAAUGUGAACAUGAAAUAAAACAACAAUCAAGACAGAAAAAAACUUACAAAAAGACUAAGAGAGCUAUACCUAUAAUUGUUAAAAAGAAUAAAAGAAUUACGAAAUGGCCUAUUCUUCAAAAAGAAAAAGAAAAACAAAACAAAAUAGGAAUGAAAAUAUAAUGAUAAUAACAAUAAAAUUAUUAAAAAAGACCAUAACAAAAUUUUCUUACCUAUAUAUUAUAAAUAUAUGGUGAACUAAUAUUUAUAUGUAUGUAUGUGGGACGUGGAUCUUGCUUAAUGUUUUAUUUAAAGACUUUAUAUGUUAUAAUUAUUAGAAAGAUGCAGUCUAUUUAACAUUUUUUUAUAUUACAAAUAUAAUAUAAUUAAAUAUAUGAGAUAACUAUCAAAAAAAAAGUUAUCAAACAAGUAUUAAAAGUCUAUGGGAACGACUAUUCGAUUUUUAAUUCACUACUUUUGUAAUUUAGAAAAUGUAAUCAUAUGGAUCCUAUUAUUAGAAUUGUUUUUACUAUUUUGUAAACGUUUCUAAUUAUUAUUCUAAAACAUUAUAUAAAAUAAAGUAAUAAUAGUUGAAUUAAUUUAUGCACCAUCUCUAUAGAAUAUCAAUGUAAUGCAAAACUUUCUUUUCUAUUCCGUUUUAUAGUUGUUUAUGACUUCUCUCGUUUAAAUUGGGAGAAAUUAUCAAAGAAGAUGGUCUAAUUAAUGUUGUUAGGGGUAAUUUUUAUUACCAAAACAUCAUAAAAACAAUAUAUCAAUUUUUUGGGUUGAUAAUCAAAAUGAGAAUAGAAAAGGAGAUGAUUUGGAACUUGAUAAUCGAGAUCAAGCAUCAUAAAAUACUUAAUGUGACAUAUCUCAACCAUGCGUCGAUCCAAGGAAUAAUCUUAAUUAGGCCUAUAAAAUGGCUAAGAGAAGGUGUUGAAACUUAACUAUGGAUUAAGUGGUAAGUCGAAGGGAAAAUGAGAAAUUAUAAUAUAGGUAGAAAUUUUAUGAAUGAUAGUUGAGUUUAUAACAUUUUGAAAAAUUAUAAAUAAAGCAAAAUUUAUCAAUGAUUACUCCUAUUGUCAAUAGACACUUAUCAAUAAUAUACCAAUAUUUUCAACGUAGUUUAUUACUAACAAAUCAGUUCUAUCAUUAGUAAAUUUGCAUAGAUUUGGUUAUGUUUACUGUUUUUUAAAAAUGUUAUGACUAUAUAUGAAUCAAAUUCGUAAGUUUUGCCACUAUCCCUAAGAAAAUACCAAAUUGAAAGAACCCAAGGCAAGGUAAAGCGUGGGAAAGGAAACUUGUAUGGGCCUAGCCCAUGCCGAGGUCGACCCAAAGAAGCCACCAAAAUGGGAUGAGCUACAAAAAAACAUGAGAUAAAAUGUCGUCAUGGCCAUGGGCCUUCAACCUCACUUCGAUGAUAUGAUUGAUAGAAGCUCUAAGAAAAGGAAUGGUGAAUCGAAUCCUCAUGACCCAAAACCAUAAGAAACCGAAGAUUUUUCAAAGGCACGGAUUAUGUUGAUCUUAGACUUCAAAGGUUUAUGUAUGAAUUAAGUAAUGUUCUUUGUUGAUAGGUUACUGAGCCAAUAAUUUGUCGCUCUACACUUAUCUUGUUUUAAUUGCAUAAGAUUUCUGAUGAUAAAUUAUCUUGAUUUUACUAAAAACUUGAGAAAUUAUAUAUGGUAGGUUUUUGUUUCAAGAAUUAUAUGGUGAAACAAAUGCUAGGGCUUCACAAAGUAUUUAACUCUUGAAAGACAUAUUUAUAUUAUAGGUUUUUGCUCGAGAGACCACUCCUCAAGCUUGUACAUUGUCAGAGUGUCAGAUAGGUUUCAUAUCUCCAAUUUUGCCACUAAUUCCGUAGUUAACCAUAUGCCUUGAUUUAGGUUUGAUAGUUGACAUUAUCUUAGAGUAGAAAUAUGAUUUGUGUGAGAUUUCAACUUUUGGCUUUAGAAAUAGGUCUUGUGCUUAAGGAGGAAAAUAAUAAGAGUAGGAGUAGAAGACUUUGUUUUCAACCGAUGUAAUGGGGAGGGGGUUGAGAUUGAUUUUGAUUUCAAGAAAUCUAAAAUGCAUGAAAGGAAAGGGUAUUGUAAUUAAAUUCAAUAAAUAAAAGAUCCUAGGUCUAAAAGAAACUUCUUAUUUCGAUUUGUUCGAUCAUGACAAUUUCAUUGCUAAAUUUAAUUUCAUUGCUAAAUUUAAUGUUAAAUCCCAAUCAAUUUGAUAAAAAACAAUUAGCUCAUAGACAAAGAAAUAGGGAAAGAAUCCUAAUGACCAAAGUUAGAAAGUGAUCCAUAGCCUUACAUCAACGUGGUUUUUGCUUGAUUUACAGAGUUAAGAUGAAAUCAAACCUAAAACCUAGUGUUGUAGAUGGGUAGAGGGCGAAAAGCCGAAGAAAACAACUGGUCAUAUGCCUAAAAUGACUGUCCAAUUGAUCAAAAGAUAUGUCAUAAAAAUUGAAUCUAUGGAUUUCUAUUUGUGUUACGACAUCGCGGACAAUGCCAUAGAGAGUCACAACACCCUCCUUUAGUGGCAAUUUCGUAAUUUUUGGGUCUUUUGGAUUAAUUUCUUCAUUGGGACUUCAACUUGAUCUGAUUUAGCUCCAUUUUCUUCGUAAUGCUCGAUUCUAGAUCUUUGAUGCUUGAAACCUAUAAAAUAGUAAAUCAAGAACUACGUAAAAUCAAGAAACGAGCUCAAAUUAAAUGAAACAAAAUAAUGUAUUUCCAACGUUAUCAAUAAUGUUGAUCGACAAAGUGACUUCGCAAAGUGAAGUUUGUAUGCUUUUGCUAUUGAUGAUAGCUUCUUGAUUGACCUCCAUUUCAAAGUGGUUUUCACUAAACUUCUCGUCUGGAUUCAGUUGUGCCAUGCUUUAAUCCUUUUCUUUUUCUAAAUUUCCUUGCGAUUAAUGGAAGUAGGGCUUGAAAUGCAGGUGGGUUAUUCAAAUCUCUCUCUUUUUUUUCUUUUCCUUUUUCUUCACAUUCCCCAGAUUUUACGAUUCUAAAUUUGGAAAUUUCUUUGAAGACGAGCACCAGCUAGAUCUGGUUCGGAUGAAUCUGGAUAAAAAAUUGCUGAUUCCUGGUGAGCUAGAGCAGAGAUAUUGGCUGGAACUUGAAGAUGAACGGCUGUCCUCAAUGUCAUUUUUCUUGAACUAUUCUCUUUUGGUGGUGAAGAUUGGAUGCCCUAAUUGCUCAUAUUUGAUCAACAUUUAAAAAUUAAUUUUGCUUUCAAAUUGUUGAAAAUCAAAAUUGAUCAUUGUUGUGCCGUGUCGAACCACUGCCUUAAAAAAAAAAAUGGCUUUCGAUUGCUUUUCAAGAUUAAUAUUACUUCCUACUCAAGCGUGCACUUGCGGGAGUAGAAAUGAAAUUGAAGAAAAAAUUGCUCAAACAAGAAUUAAGGUUUUGCAAGAAGGAGAACUCAACACGACAAAAACCUUUUCUUUAAUAUAUAUAUAUGUAUAUAUAAAGUAUAAUGGUUUUAGAAUAUAGAAUAUAUUAAUUAAUAAUAAUUAUUAAUUUCAACUUAACCAUUAUUUAUAAAUGAAAACCAUGAUAGCCAUUCCCAACAAUUAAUUAUGUAUGGUUAUCGAAUCAAAGUUGGUCAAGUUUGUAAAACUACUUCAAUGUAGCAUAAUUUUAUUGGUAUGUUAAUCUUGGAUUUGUUUCUACAAUUUCUUAUGUUUACAUAUUCUUAUUUUUGUUCUACCACCACAAGAAAUUUUGGAUUUUCCAACACAACUCCAUAUUAUUGGGAGAAACGACGUCGAGAGAUAGGGUGUGAGAUCUGAAUUUGAAUAGAAAGAUCAUUUUGAAAAAUAAAUGGUUAAGUAAAGGAUUUUGAAGAAAAUGUUCUUGAAGAUUUAGACAUAAUGAUGUUUCGCAUUGAAGCAAGACGACAUGACUAAAACAAGUAGCGAGCGAAAUUUAAUAAGCAUUUUAAGGUUCAAUAUGAAAUGAAGUUAGGCAUGAAGAGUUAUAAAAAGUUAGAGAAAUAUUAUAAUUGGGCUUAAGUAAUGGGUCACAUGUAAGAGUUUAAGCUAAGCAUGGUCAUGAGAAAUAUUAAGCUUACACGCGUAGCACCUUAAGAAGGAGUUGGCAAGCUUGGGUGAAUUAAGGAUGACUAAUCUGAUUAUGGAAUAAUAUAAAUGAGAGAAGAGGUCAGAAGAAAAGAGUGUUACUCUAAGAUUUUGAUAAAAGAAAGUAUCAAGUGUUGUCUUGAUGAGAAGUCACUAGCGAGAAGAAAAUUUUUGGGGGAUUAGACGUUCUGAACAAGGGAAAUUUAGUCCAUGAGUGAUUUUCCAAAAUGAUUAAAGAAUUUAAAGCUUUCUUCUAAAUUAAAUUCCUUAUUGAUUUGAAAUGUUGUUCAUAUGUUAAUAUUUAUAAAGGAACGAUUUCAAAGCAAGCUUGUGUUAUAAUGCAAGUAAAGUUUUACAUUAAUAAUUGUAGGCUAUGUUGUGAAUAAAUCAUUAGUCCUAUUUCUAUUAACUAAUGAGAUAACUAUUAUGUGCACAUAAGAAAUAAAGACAAUCAUGUAGAAAUGACAUGGUAGAGUGAAGUUGGUCAAUGUGUAAAAGUGUUGGCUUUUUGGCCCUUAAUUUCAAAUUAAUUUAUUUUAAUUAUUUAAUUAAUUUAUGUUUUGAUGAUAACAAAUCUGAUUUUUUCUAUUGACAACUUUAUUAAUUUGAAUAGUUCACAUCGUAGAGCUUGGAAAAAUAAUUCUAACACCUUUUGAAUCACACAAAUCGAAGUUCAAACAAAGAAAAUAUUACUAAAAGAAGCUUAACGGAAAAAUACCCGAGAUGGUGACGUGACGACCAAGCAUUCAAUUUGAACCAAUUAGAGAAAGUCACUUGGAGCAACGGAUGAGUAACAAAUGUGACUUUUAGUUGUGUUUUAUUGACUUUUAUAAAAAAAAAUGAUUUGAAAAAGAAAAUGACUUUAAUAUUAUUAUUUUUCCUUGUGUCUAACGACUAAUUGAAUUUAAAUCUCAACCAUUCAUUUUUCUUUUACUUACAUCUAAUGACCCAAAAUGAUUUUGAAUUUAUCUUUCAUCUCUUUUUAAAUACUUCACUUUUCCCAAAUUUUAAAGAGACAAAAUUAUUAAAACUUUACAUCUUCAAAAAGUACAAAAAGCCAACAUUGUUAUUCUCUCUAAAGCUUUCAAUUCUUAUUCUUUUCAUCUUAUUCUUGAGAGAUUUUUAUUGUAUUGUGAGGAUUAAAUUUGUAAGCUUCUUUUUAUAAAAAUAACCAAACUCAUAACACCUACAUAUGACGAACUCCUGAUGCUUCAUUUUGUGCAUCGAAGAUCCUCUCUUGAUACAUUUCUUCGACCCCAAGUUCGAUGGACAUUUAUGCAUAAGGAGAUUCCCUUUUUUUGUAAUGUAUGAUUGGAUUUGAUAAUAUUCAAGUUGUCAAAGUUUGUCACAGUGCAAUGUUAAUGUCCUAUGGUUAUCCUCCAGUUAUGAUAGUCAAUUUAUGUAAUUAGGUUGGUUUUAAGUUUUAAAGUACACUCAGACCAUUUUUAAAGGUUUUUCAAGUAUUUUGUAAGUUUUGGGGAGCGAGUAGACCAUUUAAGGACCUUAUUAAAUUUUAUAAGUUUUUGGAAUCUUAGAUUGUUGUUACUCUCUUUCGAAAAAUUUAGAUAUUUUAGGCUUUAAUGUAUAGUUGGAGACUUUCUAAAAUAUUUUUUAAACAUUUGUAAACAUUUAAGUUGUUUUUAUAAUAAAAAUGCCAAAACAUUUUUAGGUAAUUUUUAGGUUAAGUUUGAAAGUAAAAAUAAGUUGCAGUUAGACCGUUUUAAGUUGUUUCGAGUGUAAUACCCAAAAAUUGAGGUAAAUUAUUAUUAUAUUUUACUUAUUAAUUACUUUCUACUUUCCUAUUUUCAAUUCUUUUCUUUUUCAUCAAAUUAUAAUAAAACAUCCAAAAUCCUUCAAAUUUUAAUAAAACAAAUCAAGAAUUAAGUAAUGAAAAAUACCUCAAGUUUGGGGUGUUACAUAGACAGUGUGAUAUUUUAAAAUAUUUUUAACCUUUAGGAAAGGAAUUUACUCAAAAUCCAUAUUUUCAUAUUAUCUAAAAAAAACUAAUGGCUUAGACACACCUAUAACAUUAUUAAUCUUGUUUAAAAAUCUAAAGUUGAGAUAUACACAUACUCAAAUUUAUAAUAAUGUACAAUACAGUUCAUGACUCUAAAAAGUCUAAAACAUAGUUUUGAAUUACUUUGGAUCCAAAACUCAACCCCAUAUCGUCUCCUGUACACAUCUCAAAGAUAGCUAAGUAACGUAGAUCACUGUUCUAACAACCUUGUUAGUGCACAAGUAUUUCAAAAAGCUUUAUUAAUUUUUUAAGGUAGUAUUUCAAAAAGCUUAUUACAUUUACUUUUAAGCUUUAACUAAUUAAAUGUCUACCAAAAAAGCUCCUUGCAUUGAUGUUGAUAAUCUCAAAGACUAGAUAUGAACAGAAGAAAAGCCACUUUAUCUUUUAUUAUUUUUAUAGAUUUUGCAUUCAUCUUUUUUCUAUAUAUAUCUUUAUAGACUUUAUUGGGUUUUGUUGGUCAAGACCACCCCCACCACAAAUUUAUGCAGACUUGUUUCUUCCUCAUUUAUCAAUGGAAAGUGAGCUUGUAUUGAACACUUUUGACUUAUGAGUCAUCCUUUAAAAUAAUAAAAUGUAUUAUUAUUUUCUGAUUGUGUGGAAAUAGAUCCUCAACGUGUGAUACAAUAUGAAUAUAGAAAUUUAAGAACUUACACUACUUUAGAUCAAAUUAGCCAACAUUUUGCAUUAAAAAGAGUUUUAUUUUGAAACUCACAAUUAAGUUGAUGCCUUAACUUAACACUUGGGUUCAUAAUUCAAGUAACAACUAAAAAUAACAAAUAAUAAAAACAAUAAUAAGAACACAAGAAAUUGGUUACCCAGUUCAAUGACACAACAUCUCUACAUCGGAGAGACCUUGACCCAUAGAAAAAGAUUAUUUUAUUACCUCAUAAAAUAAUACAAGAGUACACAAAAAUGGUCAAUAAUACUAGCAUCACCACAAAUACUUAUCAUGUUGUAUAUAGUGAAACUUGAUAUACUGAUACAUGAAUCAGAAGUAAGAUUCACUGCAUUUGCCACAUUAACAUCGAGAGAAAACUCCCCAUGAAUCUGAAGUUACCAACCAAUACUGACAAGUUCCCACUUGAUCAUCUAUGACCUUUUUGAGCAAAACCUCUUCGACAACAAUUGUAGAGAAUUAAUGUCAUGUGAUCAUGAUACAUUUAGUGUUUAUAAUCUCCAAUCCACAUUCGUCUCAACGACACUUUCAAUUUCUUCGAAUCACUCUCAGUUUCUGCACACAGUUAAAAGCCCAUCUUGCGCCCACUACAAAGAGUUAGGAAAUUCUUGACGCCAUAAUGCGUUGGGGAUAAGGCAAGAACACGUGGGGAAGAGAUUUCUCGAUGUCGAAAGCUCCGUCAGCAAGAACGUUGGGAGUACAACGUCGAGGGAGCUUUCUCUGACGCACGAAAGAGAGGACAUCGGGAUUGCCUUAUUGUUAACGAAGUUCAAGCCGACUUGUGGCUGACAUCGACAAUGGAGUAUGCCUGACGUCCCCAACGUGUGUUAGGGAUAAGGCAAUCCCGACGCGACGUCGAGAAAAGUUUACUCCAACGUCAUUGAAAAGACGUUAGGAGAAUCCAUUGAUCCCGACGUAGAGUAUACGUCGAGAUCCAUUAUUUAUUUAUUUAUUUAUUAAUAUUAUUAUUUGUUAUCGUGAGGUAUUGUUUUGGGUUUCACCUUCCAAGACAACAAACAAAAUUUACAACAAAUUAUUAAAGUAAAAAAAUUGCAAUUCAUAAAAUUAAAUAGUAAGUUGUUGUUCUCAAAUUGUUCAAAACAAUUACAUUAAAAAAAAAAACUACAAUAUCUCAUAAAACAUAGCCUGGACGUCAGAUUCAAAGAACGAAAUCUCUGCAACCCCCCUCCAGCCUUUCCCCAAAUAAAUUAAUCCUUCUCCCAUUUCUAUACAUAAUCAUCCCCUCAUAUAUUCAUUUGUCGAUUUCGUUGCGGAAAAAAAAAACUUCCCCAUUUUCUUUUUCCUCAACUCUUCGUGCAAGCCCUUUUUGUGCUUUUCCUUUCGACUUUUCCUUGUUGCUCGAACUUCGCAUUUGCCGCCUAGAAUUUUCCUUGCCGAUUGAAUUUUUUUUUUGAACUAACUUUGGACAAGUGCUAUACUAUCCUUGUGUGCCUCUGCGAUUUUCGAGCAAGGUAGGGUUGAAGGUUGUCGAUUUCAAUAUGAUUUUUGCAUAUAGUCGAUGAUGAGGUCCAUAAUUUUCCAUCUCUGAUAUUUUAUUUUUUAUACAUUUUUUUCCUGUUAUUUCAGUUUCUUUCAACAUUUGCGCUUUUUGUAAACAAUUCUUGGUUAUCAUUGCAAUUUCUUUCGUCUGUGUUGAAUGCAAUUUUGUUCCAUUUAGAAAUUUAUUUCCUUUGCAUUUCUUGUUUUGUCAUUUCUUGAAGUAUCUAUGUUGUACUUCUUCAUGAAAUAAAUCUCUGUUGGGCUAUCUGUUAUGUUCAGAAAUGUAUACUCCUAUGCUAUUGCAUUUCAUUUUCCUUCUUUACAAUUUUAAUUUACUCCAAAUAAAGGCUCCAUUAAGAUGUGGCCUUUGAGUCAUCUGAUAUGCUUAUGCAUUGUUUAUUCACUACUACUGCCAAUUUUUUCUUCCUACCUAAUGUGGUAGGUCUCAUGGUUACGGUUUGACCUUAUCCUAUCAUGUGCAAAGAUUAUCUUUCCUUUUUGUUUCUUUUACUCAAUAAACUGGUAAACUAUUUCACUUCUACCAUCUAUAUAAACAUCAAAUUUCUUAUGUCUUCUUCUAUGUUGUAUCCCCUAUUGGACGUCAUUCUUCUUUCCUCUGUUCAAUUUUCUUGGUAGGCCAUCUACGUUUGGUUCAUUUUUUUUUCAUGUCUAUAUUCUUUUAAAGGCAUACUAUACUUCACAUUUUUUUAAGCAUUUAUGCACAACAUGUUCUUCCAUGUUCCAUGUUUCAUGUUCCAUGUUCCAUGUUCCAUGUUCCAUAUUCCAUGUUCCAUACUUCUUUUUUAUGUUUCUUCUCAUUAACCUUCUUAGUACUGAUGUGUGUGCUGGACAAUGUUCUCAUUUGUAUGUUCUUUUUUUGGCAUAGUGUACUCCAUGUAUUUCUUCAUCUAUGAAAUAUAAUUUUUUUCAUGCUUUAACCAUGUUGUCAUUUGAUGCUGCUUGUCAUGAACCAUGGUACGAACAAAGUGUGUAUGACUACCAUUGUUUUUUUUUUUAUGUGUUAUUGUUUAAGGCAUAUAGUCCAUGAAGUUCUUCUUGUCAUGUUUCUUGCCCUCAACCAUUGUACCAAUAAUAUAUGUGUGUGGCUGCCUAUGUUUUGAUUCAUGGUUAUGGUUUGUAAGGCAUACUAUGUUCCAUGAUGUGUGUUGUUGUAAAUUGUUUUUUGUAUUCAUUUCCAUGUCCAUACGUUUCUGCAUUUCUACGUUAUGCGUAUUGAAUAUUGAUGUGUCCACUACUAAAACCGCUUCAUCGUAUUGAAUGGUUUCAUAUCCUCUCAGGCUAUUUUUUUUUUAAAAAAAAAACUAGUCACAUUAUUCUUUAUAUUAACGAGUUUCCAUUUCCAUUUCAACAUUGGACAACCCGUGAAAGUACACGGUACAUAAUUAUAUGAUCGUUGCGGCUACUAUUUUUUUCAAUAAUUUUGUUUAGGUCGACGCACUCACUUGUGUAUACUUUUUUUCAGGACACCCAACUCUGUACAUUCGUUCAAAUAGGUACUACGAUUUUGCCGUUUUGUAGUACAACUUUCCAUUUAUUCUCCUAACAAUUUUUAUGUCGUUUCUUGCACUGUAUUUACAACGUUACUUUUCCCUUAUUCAAUUGUAAAAAAAAAAUUGCACGUUAAGUUCGAUUAAUUUAUGUUUUUCGCAGUAUACAACAUAAACAUUGGUUCAUAUUAUUGGAAAGCAUAUGCCGUUCCUAUACGUUUCUUAUUAUUGUGUACAAAUGUGUGAACUUAUUUUUAAAUUUCAAUGCAUACCCGUAAUCCCGAUUCUGUGACACUUUAAUUUCCACACGCAUUUUUUAAAAAUUCCGACUACUUUAACAAUCCCAAUUGCUAUGCUUUGAAAAACCAACGACCAUGAAUUUUGAAAAAAAAAAAGAAUUUAGGGUUUCCAACCAUUACCCACUCUUUUAAAAUACAAUAACAAUCAUUUUAAAAAAAUUCACAAUUACUUUUCUAAAAUAUGAUCAACACUUAAAAAAAGAACACCGUGAUUAUUUAAAAGAUAUUUUGUGUACAAGAUUACACUAGGAUUUAAAAAAAUAUAUGGUUUAGUUUUCCACCAUCACAUUGUUCACACAAAUUUGACUGCAUCUAUGACCCUACUUUCUAUUAUUUUUUUUGCAUAAAUGGCCACAGUUAUUGUGUUUUAUGUUUUUUAAAAAAUUCAAUCUGUACGUUUAGUAAAUUGAUUAAACCUACCAUAAACAUGGAAAUACAUGUUGGAAGAGAACACAUUAGGGGUGAAAAAACCCGAAUCAAACUAAAGAACAAAACCAAAUAGAUUCGAUUCGAUUCGAGUUGGAUUAGGCUUCAAUAGUAAUAUUACUCAACCGAAUCGAAUUGAACUGGAUCGGUUUGAUUCAAUUCAGUUCAAAUGUAAAACAUUUAGGUUAAAAACUUAAAAUUGAAAUUAAACUCAUUCGUUCGUCUUCCUCCAUCUACACGAGUUCAUCAUUCUCCAUUGUCGGACAUUCUCCGUUCGUCGUGGAUCUUCCUCCUUCGUUUGUCUUCCUCCAUCUACACGAGUUUGUCAUUCUCUGUUGCUGGCCAUUCUCCAUUCUUCAUGGGUCUUCCAACUUCGUUCAUCUUCCUCCAUCUACUCGAGUUUGCCAUUCUUCAUUCGUCUUCUGUUCUGUCUUUCGUCUUUUAUUCAUGUGGAUCUGAAAAAAGAGGAAGAAAAUUCUUCAUCGGACAUUCUCCAUCUUCGUUCGUUGUGGGUCUUUCGUCUUCUACCUUGGGUCGAAACCGCAGGUAAAUUCCCACCUCUUUUUUAUACGAUUUUCAAAUUUUUUCCCUCUUUUCCUUUAUUGUCUUCACAUUGGUUUGAUUAUGUUUGUUUUAUGGGGAACUUUUGUUCAUAAUUCCUUUAUUGUCUUAUGUAUUAGCUAGUAUGUGUUAUGUGCCCAAAUUUUGUGUUAUGUGUUAUGUAUUAGCUAGUUUGUGUUAUGUGUUUGUGUAUAUAUUUCUUGACUGUAUUGGGUGGAUAUGUACAUAAGAGGUUGCUAUUGUGGUUGCUAUUGAAUGCGUUUAGGUUAAACUGAUUUCAAAAGGUAUAUGAAUUAUGUUCGGUUGCUAUUGUAUAUAUUUCUGUUGAGAUUAAAUUGAUUUCAAAAGAUGUUAUGAUAUGCUUUACUUAUUAUUUUCUUUGAUGAUUAUUAGUUAAAAAUUGUUUGCUUUUUUGUUGGUUUGGUUGAUGAUUAUUUUGCACGACCUAGUCAAGGAAGCGAUUGUAGAACAUACUUGAGCGGCUCAAAGCAGAUACAGGAAGGGCAGAAUCCUGAUAUAGUUAAUGUCAUUAAGGAUGCCAUGGUCUGCCAAACCGACUAGCUAAGGCUCAUUGCAGAGUAGCCGCAGUUGGCACUCGAGGAUGAAAGAAGAGGUCGUUCUAGCAUUGCGAGCCAUACCUGAGCUCAAUAGGUUAGAAAGGGUGUAAUGCAAUCGAACACUGAUGAACAAUUUAGUAAACAUGAAGGAUUUUCUCGAAUUGUCAGAUGACGAAAGCUUGACUACUGCACGGUGAUCCUAGAGGCGCUAGCUGAUUGUUUCUUUUACUUGCACGGACUAUUAUUAAUGUUUUUUUAUGACUCUACUUGUUCACUUUUUCUUCUUGAUGUUUUGUAGUGAUAUUGAUGUUAUGUGUUUUUUGUUCCAAUUAUUCAUGUAGUAAAAUUAAUGCGACGUAAUUUAAUUUUAUAUAUAUAUAUAUAUAUAUAUAUAUAUAUAUAUAUAUAUAUAUAUAUAUAUAUAUUUGCAUUUCUUAUUCCGCUUUUACGUGCUGCAUCAUAAAAAAUAAUUGAAAUUAUUUGACAAUUGUAAUCAAAUGUAACAACUAAUCAAUAACAUGUUCAACAUAGACGUUACCAUUCCACAAAUUAAAUCAAUUACUUCAGGCAACGUCGGAUCAUUUGGUAAAAAAAAGUUAUGGACUUUGACUAUUGGAUUUUAAAUAUGAAUUUGAUAAAAAGAGAAUUAAUUAAAAUCUAAAUCUAUCAGAUCACUACCAACAUAACUCUUCCCACAAACACAUCUUAUUAUAACCCUACCCACAUAACACUUACCCCAAAUACAUUUUAUCAUAAAACUAUCAUAACACUAGCUAAAUAACUCUUCUCCCAAACACAUCUUAUUAUAAAAAUAUUAUAACACUAUCUACAUAACCCUCCUCCAAACACAUUUUACCAUAAUAUUAUCAUAACCCUAGUAACAUAACUCUUCCCUCAAACAACUCUUAUCAUAAAACUAGUUUUAUCAUAACCCUAACCCUUCCCCCAAACGGACCUAUACUGUUUAUACAAUCUUUCAAAGUUAUAUGUUUGGGAACCUAAAUAAAUUCUAGAUUUGCCAUUGAUUUUGGAUUUCCUGAAACGAGUAUUGAAUUUCUGAGCAUCUUCUUCAUAUUGUUAAUUCUCCUUUUUUAUAUUUUCACUUUUUCUUGUUUGCAACUUUUCUCGUUUCAAUUUUCUUUUUUCUUUUCUUUCACUACACAAUCAUGUUUGGGCAAGUGCAGUACUAUAGAAGGCAAUUGAUUAAUUUUAGAGAUUUUUGUUCCAAUUACAAUUUUAUGGCUUCCACUACAUUAACAAAACAUGUGGCUUUUUUCCCAUUUCUACGUCAAAAAAUCAAUCCCAAUCCACAAAGUGAGAUGUUAAGCAUUCGUCUUUACAACUAGACUAAGAAAAUGAUUUAAAAAAUCCAAUAAUAUAUUAAAAAGAAUAAAACUUCUUAAAAACUCAGCAACCUAUUUUGCAUAUACAUUUAGUCUAAAAUUGUAAUGAAAAAUGAUAGUUAUUAUGUGAUUAGUUGAAAUUGAUGAUAUUAAUUAUGUAUAACCAACUUUAUCAAUAAAUUUAAGGUUAGUAUGAUAUUUUUUCCUCUUGAGAGUGUUGUUAAGAACGUUUCAUCUUUUGGAUUUUUAAUUUUCAAUUAAUUUCUCCUUUUCCUCUCAUAUCAUAACAAGAAACAUAAGUUAAUAAACAUAAGUUAAUAAGUAGGAAAAUUAUAUCAAAUGACAAAAACAUUUAAAAAACAGCUCAUGACAUAUAUUUUUUGUAUAUUGUAAAUAUAAUAAAAUUAGUGAUAUUAUGCGACAAUUAAUAAUAAAUACUUUAAUGCCAGCAGUGAAUUCUGUUGCUAAGACCAACGUAUUCAAAUCGUUUUCAAACGUCAUUUGGCAAUUGAAAUUAAGAAUUCUUAACUAUGUUCUUGUUUAUUAAGUCUGAUACAAAUGGAUCAAUUUUUUUUUAUAGUUUUUUAUCUACUUUUUCCAACUUAAAUAUUACAAAGUGACUGCUAAUUUUUUUUUCAUCCAGUUUUGUAAUAUUUGUUUUUAAGCUAAACCACAUAUCCAAAAUUUUAUUGGACGGUCAAGAAGAAUAACAAAUUAUGAGUUUUACUUAGGGAAAAUAGUAAAAAUAAUUUUAAAUUGUUAUAAUAGCAAAACAUAAAAAUUAGAAAAAUAAAUAAAUGAAAAAAUCUCAUAAAUACUCUUAUCCAAUAUAAAAAGUACAAUUAUUUACCUAAACCCAAAAUACAUUGUAAUUGAAAUAACACAUGCCACAUAAAAAAUUUCUCACAAAAACAUAAAGAUUAGAAAAUUUGCCAUUGAUGGAAAGUUUCACCUCAUGUCUGCAAAAUUUAAAAUCUAUUUCAAUGUCUAAAAGAUGCAAUUCAUUUGAAAUUGUAAUUGCAAAAUUGAGACACAUUCAAUCAAAGGGUUUGACUCUAUACAUGUCGAACAGUCAUAGUCGAAAGCUUCAAGUUGAAAAUGGGAGCAUUGUUGAUAUUAUAAUAAAGAUGAAAUCAUAAAAUUAUACUAUAGAAUUGAAAACUUAUAUGCAAGAUACGCAUCGGUGAGUUCGUCCACUGAAAUCGGUGAGUUCUUCAUACAUUCGAGAUUCAUUUGAGUUAUUCUCUCUUGUUAGCAAUAAAAAAAUUCUCUUUCACACUGUGUUUAUUUCUUGUCGGCUGCCUCUCAUAAUCUCUUUAUUUUCUUUUCUCUAAUAAAAUCUAAAAGUGAAAGAUUCAAAUAAUUUAAAAAAUGUCAUUGAGGCAUAGUUAAAUCCUAAAAUUUAAAUUUAAAUUGUUAUUAAAAAUAUAUAUUAAAAUUUAAAUUCAAAUUGUUAUUAAAAAUAUAUAUUAAAAUGUAAAUUCAAUUUUUUUAUUAAAAAUAUAUAUUCAAAUUUAAAUUCAAUUUUUCAUUAAAAAUAUAUAUUCAAAAUUUUAUUGAAAACUUUAUAUUAUGUGUUAUUUAAUAAAUUGUUUAAAAUAUAACAAAUUUGAAAAUAGCUAUUAGCAUAAAUCUACCAACAAAAUAGCAAAUUUAGUUAACAUUUAUCAAAUUUGAAUGUUUUUUUUUUUUUUUUUGCACUUUUUCAAUAAAAGAGACACAAUAAAUUAUUUUUUUAGUAAAAAUCAAUCAAAAUAAGUGUUCAAUUUGAAAUAUAAAUUCAAAUAACUAUAUAUUAUCUAAUAAAAAUUUUUAAAAUAAUUUGAAAUAUAAAUGUUUUGAAAAUAGUGGAUUAGUGAUUGUCAUUAUUUUAGGGAUUAGAUUUCACAAUAUUUGAACUCAAAAUACUAUGAAAUCUAAGGAAAGAGGAACGGUUGAAAAUCUUUUAACAGUUUUUUAGGGAAAAUAUUUAUUAAACAUAAGUUUUAUGAAAUAAAUAAAUAAAUGUUAAUUAAUUUGAUUUAAAUAUUAAAAAUCCAAAAAUUUGUUAUGAAUUAUAGGCAUAUAUUUAGGAGAUAUUGAGAAAAUCUUGUCAAUCUCGAAAAUAUCUUAAAUUAGUUAAUAUUUUUCAAAAGUUUGCAGAUACACUUUAUAGUAUGAUAUUUGGUCUCAUUAUUUGUAUCAUGUAAAUACAAGUAAACCACGUAUUAUUCUACAUAAAGAGAUAUAACACACGUAUUAUACUUUUUGAUUACACAUGUAUAACAAUGAUGCUUGAAAAUAAAACUUCACAUACAAAAUAAAACGCUUCAUUAAAAUAAAUAUGAAUAUUGACGUAAUUAAAAAACACAACGUGAAAAAUAAUUAUCUCAUACAAGAGACACAAUAAAUUGUUUUUUUAAUAAAAAAUCAAUUGAAAUAAGUGUAUAAUCAGAAUUAGCACGAUUGUAGUGAUGAUAAAACUUUGUUUUUAAAUUAUUAUUAACCGUAUGUACUGUGUAUUAUCUGAUAAUUUUCUUUAAAUAAUUUGAAAUAUAAAUAAUACAAAAUGUUUAAUUUAUGUUUACCAUUAAUAUUUAAAAUCAAAAUAUUAUGAAAUAUAAUGAUUUGGAAAUAGUUGAAAUUCUGAUGACCAUUUUUUUCAUUAAUCAUAGGUACUAUGUAUUAUCAUAUGAAAAUAAUAAAGUAGUGAUUGUGAUUGUUUUAGAAAUUAGAUUUCAUAAUAUUUGAAUUUAAAAUAUUAUGAAAUCUAAUGAGUAACGGUUGAAAUUCUUUUAGCAAUUUUGUAUGAAAAAUCGAAUUAAAUAAGUAAAUGUUAAUUAAUUUGAUUUAAAUACUAAAAAUUAAAAAAUUUGUUAUGAAUUAUAGACAUAUAUUUAGGGGAUAUAGGAGAAAUCUUGUUAAUCCAAAUUAGUUAAUAUUUUUCAAAAUUAAUUGUAGUUUGUAAAUAGACUGUAUCUGUGUGUUAUUUGGCAAAUACAUCGUAUCUAAAAACACUUAUUCUACUUAAAAGUACAAACGGGUAAAAGAAGAUCGAAAAAAUUAUGUAACCACCCGUUUUGCCAAAAUUAAUUUGCUAUUUUUAAGUUUAGGUAUGAAAAAUAUUUUUCCAGUAGUCGCGUAACUUACAAACACGCUUAACUAUGAUCUUUCGAUGGAAUCCGGUGAAUGGUCACACCCAUGUGAUAAAUAUUUAUAAGUGACAAUAUUAAUUUGUUUCUAAAAUAAUAUAGCAAAAUUUUAAAUUCUGCCAAACGAUACACAAUAUGAAUUUUUUUUUUACCUAUAGUAUAAUUUGUAAAUGUUAUGGUUCAUUAUAUUAAACUUUAUUUAGAAAUGCUACUGUAGAUAAUAGGAUGUCAUACGUAAUUGCCCAAAUAGAUUGAAUGAAACCUAAGAGUAGAUGAAAACGCAUCCCACUUAAUUCUAAUAUAUAUUACUUUGUAAAACAUCAACAAGAAGAAUAAUCAAGUAAGUAUACACUACAUAGUCAUGUAUAUAUACAAUUCCUACCAAACAAUUAAUUAGAGGGUUGUUAGGAUCGUUCUUUAUGUUUUUUUAAUAGAACAAGUAGUUGGUCCGAAUAAAAAUAUUGCUAAAAAGGAAAAAGGCAUUAACACUUACACCCAUAUUAGUCUAUAUAAGAACACAGAAUGGCACCAAAUUUUGCAGUGAAGAUCAAUCUAAUAAGUUGAAAGCAAAGACCAAUAUAGAAAAAAAAAAAAAAAAAAUGUCUCUAAAAUGGGUUAUGGUAUUUGCAAUUGCAAUGGUGCUUCUCACUGCUGAGACUGCAACAGAGGCUCACCGGCCAACGCUAACUCCAAAUGAUCCGGAAAUGAAGUCGAUGGUGGGUCAUGCUGGUGACAAGACCAUUCCUGCCCAUGGAGGAAAAGGGUGCAAGAAAGGCCCGCAUUCCAAUUGCAAGGAACACCAUGGCUGAGUCAGAAGGGUCUUUCUCUGACGAGAUAAGGCCGUGCUGUUGGGGAGAACUAAAUAAAACUACUGCGUUCAAAAAGCCUAUAUUGGCUGCCCUCAAAGAUUAUCCAUGGUUUCAAAAUAUUGUAAUCUAAUGUUUGUGUGUUGAUGUUGGUGUCUUUGUAAUAUGGUUGUUUGUUGUGAGAUCUAAUAUCUAUAUAAAUGCUUUUCUUUUGUAUUCCGCAAUUCUAGCAAGAUCUUUAGCUUAACUCCUGAGCUUUUUCUCUCUCUCUCUCUCCAGAAUUUGCCAAUGGUAACAUUAGACUAUGAAAAAAGUACACCAAUGGUUAUAAAAACGCUUCAAGAAAGAAGUGUACAAAAUGAAUGAUUAUCUAACCAUGAGCCAAGCAAGUCCAUGGUUGACCAAAUCCUACCAGGACCAAUAUGAGGUGGGCCAACCAUUUGAGAAUGCUUUGGAUGAGACUGACAUAUACACUUGGUUGGUCCACUCCAUUAGGAGAAUAAGUUUAACUUAAGCAUUAAAUUGUGGGUAAAAUGCUCAAUACAUCAGUAUUGUACGGUUUCUUUUUUUCACGCAGACGUUGAUCACCUUCUGUAAACCAUAUCCUUCAGGUCAUGUGAAGUAGACUAAUUUUACAAAACCAACCAAAUAUUGAUCUAAAUAGUUUGUGGUAUAUAUUUUUCAUCUGAACUACUUACUGCAAAUUAAAUCCUAAUACAAAUUUUGGAAUAAAGUAUAAACUACCACGACCCUAUAGAUUCAUUAUAAUAUCGGCCUAUACUAUAGACUUCAACAAAGAUAUGUAAUAUAAACCAAAUUUUAUCAUUUUGUAUAGAUUAUUGUUUUCUAUCUUAAGAAUAAAAUAUUUUUCCUUUUAUUUAUUUUAUUAUUAUUAUGAUGGACUACUUUCACGUUAGAAAAAUUGCAUCAAAUGACAAAAAAAUUAGAAAAAAACAGCUCAUGACACAUAUUUUUUGCAUUAUGACAAAAUUAGUGAUAUUAGGCGGCUAUCAAACAGUAAUCAUAAGACUAUCAGACGUUAUUACAGGGUUAUGAUCAGCUGUUAAAUUUAUUAUUUUUGCAAUUUAGAAAAUGUAGUGACAUGAACUCUAUUAUCAUAAAUGUUUUGCUACUUUUGUAAGAGCCCCUCCAAAUAAUGUAAAAUGGUCCAAAAUAAUUACAAAAUAAUAUAAAAUUUUAGUAUUAUGAUAGAGACCGAUAUACUCAUGUUUGUAAGAUUAGAAAAAUAGGAGUGAAGACUAAAAUAUGGUUGAUAACACAAUUUUGAUGAAUUCAAAAUAUUAGAAAACUCAAACCCAUAUAUAUCAUCUAAUUUGGAUAAUCUCAAGCAAUAUGAAUAGAAGAAAAGCUACUUUGUGUUUUAUAUCAUAAAUUACAAUUGUGUCAUCAUGUUAUUAGCACUCUUAUUUAUUUAUUUGUUUCUUCUCUCUUUAUAGUCUUUAUUGGGUUUUGUUGCUAAAAAAUCACUAUCUUCAUCACAUAUAUGCAAACCUGUUUCGCCCUCAUUUAUCAAUAGAAAGUGAGCAUGCAUUGAAUACUUGACACUUAUGAGUGCCACUAAUGCCUCUCACAAUAUACUAAAUUCAUUUUCUUUCUUAGUACACAAUUAAAGCAUAGACUUUUACAAACUUAUAUUUAUUAUCUGCUGAGUUAUAAAUUUUGGGAAGCCUUUAAAUUGUGAAGCUUCUCCCAAGCAACGAAUGUGUGUGCAUUGAACUUUCUAUUCGAAAAAACAAAAAAAUAAAUUACUCUACUGGAUAAAAGAAGAAGAGUUUGUUGGAUAUUUGUCCAAACAAAAAUAAUAAGAUUUUUUUAUUAAGUUAUUUUUUAAAUAAAUGAUUCUAUUUAAAGAUAAGAAUAUUAUUUAGAGAUAAAAGAUUUUCUUUCGUAAUAAUAAUAAUCUUUGCAUUAAGAAGUUACAGACAUGUAUUAUUGUGAUUUUUAAAUAGCUAAGUUAUUGGCUUAGUUCAGCGUGCGCGUUGAUGGAAAAUGGACUUCGAAAAAGUUCUCUCUUUAAGAAUUAUUAUUUGUGAAGGUAGUCAAAUUACCAUUUUUAUGAAGAUGAAUUACUGGAAUUCUGCAAGUAGUUUUUACACUGCAACUAUUGAUAAGAAAUAUGAAAGAAGACUGAAAUAGUUGAACUGUAGUCCAUGAGUUUAGAGAAAGCCUGAGUUUAUCUUCAAGAAGAUUCAAACAUAAAUUCAGGAGAAGUCCGUACUUGAUUAAGUUUUUUGCUCAUUUGAAUCUUAAUAAUAUUUUUAUAUGAGGUAAGAAGCUCCCUAGACGUAGAUGGUAUUCAUCGAACUAGGUUAACAAAGUCUUCUGUGUUAUUAUUAUUAUUAUUUUGUUUCUUUAGCUAUUUUUUCAAUUAAUUAUUUUUGAUAUUGCUAGAUGAUAUUUUGAUGGCAUCACAUUUAUUUUAAGUUAGUUUCCAAAAUAUGAUUGAAACGUAGAGAGUGGACAAAAUUUAGAAAGUUACAAUAAAUAAAAAGAAAUUAUUGUAAAUGGUAAAAAUACUAAAAAUAUUUACAAAAUAUAAAAAGUUUCAAAUUAUAGAAAAUAUAAAAAUUUCAUUCCAUCCGGGAUAGAAUUUUAAAUUUUGUUUUAAUUAAUUUGUAAAUGUUUUCAUUCAUUAGAGUAUAUUUAGAAAGGCUCCUGUAGAUAAUAAAAUGUCGUGAAAUCAAGUAGUACAUCAACCAAAAUGAAAAUGCAUUGCACUUAUAUAUUAAAUUGUUAAAAAUUACUUUCUAAAACAUGAACAAGAAGAAUAAUUAAGUAUACACUACAUAGUCAUGUAUAUAUACAAUUCCUGCCAAACAAUUAAUUAGAGGGUUGUUAGGAUAGUUCUUUUUGUUUUUUUAAUAGAACAAGUAGUUGGUCCAAAUAAAAAUAUUGGUAAAAAAGAAAAAGGCAUUAGCAGUUACACCCAUAUUAGUGUAUAUCAGAACACAAAAUUGCACCAAAUUUUGCAGUGAGGAUCAAUCUAAUAAGUUGAAAGCAUAGACUAAUAGAGCAAAAAAAAAAAGUCUCUAAAAUGGGUUAUGGUAUUUGCAAUUGCAAUGGUGCUUCUCACUGCUGAGACUGCAACAGAGGCUCACCGGCCAACGCUGACUCAAAAUGAUCCGAAAAUGAAUUCGUUGGUGGGUGAAUCAUAAUCGUGACAAAAUUACCAAUCCUUCCCAUGGAGGAAAAGGGUGCAAGAAAGGCCCACAUUCCAACUGCAAGCAACACCAUGGCUGACUCAGAAGGGCCUUUUUCUGACGAGAUUAGGCCAUGCUGUUGGGGAGAACUAAAUAAAACUACUGCAUGCAAAAGCCUAUAUUGGCUUCCCUCAAAUAUUAUCCAUGGUUUCUGAAUAUUGUAAUCUAAUGUUUGUGUGUUGAAGUUGGCGUCUUUAUAAUAUGGUUGUUUGUUGUGAGAUCUAAUAUCUAUAUAUGCUUUUCUUUUGUUUUUGGCAAUUCUAGCAAGAUCUUUAGCUUACCUCCUGACCUUCUUUUUUUUCUCUCUCCAAAAUUUGCUAAUGGUAACUUCAGACCAUGAAAGUACACACUAACUGUUCUGUAGAACACUGUUCUGACAACUUGUUAGUACUCAAGUAUUUCUACAUUUCCAGUUACUUACAACUAAUUAUUAAAUGUCUAACCAAAAAGCUUCUUGCUUUAAUUUGGAUAAUCUCAAGCUAUAUGAAUAGAGGAAAAGCUACUUUAGUGUUUUAUAUCAUAAUUAUUAUUACAAUUGUGUCAUCAUGUAAUUAGCACUCUUAUUUUUUUAUUUCUUCUCUUUAUAGCCUUUAUUGGGUUUUGUUGCUAAAGAUAUCACCAUCUUCAUCACAUAUAUGCAAACCUGUUUCUCCCUCAUUUAUCAAUAAAAAAAAGUAAGCAUACAUUGAACAAUUUUCACUUAUGAGUGCCAAUGAUGCCUUUCACAAUAUAUUAAAUUUAUUUUCUUUCUUAGUGCACAAUCAAAGUAUAGAGUUUUACAACCACAAUCAAACUAUAGAAUUUUACACACUUAUAUGUAUAUAUUACCAGUUGAGUUGUAUUUUCUUUAGAAUUAAUAUAAAAAAAAUUAUCUCAAAUAUUGAAAGGGUGUUUGGACCCCAGAUUUGAAAGAAGUGGAGUCGACUAAAUCCUUGUCUGGAAAAACUUAGUAUUAGGGUUUCAAUCAUUCCCGCAUACAUUUUCCAACUCCGUCCCCUAAUACUUCUCACUCCCUCUCACUCCUUUGUGAUUUUCAGUGUAAUCCUUCCUCUUCACUCCGCGUAAUCCAUCUCACUUCUUCCUCCCUUAUCGUGUUCCUUCUCUUUUUCCAUCUUUCUGUUAUCAUCCCUCUUCGAAUCUCAUAUCCGUGUUUACUUUUCGUUUUCCUCUUGAAACCAUUUUUCUUCUCCCUUUUUGGUUUUGUAAAUAAGGUCUAUUUUUGUAGCCAUUAAUGGUUGGGUUUCCACCCCUUGCCUUUAGAAGUCUUCCUCUUGCAUGUCCGAAGAGACUACUCAGUGAACAUGCAAGGAUCUCUUCCUUAUCCCUCCGAGUUUUCCAUGUCGCUCUGACGACUUGUGUACCGAAACGGCUGUGAACAGAGAGAUGCUACUUAUAUUGUGGGAUCCAAAGAAUGGUAGGGACAUCAGCAUUGGAGCACGAUAGGGGUGUUGUCAGUUCUUAUCGGGUUUAUAUCUCAAACAUGCCUUUAUAGUCAAUGAUAAGUGUAAUCUAGAGUUCAGAGAAGUAUAUUUCUUAUUCAUAUUGAGUCAAAGGAACGUUACAUAUAUUUAUAUAGAGAAUAAAAUAAACCCUAGACACUAUGUACAAUUACAAUAAAGGACGUAUGAUAUAUAUAUAUAUAUAUAUAUCAUAACAAUAAGGUCCUCUUCUGAAUUAUCUUAUUCAUUUUUUUGUGUUUCUUUUUCAUGUAGUAUGUUCAAAAUGUUGCUUAUGUGAUUCGUUCUGAAAAUAUGUUUAAAAUGUUGCUUAUGUCACCUUGAGGAGCACCAAUACUGUUUGUGAAGAAGAAAGAUGGGUCGAUGCAUCUUUGCAUUAACUAUAGAGAGCUUAAUAAGGUAACAGCCAAGAACAUAUAUUUGUUUCCCAGAAUUGAUGAUUUACGUUCAGGGUAUCACCAAUUGAGGAUUAGAGACAAUGAUCUUCCUAAGAUCGCUUUUCAUUCUAUAUAUAACCGUUAUGAGUUAAUUGUGAUGUCUAUUAGUUUGACGAAUACUCCUGUUGUAUUCAUGGAUUUGAUGUACAGAGUGUUUAAGGAUUUUUUAGACACUUUUGUGAUAACUUUUAUUGAUGGUAUCUUGGUUUACUCCAAGAUAGAGGUUGGGCAUGAGAAGCAUUUGUAUUGGGUUUUGGAGACUUUUCGAGCCAAUAAGCUAUAUGCUAAGUUUACAAAGUGUGAGUUCUACCUGAAGCAGGUGUCUUUUCUUGGCCAUGUAAUAUCCAAUGAGGAAGUUUCUUUGGACUCAGGAAAGAUUGAAGUUGUUACCAAUUAGCCUCGUCCUUUUGUAGUCAGUGAAGUUUGAAAUUUUUUGGGUUUAGCAGGUUACUACAGAAGAUUCGUGGAAGGUUUCUCUUGUAUAGCCAGUCUCUCAACUUAGUUGACCAAGAAAGGGACUCCUUUUGUUUGAAGCUCAACAUGUGAGAGCAGUUUCCAAGAUCAUAAGUAGAAACUUGUUACUGCAUCAGUCCUUAUAAUGCCAGAUGGAUCUGGAAGUUAUAUGAUUUAUAGCGAUGCUCCUCGAAGAAGGGAUUGAGUUGUGUUUUGAUGCAGCAAGGUAAAGUGGUUGCUUAUGCCUCCCGACAGUUGAAGAUGUUUGGAUUUAUGUCAUAAAAAUCGUAGAUUGUAAAUAUAAUUCAUUGACCGUUAUUAAUAAAGUGUUAUUAUUGUAAUGAAUGUUAUUGAUUAUAUUAUUAGUUUUGUCUUAAUAACUCAAAUCCAAUAACCUAACAUCCUAAGUUGUUUGAUGAGUCUUGAAAAGUAUGUAGAGACAUACAGGAAUCAAUGUUCGAGAUCAGCUUAAAGGGUCUAUAGUAUAGGGAUAAGACUGAGUACCUUAUCUUGGUAACGCUAUGGAUACGACUCACUUUGUAUUUGAUACAAAUGCAAUGAUCCAACAUGGAGAAGAUGAAGAUGUAGAUGUGUUGCAGUCCAGAGGAUCAUUAUCAUCAUCUUCAAUGUGUUGUUGCCAAGAGAAUCAUCAUCUUCAUCUUCGAUGUGUUGCAUCCGAGAGGAUUAUAAUCUUCAUCUUCGAUGUGUUGCAACCAAGAAAAUCAUCAUCUUCAUCUUCGAUGUGUUGCAACCGAGAAAAUCAUCAUCUUCGUCUUCAUCUUCAAUGUGUUACAACCAAGAGGAUCAUCAUCUUCAUUUUUAAUGUGUUGCACCCAUGAGAAUCAUCAUCUUCAUCUUUAAUGUGUUGCAGCACAAGAACCAUCAUCUUCAUCUUCAACUUGUUGCAGCCAAGAAGCCGAACAAACAAAAAAGUAGGACAUGGAGGAAACCAAACCAAGAUACAUGCUUGCAUGGGGCCUUCAAGGAAUAGCGGGAAAAAAAGUCAAAGUCAAGUUAUGUGUAAGAAAAUUUAUUAUAAGAUAAAGAAAAGAAAAGAAAAGAAAUUUUUUAAAAAAAUUUAGGUUAAAAGAAAAGGUAGUACAAAAUGGUUAAAAAAAUAAAUGAAAAAAAUUAAAGAAACAAGAAAAGAAAAAAAGGCAGACAAAAAGUAAUUAAAAUGAAAAGAAAAAGAAAGAAAGAGAAAAACAAAACAAAAAAAACAAAAACAAAAAACGAAAAUAAAAGAAAAUAAAAGAAAAAUAGAAAAGAAAAAGGGACACUUGCAAAAAUAACAAAAAAAUAAUAUUAAUAAUAGGGUCCAUGUCACUACGUUUUCUAUAUUGCAAAAUUAGCAAAUUUAAAAGUUGAUAACCCUCUGAUAGCCCUCUCAUAAUCCUUAGAUAGCAUUCUAAUAGUUGUUUCAUAGCCGUUUAAUAGCACUAAUUAUUUGUCAUAUUUGUCAUAUUCGUAAGAUGGAAAAAGAGGUGUUAUAGCUUAUUUUUUCUAAAUGUUUUUGUCAUAUGUUGCAAUUUUUUAAGGAAGAACGAGAAAAAUGAAGGAAAAGGAAAAAAGAAAAAAACUCUUUCAUAAUUUUUUUUUAAAAUAAAUUCUAUCUUUAUCUUUUCUUUUCUCCAGCUCGACCCUCUUUCACUUUUUUUUCCUCCCCCUCUCCAUCAGCCCCCUCUAUCUCUCCCGCGACCAAAAAGAAAAACAUAAAAAUGAACCCCAUUUUCACACUAUGUUCUCCCAAAUAGGUAAGGAAGCAAACGAUGAAGCAAAAAUAAAAAGAAAAAAAGUUAGAGGAGCCAAAUACAUAAGUAUCAACAAACGUGUUUGAUUGUCGAGAUUACCUAAUCUUUUACUUUAGUUUUUAAAAAAAUAACAAAUUAAAUAAAUAAAUAAAUAAAAUUGCUUUAAUUUUUUUUUCUAAUUAAAUCCAUGAUCGAAGAAAAAAUAUUGGAGAAUUAAAAAAAAAUUCACAAUUCAUUUUGUUUUUCUAUUGUUGCAAAAAAAAAAAAAAAAAAAACUUUAUCCAAUUCAUAAAUUCAUUUCAAAUUUAAAUUGAGUAAAAAGAGAAGGGGCGAACUUUUUAAAUUCUAAGUUUGAGGCUAAUUCAGGUUUAAGCUGCACAAAUUUUACUAAAAAUUCAAAUUAGAAAAUUAUGAAAAGAAAGAAAAAACUUUAACUUAAAUUCAUGAAUGAGCAAUAUUCCAAUUUCAUCAAUUUUAUAAGUCUCAAUCUCCCAACUAAAUUUAUCGUGAAUUAAAUUCAAAAUUUACUAAACUUUAUAUCAUUUAGUCACAGCUAUGUCCAAGUGCGUAGUCUGAUUAAUUUUGCAUAUUAACUUGAGUCAAAGUCAAUAACAAAUCAUUUCUAGUUUUUGUUUCACCUUAUCGUUUUUUAGAUUCACCCAUCCAUGAAAUUUCGACCAAUUAAAUUCUGCGGCGUUAUCACAACAAGCAUUACGAUAGUUAUAAUUUGAUUGAGUUUGGGUAAUUAACUUUUCUCAUACACAAUCCAAUUCAAAACCUAAAUAUAAAAAUUGAGUCAACCAAGCAAAUGAGCCCAAGCCCAAGCCCAAUGACAAAGCGCCAUCUAAAACCCACGAAAAUUCUCUAUAAAUAGAGACCAUUCCACAUUUUUAGGAUCUUUGGGAGUAGGAGGAAUUGAAGCUUUGAAUAUUGUACCUCUAAAGAAUUGAAAAAGUUAUUAAGACGUAUAAGUUAUUAUCAAUCUCGAGAUUAUCAUCUUCUAAAAGAUUGAAAAAUUGGAAGGUUAAAACUUUUCUGGAAUUCUAGUAGAUCGAAGCUCAAAUAGACUUGCAACUAUAACUUCGUAUUAACUUUUCUGGAGAAGUUCUAAGUUUUAACUUUUAUUCUAAAGAAAGCAUCAAAUGAAUAAAUACUAGAGAUUGUAUUCAUUAUAUAAAUCAAUAUACAAAGUUCAAUUCUACGAAAUACAGUCAUGUAAAAAAAUGUGGCGUGAACAUAUCCUAUAAAAAUCUCUAAUUUAUAAUUUCAUAACAACAUGAUUUGUUUGCUGAUGGAUGAGACCAACUUCACUUUUUGUUACCUAAAUAUUUUCACUCGUAUUUGUUAGCUUGACUUUCAAAUCCAAAACCACUAAAUGGCCCUCCAAAAUUAAAUUGCCAACAAAAACUAAAGGGGAAAAGGUUUGUAGUUCAAUUAAUGAUGGGAGAAAGUUUGUCCGAAAUCAACGUUGGGUCUUAAUUUCAUUUUGGUUUAACUUUCGCAUCAUUUAUCAAAUUUUACAUGUAAUAACUUACUUUUAUUUUUAUGAAAUAUUUUAAUUAUUUAUUCAUAGUUUGAAUGAAGAUAAUGUGUUUGGAAACCGAAGCUAAAUAAAAAGUAUUGUCUUAUUAUUAGGGCGUGAAUUAUGGUUGGAAACAUUGAUAGUUCAAUUAUUCUAAUACAUUUCUUCUAACUAAUAUGCCGUGAAUUAUGGUUUCUAACUUUUGAUAAUCAAUUUUUUAAUAUAUUCUUUUAAUAAAGGUAGUUAAUUGAGGGAAAACUACUUUUUGGAGGGAUAAUUUAAUUGGUUUUCCAGGUUUCAAAUUAGCUAAUUCAGUUCUACAUUUUUUUAAAUAGAUUUUGUCAUUUUACUCUUUUUUAAAUAAUAAUAAAAAUUAAUAUUUAUUAAUCAUGGUAACCAAUUCUAUGUUUUUUUUACGAGAGAUCUUAGGUUCAUAACCCCCACCCCAAGUUAUACUUAAAAAAAACUAUUUUCAUGUUUUUGUUUGACAAAUAGAUUUCAUUCAAUUUGUUCUUUUUUAAUUUAAAGGUGUUUUUAACCGACAUACAGGAAGAUACUGUGAGAUUCAAUCCUUUCUGGACACUUGAAGUUGUAAUUACUAUUUCUCGGGUUUUCUGUCAUAUAAGUCAAUCUUUUUCAGCAAGCAAGCUAAUCGAUGUUCAGAAAGACUAAUCUUUCAUAUAAAAACUAGUUCUGUUUUGCUUCUUGGUGAGUUCUUGAUAUAUAUUGUAUAUGUGUAGAGUAUAAUGUUGUUCACCGAAUUAAUAACUAAAUAGAGAACCGAAGUGAAGAUAUCUCUAUUGUAAGCCUAGCAAGUAGCAUAGUACUGAAGUAUCCAUACUCAUGUGGGCAACCUGAACAAUGUGAUGUAAAUCAAGAUAAUAAGCAACUAAUUGAGACGAGAUUCUUUUAUAAAUCUGGAUUGUUCAGUAUAAGUUUGUUUAGUAUCUAAACGAUAUUAAUUCUGAUAAAAAUAUUUGUACUUAUAAACUUUUAGAUAGUUAAUAUAAGAUCUUUUCAAUCGGGUUCAUGACUUGCAGAUGUAGGUGUUGUGGCAUUGAAUUGGGUUACCAACACUUUUCUGCUAUGUUAUCUUUUUAGUCUUGCUCAUGCAGUUUUCUCGGUUAUUAAUUUGGAAUUUAUCUUGUCUCUUUGAUUGAUUGAGUGCUUUUUUUUCUCUCUAUUAUUUUUUUCUUUUUUUGGUUGUAACUUUUUUUUCUCUCUAUUAUUUUUUUCUUUUUUAAUUUACUAAAUUUAGGAGUGAUUUUUAAAAUCACUAAAAACUCUUACAUUAUUGUUUCAUCCACGUUAUUUAGGAUAUUGAUUUUUACUUAUUUCAAACUCACAAACGAGAGGGAAUGUGUUACAUGAUAUAUAAUUUUAAAAAAAAUUCAUCUCUUAAUUUAAGUUUUUUGGUUAAUCGAUGAUUUAAGAUAUCUCAAUAACUUUAUUUUAAAAGUAUUAAACUAAUUUUGAUGGAUUAAGUAAAAAUAUGAUUAAGAGUCAUUUGUGGAAUUUAUUUUAAUAAUUUUAUAAUAACUCUCAACCAAGGUUAGAGUUAUUUUUGUAAAACUAUAAUUACGGACGAUUGUUUUAAAAGUUAAUGUAAUUAAUUACAAACUCACUCUAAAUCAAUUUCUUCGUAAUGGGUGGAAAGAAGUUAGCAUUUAUUUUGGUAAGAGAAUGGUCCAUCUUGGCUGCUGUCUAGUAGUAUGUCCACUUGCAAAAGCAAAAUAUAAAAUAGUAAAAGAAGUUAUAAAGCAUUUUCAAACAUGGAAAAAGUUUUUUAUAUAUAUAUGGAAAUUUUCAAAUAUAAUAUAAUAAAUCAAAAUACUUAUAAAAUUUAAAAUAGACAAUAAUAAAUAUGGAUAGAUUUUCAUAUUCAUAGACAUUAAUAUAAAUCUAUCAAAAUGUUUAUCAAAUUUGUUCACAAUUUUUUUUCUAUAAUUUAGUUUUGAAAAUAGAAAUAAAGGAACAUUUUGAAACAUAACAAAAUGAACUAAAUAUUUAUAAAAUAUAACAAAAUUUAAUAUUAUCGUUGAUAGAAGUUUAUCGAUGAUUGUUUGGAUGCUGAAUUGAUAUAGCAUGUCUAAAGUCCAUAUGUUCGAGGAGUUUAUAUGUAUUGAGAGUUCUUUAUGUAUCUAUAAAUAUUUAUCACCGAUAGAAUUUAAAAUUAAUUUUAUAAUAAAUAUUUUCAACCGAUUUUCUAUUUACAAUGAUUAAAAAAAAUAAACUAAAAUAAAUAAUUAAAUAUAAAAUAUUAAUUUUGUUUGCCCACCAUCCACCUUUUAUUCAAGUCGGUAGGUCUUCAAUUCUUCCUUAGCUUGUCAUUUUGUGCAAAACUAUCACCCUUUAUUUCAAGUCAGUUGAUAACCUUAGUAGCAUUUCUACAGAUCAUGAUUAGUUGAAUAUUGAUAUUUUAAAUAAAUUAUAAAUAUAGAAAAAUAUAUCAAUGCUAAACUACUAAUAAUAUUGUCUAUCACGAAGAAUGCUAAACUACUAAUAAUAUUGUCUAUCACGAAGAGAUGUACUAAUUUAAUAGUAUUAAGAUGAAGUUACUAAAUUGUUGUUAAAUCAUAUGAUUUUUAUAUAUUAAAGUCGUACGUAUUGAUAUUUUGAAAGAAAAAUAAUUGAAACACUGAAUUCGUAUUGAAGUCGUUGAAGACACGUUAAAUAAAAUUACAACUAACCAUGAAUUAAUGGAUGAAAAUAAAAUGUUUUCUUAAAUUAAUAAUUGACUAAUAUUAUGAUUCAAAGACGAAAAUAGUUGUUCUCAAACAUAACCUUAAUAAGUAGUCAAUUGCAAAAAUAAUCCAACAGUUUGCUAUAAAAAGCCAUCUUAAGUAGUCAAUUGCAAAAAUAAUCCAACAGUUUGCUAUAAAAAGCCAUCAAAAGUUGGAGCAUUUCAACAAGCAAGUGAAACAAAUCCAGAAAAUAAAGAGUCACAAAAUGUCUCAUAAACAUUUGGUUAUUCUUCUUCUUGGAGUGAUUCUUCUUAGCACCCAAGUGAUUGCCCGGCCUUAUUACUUGUCGGAGAACCACCACAGACUGACUCCCUCCGCCACCGUCCCAUCGGCAGUCGGGGAAUCUUUGCAAAAACUCCCACCAUGGUUGAAGAAAAUUUUUCCCAAAAAGCCUCCCAAAAUCCCAAAAAUCAACUUGCCACCUCCACCGCCGCCGCGACGCAGACUGAAACCGCCUUCUUCCAACUGAUCAAUGCUAAAAAGUUGUAGUGAUUUGAAGGUGUUUAAUAAAUCAGCACCGCACCAUCACUGUGGUGUGUGCUCUCUCUCAACUCUCAAGCUUAAUUAGAUGAAUGAUUAUUGGAAGUUUAUUUUUAAGUAAUAUGUUUUUCUAAUAUUAGUACAAUCUAAUUAAGUACAUGUCUCAUGUACUGUGGGACCAUUUCUCUCUUUUUCAAAUAAUAAAUGGAAGGCAAGUGCUUGAGUAGUCAAUCUCAAAGAUGGUGUGUUGUCGUCCUUUGUUAUAUAAUAUAAAUUGAAAGAAUAUGAUUGUACUGUUUAUGAUUUGAUGAACUUAUUUAUAAAUAUAUCAAAAUUUAGACUUAUAUACACAACUUUCUCAUUUAAGUAAUAUCAGAAUAUAAUAUAUUAAGGGGAAAAAUGAAACUAAUAGCAUAGUUAUGAGUACUAACAUGUUGUUUGUCAUUGGAGAGAGUGUCAUCUUCGCAAAGUGACAAAUUAUUUCCAUGCAAUUUGAAUCAUUUGCCCAAGUGGACCACAGUAACAGUUUUGAUCCCGUGACAGACUCCAAUCAUAAUUCAUAACAAUAUGUUUUUUAAUUAGCAAUCAAAAAUCAUAUAAGGAAAAUUUGUCAACCAUAUUUGAAAAAUAGUCUUUCCACCCCAACCUAG